GGCGAGCCAGCCAGCCGCAAACAGCGCUCGCCCAGCCACGGUGCAGAUACGCGGGCAACCUGUCGAACAGAAGACGAGCUGCUGCUCUUCUUGAAAUGCAGGCAGCCGCCAUCCAUGUUACCCAAAUGGAGACGCAAACUUGGCCGCGCCAUCCUUGAGUCCAUGCUUCUACAUAGGCCUACUACAUCUUACACCUUCAUUCCAUUCUUUCUAGUGUACUUAUUAGCUCUUGAAUCGUUGGACUUGUAACACCGGAUGGAGUUUGGAGACAGUAUCUUCUUCUAGUUGUGUAUCUUGAAUGGUUAUAUGUUACGAUUUGCAGCUGUUGCUUUUCUUCCCUAAAUUUAAGGCGAUUUCUACUUUUACUUGACCAAAAUGUUCGGUUCUUCAAAAUAUUAUCUGACAGUAUGCUUAUCUUUGUGGUAAAAAAGGUCCUGGUUAUAGUUUUCAAGGUGACUUGUUGAUUGUUGAAGGCAGCAUUAGGAAUGUGCACAACAUGACAAGUUAAUUGCCAACAUUAAAUCAGUUGGGGCAUGUUUGGUUGCCUGCAUCUUUUGUCUCAGUGGGCCAGGUUGAGUUGCCUGUAUUUGUGCUAUUGGUAUGCAAAGCAGAGCUGUUUUGCUCAUCCCGUGGUGGUCUUACACACAAAUGCAGCACUUCAUAUCAUACAUAACAUAAGAACAACAUAAUACAAUUAACAGUACAAAUAAAAACAAUAGCUAAAUAGUUCAGAAUAGCUAAUUAGACCAUAGUUUAAGACAUCAAAGGCAUCCCAUGCCCCUGCACGACCCUAGGGUGUUGAACCCUGAGCAAAAUAUAUAGUUUUGCACUAAGUUGAGCAAAAUAUACAGUUUUGCAGUAAGUUCAGACGAUCAAGCCUAGCCCGGAGAGCCACAUGACGAGCAAGUCGCUGUGGAUGAUUGUGUGGCGCCGACAGAAGUAGUCUCAACUGCUCCCGAGCACCAUCUGCCCCUGAAAUGUAUGGCCCUACACCUAGAACUCACACCACUUGUUGGCAGAGGCUGACAACACCAGGAGGGUUGACGACUGCCAUUUCUUUAUCACCGUCCUAAAGGCAGGCGGGAUGACCAGCAUGGUGAUCUCUUCCUCGUUCUUGAUUUGCACGUAGAACCCGACUGACGUCCGUGUAUAUAGAGUAAAUUGCUCAAAGCCACUACAUUUGUGGCUAGAGUACUCUAAAACCACCACUUUUGCCAGAAAUCACAAAAAACCACCACUUCCGCGGCAAGUGAGUAACAAAUCACACUGAUUUGGAAUUGAACGCAUCUAACAGCAAAACUGACAUGUGGGACCCGUCUAUCCGGGCUGAUGUGGCAAAGACUAGUCCUAGUCAAUGGUUGACCUGCUAAGGUGGACGGGGGUCCUACCUGUCAGCCGCACCUAUUGUCUUCUCUCUCCUCUCCUUCUUCUCGAUAAAGCGGAAUCCCAGCCGCCACGCCAUGGCCGGCGCAGAGAGAAGCAGGCCGCGCCCGCCUAGCUCCCCUCCUUCUCCUAAUCCAGCGGAAGGCGCCCGCCGGUGCCGGAGCUCUACGCCGCCGGUGGCGCCACGCCCUGCCUCCCCCAUUUCUCCUAGAUCCGGUGGGAUCCCAGCGCCGGCAAGCCAAGGUCGGGCGAACUCCUCCUAGCCUCGACGCCCCGCCCCGCUACGACAGCCACUGCUGCUGGCCAUGGCCAGAGGCGAGCUCCUUCCCCUCACGCCACAGGCAACCUCUCCCAUCCUUGUCUUCCUCGCGAGCGCUGGCACGAGAGCCACGGGAGCCAGAGGCGGGGAAGAUGUGCUGCUCGCCAUGGCAACGCUGGUGGCGGCGACGCACCGGGAACCCCAAGGCGCGGCUAGCGGACUUCUUCGCAGGCUUCGGCUCCGGCGGCGUGCUGGUGGCGCGCGACACCGACGACGCGCGUCGACUCUCUCCCUGUCUUCCUCGCGAGCGCCGACACGAGAGCCACAUGAGCCAGGGCGGGGAAGGUGUGCUGCUCACCGUGGCAACGCUGCUGGCGGCGGCGCACCGGGAACCCCUAGGCGCAACUAGCGGACUUCUUCGCAGCCUCCGGCGUGCUGGUGGCCACGGCACCGACGACGCACGUCGACUCUUCUCCGCGGAGGACGCGCUAGUGAGUGGGGAGGCCUGGUGAGAGGGGACCGGCUCGCCGUGCGCAGAGGAGGGGCGGAGCUCGUCGAGGUGCGGACGGAGGGGCAACAUCGCCGGAGAAGUGCUGGACCGACGGAGUAGGUGUUGUGCGUGCACAUGAAGUACUCGACGAAAUGCCAGAGCCUAGUCACCUGUCUACGUGUUUAUUCUUUGCCAAGUCAGCCUGCAUGUGGGCCAGGCAUGUCAGUUUUUCACUUAGUCACGGCUGACAGCUCGUUUAGUGCAUUUUGUUACUCACUUGCCGCGGAAGUGGUGGUUUUUUGUGAUUUCUGACAAAAGUGGUGGUUUUGGAGUACCCUAGUCACAAAUGUGGUGGCUUUCAGCAAUUUACUUGUGUAUAUACGGUUCAAAUCUCGUUUUUAUACAUCCAUCCAUACGCUGAUGAGGCAUGCUAGGGUGUCAGGGACAAGGCGUGUGGCCUGCUUUUGUUUUGCGGAAAACCCCCCAAAAUAGUUGUUUUCUUAUAAAAAAGGCCCUCAAAGAAAAACUAAUAAAUUGUAAAAUUAACUAUUAAUCAAUUUAUAAUAUCUAAAAAUAGUCCGGGGUUCGAACCAGCGACAGAGGUGUGCGUGGCUAGCCAGCUGACCGGUUCAAAUUUGAAGGUGUUUGGUUCGCAAUUUUACACCCGGUAUCUGAUUACAUCGCAAACCGAUACCGUUAAUCGUGUUUGCUUCGCUUUGCAGAUCCCACAUAGACACGUCCCAUCACAGUUUACGUUACAGCCAGAGCGAGCCGACUCGGGCGAAUUCUUCUGGCUUCGAUCCCCAAUCCCGGCCCAGUCCCGUGCUAGCUGCCUAGACGUGGGGUUCCUGUUUGUUUCAUUUCUUUUUACGCUGGGGCUCUCAUUUUCUUGCCGGUAUCCAUUACCGUUAGACACUUAACCAAACAAGAAUGGAUUUUGGCCGAUAUCGUUUACAUCAACGGAGUAAACCCAUUACGUUUACGUUUCCGUUCCACUUCUGGAACCAGACACCUUAGUGUUAAGAAAGGAUUCGUAUGAUCCUAAAAAAAAGGAAUCGUAUACUUUGUAAACAUAAAGCUGAACGACAUAAACUAAACUUUUUUAUUCGCAGCCGCCCAUACUACUCCGACCGACAACAUCAGAUGGCAAAAUGAUAGAUUUAGGUUUAUGACAUAACGAGCCCUUCCUGAAGGCGUUGCUGUUGAAGAAUCCCGUCAUUCGCGCGGUGCCAUGACAUAGUUGAUGCGGAUAUGGUCAUUGUUGUAGUCUACCUAUUAUGGAUUUGGUCGCUCAGAUUUUUUUUCUUCAUCGUCUACGCGUGGCUUUGGUCUUAUAUGACUUUGCUAUUUGCUGACGUGAUGUUGUGUGCGUGCGUUAGUGUUGGCUGUGUGCAUCCUAGCUAUGCAGAGGCCGGGUGUGCUCAUUAUGUUUGUAUCCUCUUGAUGCCUCAUUUUAAGCUAAUAAAAUACAUUCUUUGUCGAGAAAAAUGACAUAACGAGCCCGUGUGGCUAAAACGGACCACAGUGUGGCUCAGUUUUGAACGUGUUUGUUUUUUUCAUUUCAUUUUUAAAAUAUAUUAAUUAUAAUUGUGUGUUACAAACAAUAUACAAUAUUUAAAACAAAUUACGUUAAAAUGUUUAUACUAUUUCAUAAAAUACAUAUGCAAUAUUUUAACAGAAAUAUACAUAAUAAAAUUAUGAGUUAAGAAUAUAUUUUAUAAUUUGAAAAAAAUGUUUGCAUUUUAAUAAAAUAUUAAUGUAAUUUUAGAAAUGUUCAUAUAUUUUAAAAAAUUCUCAUAUAAUUUUGAAAUUUCCACAUUAUUAAUAAAUUAUUUAUGUAGUCUAUCAGUGUGUUCAUGCUUUAAUUAAAAAGGUGUUAUUUUAAAAGGUUUAUAUAGUAUAUAAGUUUGUGCGUUUCUAUAAAAAAUAAAUGCAAGCCUAGUGCGCCAUUAGACUGCGUAUCCUCACAUGAAUAAUAGUUGAAUCAUCUAAACAUUUUGAUCUUCAUAAAUAGUUUCAAUUGUAUGAAUAUAUUUUAAAAUAACACAUGAUUUUAUUUCAGGAUACACGUGAAUUCUUUUGAUACAUGACAAUUCAUUGGUUGGAGUGACAUCCGUGCCUGGUCUACAAGCUUUGGUCCGAUGUGCAGAUCACAGAGCCGGUGCUGUUUUUGCUGGAUUAUUAAAUUCCUUUUAUUUAUUUUGUUCGGUCCAAUGUUUAUAAAGGUUAUAAAUCAUUAAAUAUUAGCAAAUGUGAAGUUGUCGAGCACACGCUCUGGACUGGUAGGUUGCAGGCUCGAGCCACCACAUGACAAGUUUUAGUUUUUAUUUUAUAGUUUAUCAGUUUCUCCCCGAGGGCCUUCUUGUAAGAAAAAUAAUUUUGGGAGUUUUCCGCAAAAACCAAGCCAAACACCCUUGUCUCUGGCAGCGGGUCCCAUGGCAUGCUGGCACGCCUCGUAAGUAUACAAACAUCAUUUAAACCAAAUAUGCACGUCUAUGCCAAGUUAUGAAACCGGUUCAAUGUAUUUUUCAAGGCACUAGAAUGCAUAUUCAUGACAAGUUCAAGCACCACAGAUGUAUUUACCUCGGAAAGUAAUAAAAAACACACACAAGAAAAUCAGAAAAAAAAACCCCGGGCCAAAACUAGAACAGCCAGCGAGAUUUCCAGAAUGGUCAAAAACUUAGUCUGGCCACGGAUUACUUUAAGGGAAUCUUGGGUCAGCCUGCCCCCUCGAUGAACACAGUGGACGUACACUCACUAUACACUUCACUUGAUCUAUCUGCCCUGACGGUACGGUUUUCUUGGGCUGAAAUCAUACAAGCCAUCAGCUGCUCACCCAAUAACAGAAGUCCAGGCCCUGACGGUUUCACCAAUGAGUUUUACAAGGCUUUCAAGUUGCUGCUAAAGGAUGACCUGCUCCACUUUUUUUAUGAUUUCCACAGAAAUGUGGUUGAUCUUACUGGUAUUAACUCCGCUUUCAUCACCCUGCUACCUAAAAAGAUACGCCCCUAGAGAUGCGGGACUUCAGGCCGAUUUCCCUCGUACAUAGCAUACCCAAACUGGUUUCUAAGGUUCUGGCUUGUAGGCUGAAAGCAUGGAUUCCUCUCUUGAUUCACUCUCUCCAGUCUGGCUUCUUGCGGGGCAGAUCGAUUAUAGAAAACUUUACCCUGGCUGCCGAAAUGAUCCAAUACGCACACAAACGGAAAAUGCUAGUCAUUGCUUUGAAGUUGGAUUUUCACAAAGCUUUUGACAGCGUCAGUUGGUCCUGUUUGCACAAAGUACUUGAAGCCAGAGGGUUUUCUCGGCUGUGGAUUAGUUGGAUUCAAAUGCUUUUGUCAACCGGCAGCUCUAAAGUCCUUAUUAAUGGCCAGCUGGGUGCCCCCAUCCGGGCUAAGCGUGGUUUUCGGCAAGGCGAUUCCUUAUCCCCUUAUCUUUUCAUUAUCGUUGCGGACGUGCUACAGAGAAUGUGCUGCAAAUUGUUCCAAGAUGGUUCCUUGCUGCACCCACUUGGUUCAGACAGUUUCUUCCCGGUUCUGCAAUACGCGGAUGACAUGCUGAUUCUUUUCCAAGGCACUACGCACCAGGCGGCAGUUGUUAAGUCAGCGCUCACAACUUUCUCUGCUUUCUCUGGGCUCACCAUAAAUUUCCACAAGAGCACUCUCGUACCUGUUGCCGCGGAGACCAUCACUGCUUCGGCCAUCGCGCAGAUCCUAGGCUGCCCCGUUUCAUCCUUUCCAUGCAACUACCUGGGCCUGCCUCUCUCUCUGCACAAGAUUACGCAUGGUAUGUUACUGCCUGUUAUACACAAGGUCGACCGUCGUCUUUCGGGCUGGUUAGCUACUUUCCUAUCCUUAGGGGGUAGAUUGACCCUUAUCAACUCAGUGAUCGUUGGUAUCCCAAGUUAUUUCAUGUCAUGCUUUCCCUGGCCCAAGGAAUCUCUUGGAAAAUUGGAAAGUCUCUCACGUGCUUUUUUCUGGCAAGGCAAGAAUAAGGUCAAGGGGGGUCAAUGCUUAGUAGCUUGGGAUACAGUCUCGUCACCUCGUAUCAAUGGCGGUUUGGGUAUCCGUCAGCUGCAGGCUCACAACCAAGCUAUGAUGUGCAAGUCUGUCUCCAAAGUUAUACAAGGUUCGGACAUACCAUGUUAUAACUGGUUCGCCACACAUUAUUGCCGGGCUAUCCUUCCACAAAGUGCUAGUAGCAGAGACACUGCCAUCUGGAAAGGGUUCAAAGAUCUUGUUCCUAUGGUCAUCAACUCCUCUAAAUGUGUUCUGGGGUCUGGUCUUUUGAUUUCAUUCUGGAAGGACCAGUGGCUUGAAGCGGGGCGUUUAUACCAGUUGUUCCCCAUGCUGUAUUCCUUCGCGAUCCAGCCAGAUUUCUCCGUGCACUCACAACACUCCAACGGUUCAUGGGCUAUUCAGCUACACCCUAAUCUCUCUCAAACAGCCUCAGCCGAGCUUGCUGUCCUGCAUGAUUUGUUGCUGGGCAUUGCUCCGAACUUACUGCAUGAGGACCAACGGACUGCUUCUGUGAGCUCUGGACAACUUUGCACUGGUUAUUUCUACAGGCUACUCACUUUCCGGGGGGUUUUGUCAACUCUUGGCACCUGGGUUUGGGAGGCAAUGACCCCCCUCAAGCACAGAAUCUUCCUAUGGCUUUCUUUCCGUGAUCGUCUAAACACUAAGGAUAACAUGGUAAAGAAGGGUUGGUCCGAGGCUUCCCCGUUUGCGCAUUGUGACACUUGCCCCGCUGUUGAGACCAUCGAUCACUUAAUACUACGAUGUGCAUCCGCCAGUGUUCUUUGGGGCAAGUUGGAACUUGACGUUUUGGCUUGCUCAACUACUAACGUUCUAUCUUUUAUGGAGCAAGCGCAACACCAGCUCAGUUUCAAGAAAAAUGGAAUGUUGCUUUCACGGCUUGUGCUGUCACCUUUUGGCAUGCUAGGAAUGACAGAGUCUUCAACUCAAAAGACUGGUCUGUAACAUACACCUGUUUAUAUGCAGCAGGCAUGCUCCGUCUUUGGAGUCUCAGAACUCAAAGCCAGCGUACCAGGGAGGUUCUCCAGGUUUGGAGACACAAGCUGCUGCAUAAUUCGUAGACGCCUGAUGUAAUCUUCCCCUCCUCUCUUCCUCCCUCCCUUCUUUCCCUUUUUUCGAUGCUUGUGCUUUGCACCUUGGUGCACCACACAAGCUGCACUUGUACUUGUACCUGCUACUUCAUCAGGCUCUGGCCUGUUUUGAAAUAUAAGGUCGGCAGCCUGCCACCUUCUUUGUUUUAAAAAAAAGAACAGCCAGCGAGCGAAUCAUCAAUCACGAAGCGAGCCAGAAGAAGCAUGUGCCUCGGAUCGUGGGGAGCGCCGCAACCUUUCCGUCGCUCGAAACUGCGUGCUCUGCAGUAACUCCAGGGAAAUGGCUGGCCAUCUUGCAGUUGGCUACCAUUUCUCUCGUGAAGUUUGGUGGCCACGCUGAGGCGUUGCGGUCUUGCUCACCACACAGACACCGACCAUUUACACGUUGUGUGCCUGGUGGCCUCACACUCGGAAUGUACUCUCCAAACCGGCAUGCAAAAGAUUCGACAUCCUGGCACUGCUCACCCUCUGGAAACUAUGGACUUUCAAUGGCGCCCCGAGCACCACUAGGCAGGUCUACGCCGUCAUCGCAAUGGAGGGCGACUUAUGGAAGAAGGCAGCACCGCUGCUGGGUUGCAAGCUAUUUGGAAACAGUGGCGUGUGUGUAGAUUGGUAGGCAUAGUUUAAAUUCGAAAGAUGCGGGACCAAACUCUUCUAUCUGGUGUAACUCACGGUGCCAACUCUCGUCCAAUUAACAAGAUACUAUAUUGAAUCCUUCAAAGAAAACACAAGAUAUAUUGAAACCUACCGACUGCAUGUGAAGCUAGUAAAUACAUUAAUUGGAGCUAGCUUUUGGACCAUACUCAUGUGUGGUGUGCGGCUAUAUAUUGCACACACAUAUAUGUGAAAUUCAUAAUUUAGUUGUGCUAGCAACAAAAGUAGAAGGGAUAUAUCAGGGUCAAUAUACAAUAGUUCAAUCUACUGGGUGUGCAACCACUACGGUAUUAGAGAUUGGUCAUUUAGCUAUACUCGCAGUGACCAUACACAUUGGAAAAGGAGACAUCUGGAAAUGAGGGGAAACAAUAUGCUUAGAACUAGAUCGAAGAUAUCUAUGGCGUCGAGCACCCUACAUGGUAGGACACCAUAUAGGACACCAUGUAGUCUGUUGCCUCAAGCUUUCUUUUGUUUUGAAAGAUCCAUCUGGUGCCUGGCUUUAUAUUGAUCAAAGCAGGGAGCAUAUGGGAAGAGUACAAAGGUGUAUUGUGAUCCAAGGAUCAAUGAGAAAAUAAAAAAAAGAGGCGCCACUAGGCAACCCUUCCAGCUCCUAACAAGCUUGCCAUGAUACUACUAAGUCUUGGCUAAAUUCUCGCACUUUCAUCCCCAAAAGGGGGCUCAAUGAAUUUUACACUCGCCUGGCACCAGAGUUCAAAAUUGCGUCUGACAACUAUAAUGCCGCUCACCGAAGCAAUCUUGGCUCGGAAAGUGCACUCAUUUCUUUCUUGCCAGAUCCUCCAAAGUAUUAGCAGCGCUAGGUCUUCGGCGGCUUUUUGAACUUUGAUUGGGCCGCGUUGAUCAAACACACUCAAAAUCAUAGUCUUUACUAUCAAACACAUGCGAACUGGCUGGGAUUUAUGAAAAAGCCCUCUCGACUACCGUUGCUUAUGAAGCUGCUUUUUCCUCAACGUCAGACGAUCUGUUUUCAUUAUUUGAAAAUAAUAAUAAUUUGCGCCUAGCUGGUGUUGAAUGUUUCUUUUGCUGGCACGCAAGCAGAGGAUAUUCACCAACCGCCUCCACCGAAGCUUGUCUGUGUUGUAAAGAAGCCGAAUCAAAAGCUCAUCUUCUCAUACAUUGCUCAGUUCCUAGGGUGAUGUGGACGAUUAUUGACUCUCUCAACAUUACUCCGGACGACUACACCUCCUUAACUCCUUUCAUGUUGAGUCAUCUCCGAGCCGGCAAAUAAAGUAAGGAACGCAGUAAUUAUGGCUCGCUUAUUGAAUAUCUAGAAGUGCCGGAGCGCACAAGUUUUCAGGAACUAGAAUGAAGACCUUCAAGUUGUCAUCUCUAGGUCUGCAAAUGAUAUUUUUCGUUGGUCAAACAGAUGUGAAAAUGAAUCCAAUCCAAAAGGCGAAUAGUCUAUGACAAUUGACAAAGACUUAAUGUGUGUGUCUUUGUUUCUGGAGUAGUUUGGGUAGCUUUGUUCUUAUCUCCCCGCUUCUUUGUAUAUGGCAGUGACGGUGUCAAAACCGGCGGAUCUCGGGUAGGGGGUCCCAAACUAUGCGUCUAAGGUCAAUGGUAACAGGAGACAGGGGACACAAUGUUUUAGCCAGGUUCGGGCCCUCUCUAUGGAGGUAAUACCCUACGUCCUGCUUGAUUGAUCUUGAUGAAUAUGAGUAUUACAAGAGUUGAUCUAUCACGAGAUCAUAAUGGCUAAACCCUAGAGGCCUAGGUUGUAUGGUUAUGAUAAUGUAUAUCUCCCUCCGGACUAAGUCCUCCGGUUUAUAUAGACACCGGGAGGAUCUAGGGUUAGACAAGGUCGGUUACAAAGAAAGGAAUCUACAUAUUUGGUCGCCAAGCUUGCCUUCCACGUCAAGGAGAGUCCCAUCCGGACACGGGUGCCAUCUUCGGUCUUCGUAUAUUCACAGCCCAUCAGUCCGGCCCAUGGCUAACAGGCCGGACGCCCGAUGACCCCUUAGUCCAGGACUCCCUCAGUACCCCCUGAACCUAGCUUCAAUGACAACGUAUCCGUCGCGUAGAUCUGUCUUCGGCAUUGCAAGGCGGGUUCCUUCCUCCGAACUCCAAGAUAGUCUUCGGACGUAUUUGAACGUGUCCGGACCUUUGUAUUGAUCUUAUAUUUAUUGACCUUUGUAUUGCUGCUCAAUGUUCUAAGCAUGGAUAUAAUGACUCUCUCAUUUUGUUAUUAUUGCCAUGUAAAUGUUGUCAUUACUUGUUUAUUUGGUAUAGUAAGUACAUUUGAUUGAGACUAAUAUCCUGUUACUUGACAUGGCAGUGACUAUCUCUUUAAGCUUCUGCUCAUCGGAGACUCAGGUGUUGGCAAGUCAUGCCUUCUCUUAAGAUUUGCCGUAAGAAUCCCUAUCUAAAGCAUGAUUUGUCCACUAUCUUUUAUAGGUCUUCCCUUUUUUAAUAUGCAUCUUCAUCUUAAAAGUUUGAUACAAGUUGUCUUCGGGAUAUCAUGGAAACUGUCAAUUUAUUUUUAGCCUCAGUAAACUGUAUGAUUUCCCACUACUUAAUACGAAUGAGGAGUUCAUUGUUGGUAGCUACUGUUUCUUAACAACAUGGAGAUGACCCCUAUAACAUUCUUGUUGUUACUAGUUAAUUUACUCUGACCUCCUUAAUAUUGACUCUUUUGGCAGGAUGACUCGUACCUGGAGAGUUAUAUCAGUACUAUUGGUGUUGAUUUCGUAAGUAUAUUUACUUUCUUGGUCUGAGUGUUGAUGUUCUGGCUACCUUAAUUGAACUUGUAGUUUUGUUUUCUUCCAACUUUGUCGAUAGAAAAUACGUACCGUGGAGCAAGAUGGAAAGACUAUGAAGCUGCAAAUCGUGAGUCUAUUCUUUCUUUCAUUAUGUCCAGUAUGCAUGUACCAUCAAAUCCAGAUUGUACAUCGAAUCCAGAUUUGACAAAAUAGAAGACUUUAUCGGGAAACAUUUCAUUUAUAGCCCUCUUCUGUUUUGUGGAGUUUGCUAGAUUUUCCCUUUGCAUAAUAUAGCAUGCCGUUAUUCAUCAGUAUUUAUGUGGUUGUUAGUUGAGGCCAGUUCACAGGAAACAGAAACUCCACUAUGCCUGAAUAUGUAGGCAGUUGCACAACCCCUUUUUACCUUUUGGAUUUUUUAGUUCCAUCCAUUUAAAUUACUGUUGAACAUAAAGAAUAAGAGUAGUUUAGCCCAUUAAAUUAAAUGUUAUAAAGUUUCUUAGUUCGCAUAAAGAAUCGCACUUUCAAGAUGUUUUUAGAUACCAAAGUGAUGCCCAUUUUGAACAUCAUAUUUAGGGGCCUGAUAGUAUGUCAUUUAAAUACUUGGGUGGUACGGUAGAUCAUGCUGCACCUACUGUUGGCAUUUGGCGAUUCUUCCUUCCUUUUGUGUGACACAUUACAUUUAGUGAUGCAAGAUAUCAUUUUCCUUUUCUUUAAACCCCUCUUUGGUACCUUUGUUUUUAUCAGUGGGACACUGCUGGGCAAGAACGCUUCAGAACUAUUACUAGCAGCUACUAUCGAGGGGCUCACGGGAUCAUUGUAAGUUUGUUUAUGUGAAAUCUUAUUUUUAUUUUUCACAUGCUAUUUAACAUGCAUAAAUGUCCACUUUUCAUAUAUUUUGAAUACAUAUAUACAAAUGGGGUUGCAGAUUGUCUAUGACGUGACAGACCAGGACAGCUUCAACAAUGUGAAGCAGUGGUUGAACGAGAUUGGUCACUAUGCUAGUGAGAAUGUUAAACAAGCUUCUUAUAGGGAACAAAUCUGAUCUCACUGACAAAAGAGUUGUAUCAUAUGAGACAGCGAAGGUACCUUAUGCUUUACUCAUAUCUGCUGAAGCAUUUUUUCUGCUCUUUGUGUUUACAUUUGGUGUAUGCAGGCAUUUGCUGAUGAGAUUGGCAUCCCAUUCAUGGAGACCAGUGCAAAGAAUGCCUUGAACGUUGAGCAGGCUUUCAUGGCUAUGUCUGCUUCAAUCAAGGACAGGUGUGUGUUCCCAGACGGUUUAAUUAGCACAGGCCAUCCUACCAGUACACUUUUUUUUAACUACCAUCAUUUUACACUUUAUUUAUUGCUCAUUGAUGCUCUGUUCGUAUAGUAUCAUAACCAAAAUUGUCCUACACUCUUUAGCAUGUUGCUGUUAACUGUUCUAUGUUAUUCCUCACGGUGUUGUUCUAUAUACACCUCAUAGAAAGAGCAUAUAAUUAUGAAUACAAAUCUUGGUUUCCAGGAUGGCGAGCCAGCCAGCCGCAAACAACACUCGCCCAGCCACGGUGCAGAUACGCGGGCAACCUGUCGAACAGAAGACGAGCUGCUGCUCUUCUUGAAAUGCAGGCAGCCGCCAUCCGUGUUACCCAAAUGGAGACGCAAACUUGGCCGCGCCAUCCUUGAGUCCAUGCUUCUACAUAGGCCUACUACAUCUUACACCUUCAUUCCAUUCUUUCUAGUGUACUUAUUAGCUCUUGAAUCGUUGGACUUGUAACACCGGAUGGAGUUUGGAGACAGUAUCUUCUUCUAGUUGUGUAUCUUGAAUGGUUAUAUGUUACGAUUUGCAGCUGUUGCUUUUCUUCCCUAAAUUUAAGGCGAUUUAUACUUUUACUUGACCAAAAUGUUCGGUUCUUCAAAAUAUUAUCUGACAGUAUGCUUAUCUUUGUGGUAAAAAAGGUCCUGGUUAUAGUUUUCAAGGUGACUUGUUGAUUGUUGAAGGCAGCAUUAGGAAUGUGCACAACAUGACAAGUUAAUUGCCAACAUUAAAUCAGUUGGGGCAUGUUUGGUUGCCUGCAUCUUUUGUAUCAGUGGGCCAGGUUGAGUUGCCUGUAUUUGUGCUAUUGGUAUGCAAAGCAGAGCUGUUUUGCUCAUCCCGUGGUGGUCUUACACACAACUGCAGCACUUCAUAUCAUACAUAACAUAAGACCAACAUAAUACAAUUAACAGUACAAAUAAAAACCAUAGCUAAAUAGUUCAGAAUAGCUAAUUAGACCAUAGUUUAAGACAUCAAAGGCAUCCCAUGCCCCUGCACGACCCUAGGGUGUUGAACCCUGAGCAAAAUAUAUAGUUUUGCACUAAGUUGAGCAAAAUAUACAGUUUUGCAGUAAGUUCAGACGAUCAAGCCUAGCCUGAAGAGCCACAUGACGAGCUAGUCGCUGUGGAUGAUUGUGUGGCGCCGACAGAAGUAGUCUCAACUGCUCCCGAGCACCAUCUGCCCCUGAAAUGUAUGGCCCUACACCUAGAACUCACACCACUUGUUGGCAGAGGCUGACAACACCAGGAGGGUUGACGACUGCCAUUUCUUUAUCACCGUCCUAAAGGCAGGCGGGAUGACCAGCAUGGUGAUCUCUUCCUCGUUCUUGAUUUGCACGUAGAACCCGACUAACGCCCGUGUAUAUAGAGUAAAUUGCUCAAAGCCACUACAUUUGUGGCUAGAGUACUCUAAAACCACCACUUUUGCCAGAAAUCACAAAAAACCACCACUUCCGCGGCAAGUGAGUAACAAAUCACACUGAUUUGGAAUUGAACGCAUUUAACAGCAAAACUGACAUGUGGGACCCGUCUAUCCGGGCUGAUGUGGCAAAGACUAGUCCUAGUCAAUGGUUGACCUGCUAAGGUGGACGGGGGUCCUACCUGUCAGCCACACCUCUUGUCUUCUCUCUCCUCUCCUUCUUCUCGAUAAAGCGGAAUCCCAGCCGCCAUGCCAUGGCCGGCGCAGAGAGAAGCAGGCCGCGCCCGCCUAGCUCCCCUCCUCCUGAUCCGGCGGAAGCCGCCCGCCGGUGCCGGAGCUCUACGCCGCCGGUGGCGCCACGCCCUGCCUCCCCCAUUUCUCCUAGAUCCGAUGGGAUCCCAGCGCCGGCAAGCCAAGGUCGGGCGAACUCCUCCUAGCCUCGACGCCCCGCCCCGCUACGACAACCACUGCUGCUGGCCAUGGCCAGAGGCGAGCUCCUUCCCCUCACGCCACAGGCAACCUCUCCCAUCCCUGUCUUCCUCGCGAGCGCUGGCACGAGAGCCGCGGGAGCCAGAGGCGGGGAAGGUGUGCUGCUCGCCAUGGUAACGCUGGUGGCGGCGACGCACCGGGAACCCCAAGGCGCGGCUAGCGAACUUCUUCGCAGGCUUCGGCUCCGGCGGCGUGCUGGUGGCGCGCGACACCGACGACGCGCGUCGACUCUCUCCCUGUCUUCCUCGCGAGCGCCGGCACGAGAGCCACAUGAGCCAGGGCGGGGAAUGUGUGCUGCUCACCGUGGCAACGCUGGUGGCGGCGGCGCACCGGGAACCCCAAGGCGCAACUAGCGGACUUCUUCGCAGCCUCCGGCGUGCUGGUGGCCACGACACCGACGACGCACGUCGACUCUUCUCCGCGGAGGACGCGCUAGUGAGUGGGGCGGCCUGGUGAGAGGGGACCGGCUCGCCGUGCGCAGAGGAGGGGCGGAGCUCGUCGAGGUGCGUACGGAGGGGCAACAUCUCCGGAGAAGUGCUGGACCGACGGAGUAGGUGUUGUGCGUGCACAUGAAGUACUCGACGAAAUGCCAGAGCCUAGUCACCUGUCUACGUGUUUAUUCUUUGCCAAGUCAGCCUGCAUGUGGGCCAGGCAUGCCAGUUUUUCACUUAGUCACGGCUGACAGCUCGUUUAGUGCAUUUUGUUACUCACUUGCCGCGGAAGUGGUGGUUUUUGUGAUUUCUGACAAAAGUGGUGGUUUUGGAGUACCCUAGCCACAAAUGUGGUGGCUUUCAGCAAUUUACUCGUGUAUAUACGGUUCAAAUCUCGUUUUUAUACAUCCAUCCAUGACGCUGAUGAGGCAUGCCAGGGUGUAAGGGACAAGGCGUGUCGCCUACUUUUGUUUUGCGGAAAACCCCCCAAAAUAAUUGUUUUCUUAUAAAAAAGGCCCUCAAAGAAAAACUAAUAAACUGUAAAAUUAACUAUUAAUCAAUUUAUAAUAUUUAAAAAUAGUCCGGGGUUCGAACCAGCGACACAGGUGUGCGUGGCUAGCCAGCCGACCGGUUCAAAUUUGGAGGUGUUUGGUUCACAAUUUUACACCCGGUAUCUGAUUACAUCGCAAACCGAUACCGUUAAUCAUGUUUGCUUCGCUUUGCAGAUCCCGCAUAGACAGGUCCCAUCACAGUUUACGUUACAGCCAGAGCGAGCCGACUCGGGCGAAUUCUUCUGGCUUCGAUCCCCAAUCCCGGCCCAGUCCCGUGCUAGCUGCCUAGACGUGGGGUUCCUGUUUGUUUCAUUUCUUUUUACGCUGGGGCUCUCAUUUUCUUGCCGGUAUCCAUUACCGUUAGACACUUAACCAAACAAGAAUGGAUUUUGGCCGAUAUCGUUUACAUCAACGGAGUAAACCCAUUACGUUUACGUUUCCGUUCCACUUUUGGAACCAAACACCUUAGUGUUUAGAAAGGAUUCAUAUGAUCCUAAAAAAAAGGAAUCGUAUACUUUGUAAACAUAAAGCUGAACGACAUAAAUUAAACUUUUUUAUUUGCAGCCGCACAUACUACUCCGACCGACAACAUCAGAUGGCAAAAUGAUAGAUUUAGGUUUAUGACAUAACGAGCCCUUCCUGAAGGCGUUGCUGUUGAAGAAUCCCGUCAUUCGCGCGGUGCCAUGACAUAGUUGGUGCGGAUAUGGUCAUUGUUGUAGUUUGCCUAUUAUGGAUUUGGUCGCUCAGAUUUUUUUUUUCAUCGUCUACGCAUGGCUUUGGUCUUAUAUGACUUUGCUAUUUGCUGACGUGAUGUGUGCGUGCGUUAGUGUUGGCUAUGUGCAUCCUAGCUAUGCAGAGGCCGGGUGUGCUCAUUAUGUUUGUAUCCUCUUGAUGCCUCAUUUUGAGCUAAUAAAAUACACUCUUUGUCGAGAAAAAUGACAUAACGAGCCGUGUGGCUAAAACGGACCACAGUGUGGCUCAGUUUUGAACGUGUUUGUUUUUUUCAUUUCAUUUUUAAAAUAUAUUAAUUAUAAUUGUGUGUUACAAACAAUAUACAAUAUUUAAAACAAAUUACAAUAUUUAAAACAAAGUAUUUUUCAAGUUUAGGCACUAGAAUGCAUAUUCAUGACAAGUUCAAGCACCACAAAUGUAUUUACCUCGGAAAGUAAUAAAAAACACACACAAGAAAAUCAGAAAAUAAAACCCCGGGCCAAAACCAGAACAGCCAGCAAGAUUUCCAGAAUGGUCAAAAACUCAGUCUGGCCACGGAUUACUUUAAGGGAAUCUUGGGUCAGCCUGCCCCCUCGAUGAACACAGUGGACGUACAGUCACUAUACACUUCACUUGAUCUAUCUGCCCUGACGGUACGGUUUUCUUGGGCUGAAAUCGUACAAGCCAUCAGCUGCUCACCCAAUAACAGAAGUCCGGGCCCUGACGGUUUCACCAAUGAGUUUUACAAGGCUUUCAAGUUGCUGCUAAAGGAUGACCUGCUCCGUUUUUUUGAUGAUUUCCACAGAAAUGUGGUUGAUCUUACUGGUAUUAACUCCGCUUUCAUCACCCUGCUACCUAAAAUGGAUACGCCCCUGGAGAUGCGGGACUUCAGUCCGAUUUCCCUCGUACAUAGCAUACCCAAACUGGUUUCUAAGGUUCUGGCUUGUAGGCUGAAAGCAUGGAUUCCUCUCUUGAUUCACUCUCUCCAGUCUGGCUUCUUGCGGGGCAGAUCGAUUAUAGAAGACUUUACCCUGGCUGCCGAAAUGAUCCAAUACGCACACAAACGGAAAAUGCCAGUCAUUGCUUUGAAGUUGGAUUUUCACAAAGCUUUUGACAGCGUCAGUUGGUCCUGUUUGCACAAAGUACUUGAAGCCAGAGGGUUUUCUCAGCUGUGGAUUAGUUGGAUUCAAAUGCUUUUGUCAACCGGCAGCUCUAAAGUCCUUAUUAAUGGCCAGUUGGGUGCCCCCAUCCGGGCUAAGCGUGGUUUUCGGCAAGGCGAUUCCUUAUCCCCUUAUCUUUUCAUUAUCGUUGCGGACGUGCUACAGAGAAUGUGCUGCAAAUUGUUCCAAGAUGGUUCCUUGCUACACCCACUUGGUUCAGACAGUUUCUUCCCGGUUCUGCAAUACGCGGAUGACACGCUGAUUCUUUUCCAAGGCACUACGCAGCAGGCGGCAAUUGAUAAGUCAGCACUCACAACUUCCUCUGCUUUCUCUGAGCUCACCAUAAAUUUCCACAAGAGCACUCUCGUACCUGUUGCCGCGUAGACCAUCACUGCUUCGGCCAUCGCGCAGAUCCUAGGCUGCCCCGUUUCAUCCUUUCCAUGCAACUACCUGGGCCUGCCUCUCUCUCCGCACAAGAUUACGCAUGGUAUGUUACUGCCUGUUAUACACAAGGUCGACCGUCGUCUUUCGGGCUGGUUAGCUACUUUCCUAUCCUUAGGGGGUAGAUUGAACCUUAUCAACUCAGUGCUCGCUGGUAUCCCAAGUUAUUUCAUGUCAUGCUUUCCCUGGCCCAAGGAAUCUCUUGGAAAAUUGGAAAGUCUCUCACGUGCUUUUUUCUGGCAAGGCAAGAAUAAGGUCAAGGGGGGUCAAUGCUUAGUAGCUUGGGAUACAAUCUCGUUACCUCGUAUCAAUGACGGUUUGGGUAUCCGUCAGCUGCAGGCUCACAACCAAGCUAUGAUGUGCAAGUUUGUCUCCAAAGUUAUACAAGGUUCGGACAUACCAUGUUAUAACUGGUUCGCCACACAUUAUUGCCGGGCUAUCCUUCCACAAAGUGUUAGUAGCAGAGACACUGCCAUCUGGAAAGGGUUCAAAGAUCUUGUUCCUAUGGUCAUCAACUCCUCUAAAUGUGUUCUGGGGUCUGGUCUUUUGAUUUCAUUCUGGAAGGACCAGUGGCUUGAAGCGGGCCGUUUAUACCAGUUGUUCCCUAUGCUGUAUUCCUUCGCAAUCCAGCCAGAUUUCUCCGUGCACUCACAACACUCCAACGGUUCAUGGGCUGUUCAGCUACACCAUAAUCUCUCUCAAACGGCCUCAGCCGCGCUUGCUGUCCUGCAUGAUUUGUUGCUGGGCAUUGCUCCGAACUUACUGCAUGAGGACCAACGGACUGCUUCCGUGAGCUCUGGACAACUUUGCACUGGUUAUUUCUACAGGCUACUCACUUUCCGGGGGGUUUUGUCAACUCUUGACACCUGGGUUUGGGAGGCAAUGAUCCCCCUCAAGCACAGAAUCUUCCUAUGGCUUGCUUUCCGUGGUGGUCUAAACACUAAGGAUAACAUGGUAAAGAAGGGUUGGUCCGAGGCUUCCCCGUUUGCGCAUUGUGACACUUGCCCCGCUGUUGAGACCAUCGAUCAUUUAAUACUACGAUGUGCAUCCGCCAGUGUUCUUUGGGGCAAGUUGGAACUUGACGUUUUGGCUUGCUCAACUACUAACGUUCUAUGUUUUGUGGAGCAAGCGCAACACCAGCUCAGUUUGAAGCAAAAAUGGAAUGUUGCUUUCACGGCUUGUGCUGUCACCUUUUGGCAUGCUAGGAAUGACAGAGUCUUCAACUCAAAAGUAUGGUCUGUAACAUACACCUGUUUAUAUAUGCAGCAGGCAUGCUCCGUCUUUGGAGUCUCAGAACUCAAAGCCAGCGUACCAGGGAGGUUCUCCAGGUUUGGAGACACAAGCUGCUGCAUAAUUCGUAGACGCCUGAUGUAAUCUUCCCCUCCUCUCUUCCUCCCUCCCUUCUUUCCCUUUUUUCGAUGCUUGUGCUUUGCACCUUGGUGCACCAAACAAGCUGCACUUGUACUUGUACCUUCUACUUCAUCAGGCUCUGGCCUGUUUUGAAAUAUAAGGUCGGCAGCCUGCCACCUUCUUUGUUUUUAAAAAAAAGAACAGCCAGCGAGCGAAUCAUCAAUCCCGAAGCGAGCCAGAAGAAGCAUGGGCCUCGGAUCGCGGGGAGCACCGCAACCUUUCCGUCGCUCGAAACUGCGUGCUCUGCAGUAACUCCAGGGAGAUGGCUGGCUAUCUUGCAGUUGGCUACCAUUUCUCUCGUGAAGUUUGGUGGCCACGCUGAGGCGUUGCGGUCUUGCUCACCACACAGACACCGACCAUUUACACGUUGUGUGCCUGGUGGCCUCACACUCGGAAUGUACUCUCCAUACCGGCAUGCAAAGGAUUCGACAUCCUGGCACUGCUCACCCUCUGGAAACUAUGGACUUUCAAUGGCGCCCCGAGCACCACUAGGCAGGUCUACGCCGUCAUCGCAAUGGAGGGCGACUUAUGGAACAAGGCAGCACCGCUGCUGGGUUGCAAGCUAUUUGGAAAUAGUGGAGUGUGUGUAGAUUGGUAGGCAUAGUUUAAAUUCAAAAGAUGCGGGACCAAACUCUUCUAUCUGGUGUAACUCACGGUGCCAACUCUCGUCCAAUUAACAAGAUACUAUAUUGAAUCCUUCAAAGAAAACACAAGAUAUAUUGAAACCUACCGACUGCAUGUGAAGCUAGUAAAUACAUUAAUUGGAGCUAGCUUUUGGACCAUACUCAUGUGUGGUGUGCGGCUAUAUAUUGCACACACAUAUGUGAAAUUCAUAAUUUAGUUGUGCUAGCAACAAAAGUAGAAGGGAUAUAUCAGGGUCAAUAUACAAUAGUUCAAUCUACUGGGUGUGCAACCACUACGGUAUUAGAGAUUGGUCAUUUAGCUAUACCCGCAGUGACCAUACACAUUGAAAAGGAGACAUCUGGAAAUGAGGGGAAACAAUAUGCUUAGAACUAGAUCGAAGAUAUCUAUGGCGUCGAGCACCCUACAUGGUAGGACACCAUAUAGGACACCAUGUAGUCUGUUGCCUCAAGCUUUCUUUUGUUUUGGAAGAUCCAUCUGGUGCCUGGCUUUAUAUUGAUCAAAGCAGGGAGCAUAUGGGAAAAGUACAAAGGUGUAUUGUGAUCCAAUGAUCAAGGAGAAAAUAAAAAAAAAGAGGCGCCACUAGGCAACCCUUCCAGCUCCUAACAAGCUUGCCAUGAUACUACUAAGUCUUGGCUAAAUUCUCGCACUUUCAUCCCCAAAAGGGGGCUCAAUGAAUUUUACACUCGCCUGGCACCAGAGUUCAAAAUUGCGUCUGACAACUAUAAUGCCGCUCAUCGAAGCAAUCUUGGCUCAGAAAGUGCACUCAUUUCUUUCUUGCCAGAUCCUCCAAAGGAUUAGCAGCGCUAGGUCUUCGGCGGCUUUUUGAACUUUGAUUGGGCCGCGUUGAUCAAACACACUCAAAAUCAUAGUCUUUACUAUCAAACACAUGCGAACUGGCGGGAUUUAUGAAAAAGCCCUCUCGACUACCGUUGCUUAUGAAGCUGCUUUUUCCUCAACGUCAGACGAUCUGUUUUCAUUAUUUGAAAAUAAUAAUAAUUUGCGCCUAGCUGGUGUUGAAUGUUUCUUUUGCUGGCACGCAAGCAGAGGAUAUUCACCAACCGCCUCCACUGAAGCUUGUCUGUGUUGUAAAGAAGCCGAAUCAAAAGCUCAUUUUCUCAUACAUUGCUCAGUUCCUAGGGUGAUGUGGACGAUUAUUGACUCUCUCAACAUUACUCCGGACGACUACACCUCCUUAACUCCUUUCAUGUUGAGUCAUCUCCGAGCCGGCAAAUAAAGUAAGGAACGCAGUAAUUAUGGCUCGCUUGUUGAAUAUCUAGAAGUGCCGUAGCGCACAAGUUUUCAGGAACUAGAAUGAAGACCUUCAAGUUGUCAUCUCUAGGUCUGCAAAUGAUAUUUUUCGUUGGUCAAACAGAUGUGAAAAUGAAUCCAAAAGGCGAAUACUCUAUGACAAUUGACAACGGGGUUAUGCUUUCAAGACUUAAUGUGUGUGUCUUUGUUUCUGGAGUAGUUUGGGUAGCUUUGUUCUUAUCUCCCCGCUUCUUUGUAUAUGGCAGUGACUACAAAUUUAUAAAAGAAAAGGUUCAGGAUGGAUUUUAGCCCGCCGUAGUUACCCCCCACCCCUCCCCAUUACUGCUUAGUGGUACUGCCUGGCUUAAAAGGACAGAGUUCUUUGAUGCUCAACCACAUGUACCACUCCUACUAAUCCGAGCAGGGGACCACUAUUUAGUGGUGGUUUAUUCUAAUGCAGCAAACAUGGCUUCUAGUCAACCUUCAAGUUCAUCGAUUGAACACCUUCUCUCCUAUUGGCCGGCUAGCGGGCUGGGUGAACGAUCUCUUUGUUUGCUCCAGUCCAGAGUGGUGGUUGGUUUUGGCAAGUUAUGGCCUGUGUUGCUGAUGGUGUGAUCCUCUAAAAAGUACAAGAAAGAACUCCAUUAUAUUCUUUUUGCUAAUAAUGUAAGUUUUGAAUGGACCAAUCGGUCCCAUGAUUUUUUUACAUCUCACGUUAUGUGGAUCAAGCGGAUAUGUCGGUGGUACGUUCUUGUCAUGAUCGUCGGUAAUAUACUCGCCUGGAUCGUAACCCUCUACUUUCAGUAUUUGUGCCCGUCCGAAUCAUGUUGCACCUUAAAAAUGGUCUAUUAAGCUAGGAAAUACUUGGUAAAAAGAUGUAAAAUCAGUAAAAAAAUAAAAUAAAAAAUUCCAAAAAUGAACCAUGAGAUCUAAAAAUUAUUAUAUGUAAGAACUAGCAUGGUAGUCCAAGCAAUUGUGCAAUGAACAUCUUGAUUUUCCCUCAUUAUAAAUACACCUUUAGGGUACUUAAAAACAAUAAUUUUCAGUUAAAAACAUUGAAAUUUUACACACCACUGAGCAACAAGGCCUUUAGCUAAUAUUGUCGGGCAGAUUGAAAUUCAAAAGAUGAGGGACCAAACUUUUCUAGUUUAAGUCACCGUACCAACUCUAAUAUAAUUAACAAGAUAAGUUGAACGCUGCCAACUGCGCGCCAAGCUAGUAAAGACAUUAAUUGGAGCUACCUCUUGAACAGUACUCAAACGGUGUGCAGCUGUAUAUAUAUAUACACUCUAUGCAUAUAUGAAAUUCACAAUUUAGCUGCACUACCAACCUAAACAGAAAGGAUCUGUUCAACUUACUAGGUGUACAACCACUGCUGUAUGAGAUCGACCGUCUAACUGUACGUGCAUAAUUCAUAUAUGUAGGAAAUGGAGGCACCGGGAAACGAGGGGAAACCAUAUGCUGUUGUGCCACCUCUCAUCGCGUGUCACCGUUUUGUGAUUCACACCCAGGAUCGUAUGCACCACACAUCGUUCACUCCGAAAACUGCACGUGCUAGGCUAGCUUCUUCAUACAUUCGUCUCUUCACUACAUUGAAUAAUGAUAAAAUCUCUCCUCCGACCAUAAUAGGCAACCGCUCGUCCCUGCACACUUGAUCAGCAAGGAGGCCACGAAUACAAGGAAGCUUAGUAACUUUUAGGGCUAGUAAGCUUGCACGUGCAACAACAUGUAUAAUAUUUAGAUUUUAUUGAGUAAAAUUUGUUUUUGAAUCCUUAAAACCUAAUCCCCUAAUUCAGGACAAGAAACUCACUAAUUUCAAUUAUUAGCAUCCCCAAUCACAUUUUCCAAAUGGAUUGUCGGCUGUUUCUAUCAGCAAGACAUGGGGCACUCUUGGGCAGGUCUCUAAGCACGCUCGAGUCAUUCAUUAUGCAAAUUAGUGGUGAUGAUGAACAAAAUCUAAGGAUUGAGAGCGUAAUGAAGAGAAGAGAGUAGAGCAGAAACCAAUAGGCAAUGAAAGGGAGAAGGGUGACCAUCGACAUUCAGGAGGGAGUGUCGGUGUCAAAACCGGCGGAUCUCGGGUAGGGGGUCCCGAACUGUGCGUCUAAGGUCGAUGGUAACAGGAGACAGCGGACAAAAUGUUUUACCCAGGUUUGGGCCCCUAUGGAGGUAAUACCCUACGUCCUGCUUGAUUGAUCUUAAUGAAUAUGAGUAUUACAAGAGUUGAUCUACCACGAGAUCGUAAUGGCUAAACCCUAGAGGCCUAGGUUGUAUGGUUAUGAUAAUGUAUAUCUCCCUCCGGACUAAGUCCUCCGGUUUAUAUAGACACCGGGAGGAUCUAGGGUUACACAAGGUCGGUUACAAAGAAAGGAAUCUAUAUAUUUGGUAGCCAAGUUUGCCUUCCACGCCAAGGAGAGUCCCAUCUGGACACGGGUGCCGUCUUCGGUCUUCGUAUAUUCACAGCCCAUCAGUCCAGCCCAUGGCUAACAAGCCGGACGCCCGAUGACUCCUUAGUCCAGGACUCCCUCAGUACCCCCUGAACCUGGCUUCAAUGACAAUGUAUCCGGCGCGUAGAUCUGUCUUCGGCAUUGCAAGGCGGGUUCCUUCCUCCAAACUCCAAGAUAGUCUUCGGACGUAUUUGAACGUGUCCGGACCUGUAACACAACACCACACACAACCGCGGAGAGAAUAUAAUAUUCCACGAGUCCAAUCUGAUGACAACUUUUAUAACGUGACGUCACACUCGCCCAGUUUUUCGAGCCGUUUCCUGUCCCGCCGUUCCACGUUUUGAGGCGCGGUUGCUAUUGGCACGCUCUGUCGAAACAGAGAUUGUGUCCCUUUAUUGCGGGAUUCUCAUUAACACGAGUGUGGGUAACCCAACUGUUCUGUUGGAAAGAUCCCUUAGGAAUAGGCAGGCUUUCAGGCUCAAGAGGAGGCGUUUAAUUCCUGGUGCCUUUAUAAAGGAACCAAGGGCCGUCCUUUUUGACGCCAAACUUCUCCUCAGCCUCUCGAACCUCGAGUUCUAGCACCCAAGGUUUUGACUUCGUUGCUCCGAGCUUCCCCAUUAUGUCCGGACCCAGCCCUCAAGGCCAAUGGGUGGCUUCCUCUAUUACAGAGGAGGACAUUAUGAAGCUUCGAGCGGCCAGAUACCUGACAGCGGAAAUCCACCACAGACUUCCUGCUCAAGGGAAGGUUAUCCCGACCCCCAGAUCUGGCAAGAGGGUCGUAUUCAUCUCACACUUCCUUCGAGGGCUAGGGCUCGCUCUUGAUCCCUUCAUCCGGUGGCUAAUGUUCUAUUAUGGACUAGAUUUUCACGAUCUAGCCCCAGAGUCUUUCCUCCAUGUCUCAGCGUUCAUCAUUACGUGCGAGGCCUUCCUUCGAAUCCCCCACACUUCGGCUUAUGGCUCAAGACCUUCAGUGUGAAACCAAAGAUAGUCGACGGGGAACAGGUGGAGUGCGGUGGUGCUGUAGUCAGCCAGCUCACCAACACUCCUUGGCCAAAAGACUCCUUUAUUGAAACUUCCAAUCAAUGGCAGCGAGAGUGGUUUUACGUUAUGGAGCCCCGCUGAGGGAAUCUUGGAUUAGGGGGUCUCCGGACAGUGGGACUAUAUCCUUUGGCCGGACUGUUGGACUAUGAAGAUACAAGAUUGAAGACUUCGUCCCGUGUCCGGAUGGGACUCUACUUGGCGUGGAAGGCAAGCUAGGCAAUACGGAUAUGGAUAUCUCCUCCUUUGUAACCGACCUUAUGUAACCCUAGCCCCCCCGGUGUCUAUAUAAACCGGACGGUUUUAGUCCAUAGGACAACAUACAAUCAUACCAUAGGCUAGCUUCUAGGGUUUAGCCUCUCCGAUCUCAUGGUAGAUCAACUCUUGUACUACUCAUAUUAUCAAGAAUAAUCAAGAGGACGUAGGGUUUCACCUCCAUCAAGAGGGCCCGAACCUGGGUAAAACAUCGUGUCCCCUGCCUCCUGUUACCAUCUGCCUUAGACGCACAGUUCAGGAACCCCUACCCGAGAUCCGCCGGUUUUGACACCGACAUUGGUGCUUUAAUUGAGAGUUCCUCUGUGUCGUCACCGUUAGGCUUGAUGGCUCCUUCGAUCAUCAAUAGCUAUGUAGUCCAGGGUGAUACUUUUCUCCCCGGAUAUAUCUUUGUAUUUGGCGGCUUCGCACUGCGGGUCAACUCGCUUGGCCAUCUGGAGCAGAUCGAGAGUUAUGCCCCUGGCCACCAGGCCAGGUUUGGAAGCUUAAACUACACGACCGACAUCCGCGGAGACUUGAUCUUCGACGGAUUCGAGCCCCUGCCGAGUGCGCCGCACGGUCACGAUGAGCAUGAUUUAGCUCUGCCAUCGGACAGUGUUCAGGAGACCGCACCGGCAACCGCUCUAACCCUCAAUUCGGAGCCAAUUGUGCCAUCCAUGGACGGGUGGAUAGACCCCGCCACGGAGGCGGCACUCUCAUCGGCGAUCGAGCCGAAUAUCGACCUUACCCUUCACACAAGAGCCUGACAUCGAACUGCCGAAUUCUUCCCCGGCCACGGACUCCGAACCGCCUGCGCCCAUGCCUAUCAGAUCCAACUAGGCGCCGAUCAUGGAGUUCACCUCCGCGGAUAUCUUUCAGCACUCGCCCUUCGGCGACAUACUGAGCUCAUUAAGGUCUCUCUCCCUGUCAGGAGAGUCCUGGCCGAACUAUGUUCGGCAGGAUUGGGACGCGGAUGACGAAGAAAUUCGCCGCCCACCCACCAUGCCCACUUAGUAGCCACUGUCGACGAUUUGACCAACAUGCUCGACUUCGACUCCAAAGACAUCGACGGUAUGGACGACGAUACAGGAGAUGAACAGGAACCACUGCCGACAGGGCACUGGACGUCCACUUCAUCAUAUGAUGUAUACAUGGUGGACACACCCAAAGAAAACGACGAGGAGGAACGGAAGGAUGCAGUGAAGGGUUGUUCCCUCGAGAAGCAGUCAAAGCAGCAACGUAAGCGCCGCUCCAAAUCCCGCCUCGGUAGAAACAGUGAUCAUAUAGACCCAGCGUUAGAGCAGGGUGAAGCAUCGCCCGACCAUGGCAACACGGAGAAUCAAACCGAACAACCCGACUCCGUCAAAGAUAACAGUCCGGACGAGAUCACACCGGACAGGCACCCGGAGCAACAGAAUGUCCAUCAAAGGCUUGUUGCCACUGCGAGGUGUCUGAAAAAGCAGAAGCAAAGGCUCAGGGCUGCACAAGACACACUCAGAAUCAGAUGGAGUGAAGUACUCAACACUGCAGCGAAGUACGACGGUAAUCGCCACACCAAGAGCUACCCGAAGCGAAAGUUGCUACCUGAAUUCGACGAGGAGGCCUUAGAUCCCCCACAAUUGAAAAACAAAACGGCCAUCCGGUCGGAUAGACGACCUCAUGGCCAACAUAGAGCGGCAAACGACGCCGCACAUAAGCCAGUACGCGAUCCACACGAGGGCUCGCAUCAAAAGGACGGCGCAACCAGAUCCAUAUACGGGCCACGCAAGCGCGCUCCAGUAUGCAAUGCAACACAACAAACAUCCGAACAUCACGGUACACCCAAAUACAGGGGUGCCGCACACCCCCUAUGUUUCAUCGAUGAGGUGCUGGACCAUGAAUUUCUAGAGGGAUUCAAACCUGUAAACAUAGAGGCGUACGACGGAACGACAGACCCUGGGGUCUGGAUUGAGGACUACAUCCUCCAUAUCCACAUGGCUCGAGGAGACGAUCUCCAUGCCAUCAAGUACUUACUCCUCAAGCUCAAAGGGCCAGCUCGGCACUGGCUUAAAAGCCUCCCCGAAAACUCCAUUGGAAGCUGGGAAGAGCUCAAAGAUGCUUUUCGGGAAAAUUUUCAAGGGACCUAUGUCCGACCACCGGAUGCAGACGAUUUAAGUCAUAUAACUGAACAACCCGGAGAGUCAGCCCGAAAGCUUUGGAACAUGUUUCUCACUAAAAAGAACCAAAUAGUCGACUGUCCAGACACCGAAGCCUUAGUAGCUUUCAAGCACAGCGUUCGAGACGAAUGGCUCGCCAGGCACCUCGGCCAAGAAAAGCCGAGAACAAUGGCAGCAUUAACAAGCCUCAUGACCCGCUUUUGCACGGGCGAGGACAGGUGGUUAGCCCGGUGCAGCACCAGUGACCCAAGUACAUCCGAAGUCAGGGAUGAAAACGAGAAACCACGACACAGCAAAAACAAGCGCCGGAAUAAAGAAGACAGCCCGAAGAGCACGGCGGUAAACGCCGGAUUCAGAAGCUCUCGGCCAAGUCAGCAAAAGCUGCCCUCCAAAGGCAACAGAGACGAACUAUCCAGCCUAAACAAGAUUCUGGACAAAAUAUGUCAGGUCCACACACUACAAAAAAUACACUUCCAUGAUGAUACGUGUUUGUCACAGUAGGUCGCUUUUUUUGUCAUGCAUGUACAUCCAUGACAAAUUUAUGACAGAAUGAAGAUAGUCAUACCUGUGCUGUCGUAGAAGUGUUUCAUGACAUUACCAAAAUUAUCAUCACGGAAGUGUCCACUUCCACGAUGAUAAAUCGCGCGGCACAGAAGUGCUUUCAUCAAGGGUGACCGACACGUGGCAUCCACCAUAACAGAACGCCGUUAAGCUAUCGGGUCGGGUUUUGGAUCCGAUAACCCGUUAACAGCCCCGACCAAUGGGAAAUUUCCACGUGUAAAAUUCUUAUUGGGCGGACGAAACACGUGUCAGCUCGUUAGUGGGUCAGAUAGGCGCCUAUGAUAUGUUGACACAUGGCACGGCCCAUCAAGUUUAAAUGGGCCGGCCCAACUAAAGGCCCACAAGAUUUUGCGGACCAUAAUGGGCUGGCCCAGCUAAAGGCCCACGAGAUUUUGCGGACCGUAAUGGGCUGGCCCAGCUAAAGGCCCACAAGAUUUUGUGGGCCAUAAUGGGCAGGCCCAGGUAAAGGCCCACAAGAUUUUUGUGUGCCAUAAUGGGCCGGCCCAGGUAAAGCCCACAAGAUUCUUGCGGGUCAUAAUGGGCCGGCCCAGCUAAAGGCCCACGAGAUUUCGCCGACAUUAAUGGGUCGGCCCAGCUGUAGGCCCACAAGAUUUUGAGGACCCUAGUAGGCAGGCCCAUUAACUGGCUGCCAUGUUUUGGGCCAAAUGCUGGCCCAUAUUUGAUCCGGUCCAUUAAUGGCCUGCCAUGCUCCGGGCCUAAUAGUGGCCCAUAUGAGAUCCGGCCCGUUAAAAGCCUACCACGUUCUGGGCCAAAUUACGGCCCAGAUCAGGUCCGGCCCUUUAAGAGGCAUUGGGCUCAAUUAUGGCCCAUAUCAGAUUCGGCCCGUCAACUGGAAACUAUGCUUUUGGGCCCACUUGCUAAAGGCCCACUUAGUAAUUCGGCCUGAUAUUAGUUUUGGCCUGUUAAGGGCCCGUUUAACAUUUUGGCCCUAUAUUAAUUUCGGCCUGUUAAAAGCUAGUCAUAUAGUUGGGCCUAACUACGGCCCUGUUUGCAUCCGGCCUGCUCGCAACCGAUAUCUGAUUGGGCCAAACAAGGACCAAGAUAAUUUUGGCCUGUUAAAAGCUAGUGAUUUGAUUCGCACAAUCAUGGGCCGGGGUUCAUUUCAUGCUGCUACGUAACUAGUAUGAAUUAAGAACAAAGCUACUCUAUACAAUAAAGAAAUUACGGCAUAGUAACUUAGAAUAAACCUACACUAUACAAUAAAGGGUUUAAGGUAUAUUACAUCCACUGGGCAUCGAAGUUCGCCACCAGUGAUCAUAAAGCGCAACGUAGAAACAGAUUACAAAAACAGGGCACCAUUGCAGCGUAACAAAAUAAUACUGAACCGAGACCACUUCCAAGACAGUUCAAGAAAGGUUAGCCUUGCGGGGGAACUACUGCGCAAGCUGCUGAGCAAGGCUGUGAGACCAGCCUAGCAUGUCGGUCAUAGUUUCCAGGUGUAGCUGUUUAGCGAUGAGGUUCUCAUUGGUGUUCUCCACAAUCUUUCUUAGAGAUAGGACUUCAAGUCGAAGUUGAGUUGCAGAAUGCCUUUCUGCUAGAACUUGGGACUGAAGAAGUCGAACCGAUUCAGACAACGAAUUCUGUGAGCUUGUCUGACUGUUAGUGUCAAGUAACUUGAACACUGCAUCAAGACAAGACUUUGGGGUUGUCUCGCUAUCUGUAAGAUGUUGUUCCUUCUUUGCUGCAAUAUAUGUUGGGUUUGUCUCACAGCCUUCAGCAGACUUGUGCAUGCCAUCAGGCAUAUCACCCUGAAACAAAGUAGAGAGAUGACAGGUUUUCCACGUGUAUAAUCAAAGAUGAUAGCUGUUCUAUCAAUUCUAUCCAAUUUCAAAUUAGAAAAUAAAGAGUAUGUUCAAAAUAUCAAUAGCAUAAUUUGGCAUUGUUCAUAAUGCGGGGAGCUUCACCACAUUAAUGGAUUACCAUGUCAACAUAACAAGAAUAGAUGAAGGGCAAAGAAAAUCAUUGUAUCUAUUUUGGAUAAUAUGCAUGGCAUGUUGUUCAUAUCAUCAGCCACAUCAAUAAGAUAAAACAGGAGAUGACAAGGUGCAAACGUGGGCUGCUUCACCACACACUGGAUUAUAGAUCCACAAAAACAAGCAUACAUAUAGGGAGUAUUAAGUAAUGUGCAUGGUAUGAAUAAGGAAUUUGGUUUUACAAGUAAAACUUAGAACUUACGGUUCUUACGAACAUGCAUUUUGGCAGAAACAGCAAACUAAACAGCAGUAAACGAUAGGGAGUAUGAGCAAAUUAAACAACAGUUGAGGAUAAAGGCUUUAGAAGGACUGACUUACAUUAACAGUUAACACCGGCUUUAUAAUGCCCUUCUCCAUGUCAAGGGAAGGAUAACUCAAGAAUUUCAGCACAGAAUCUUCUUCAUAAGCAUUGCCUGUACUCUACAUUUUGUAGAGAGUAAUUAUAGAUAUGAUAAUACUGGAAGGGGUAGAGGAUAAUGAAGAUAAGAUGCAGAUUGAUGCUACAUAAUCAACUACCAAUCCCUGGAAGUACAAGCGUUACAGGACAAAAUGUACUGACAAGAGCAAUGGGCUACACUUCUGCACUGGCAUUGUCUAUGUAUUCUACUUGUUGGUAAGAUUGAAUAUAGAUCUGAUCUUUUUUAGUAAAUGCUGGGCGAGGGAGAUAAGACGCAGAAUGCUACAAAAUGAACCAAUCCCUCUUCCCAUAAUACAAGAGUGUUUUGAACACUGGUGUACUGUACAAAACGUUCUUAUAUUACGGGACGGAGGGAGUAGCUGUUAAUGUAAGUACAGUGAUAGACCACGUUCAGUCCUUUCAAGAGGACUGCAGAGCUAAACCUCUUCAAAAGCAUUGGGUUGAUUCUAAAUUUAUGUAAGAGUCCAUACGGAUCUUAUAAUGUCCACCAAAUGGACGAUUACGAGGCUAACAUGUGCAGUGAUGCUACAUAAUCAAACAGCUAUGAAAGUAAAUAUGGUCAUACAGGGCAAGAGGUACUCACAAGAGCAAUGCAGUGUGCAGUAUAGUUGCGAGAUUCUAUGGUCCCUUGAGAAUGAAUGUUCUUCUGCUAACAGUUUUCGUACAAGUGAGACAUUAAGGCAAAUGCAGAAAUGUAGUUCAAAUUGUGAUGUGAUAUCAUAGACAGUACCUUACGCUGCAGCCGAGACCAAUGUGUAACAAGAUUAUUCCAGUCUCCGUCGGAUAAAUGUAGCACCGGAGACUUUACAGAAAUUUUGUUCAGAGGCUUGCCAUCGAAGUGCGCUUGCCUCAGGUAGGAACGAUACUUCAUCAAUGAGUGCUUGAAAUGGGCAACCAACCCUUGCUCAUCAUCACAAUCCAGUUUGCGCCUCGCCUAUUUAAAAGAAUGAAAUCUUGUGUCUUCUGUCAGCAGAAACAUAUGCAGUAAUGACCAUGAAUAACAUUAGUACAUUACUUACGCGUAAGUUGUGGAGGAAGACUGGAAAUUGUUCUGUGUCUGCGGUAUAAUCUUUCCAUGAAGGAAAGAUGCGCACAAAGUUCCUGACAACAACAUAAGCUUCAUCUUCUAAACUGGGAAGAAAUGGAACAGGGGUCCUAUUUGCUACAAUUGGGGCUCUCUCUGGUUCGAAAAGGGAUUUGGCAACUAGAUUUGGUGUACUCUUUGCUGGAAUGGGGGUUUUUUGCAUCGUACAGCUGGUGCUAUGUCAACUGGCAUAAUCAUAUUGUUUGCUGCAGUUGGGGUCUGCUGAGUUGGGGCAUCAGAAAUGACCAGUGUAGUAGGGCUAGAGUCUGCUAGAGUUGGGGUAUUUUGUGGGUCAGGUGAUAUUGCAACUACACCUAAUGGGCUAUUUGAUUUAUCAGGUGCCACUACCUUUUCCAAAACUUUGCUUGUGCUCCUCCACGAUCAGCAAUCGCCCUCUUCCUUUUGAAUGUCUGAUACACAAGAACAACAUUUGAAUGGAUAAAUAUGGUAUGAUGACAGAUGGAAUAUGUAUUGAAAAUGGAUAGGCAGGGCGUAUUCACAUAAACGAUGCGUAAACUAAGCUAAUGGCAGUUCAACAAAGUAGAAGCAAUGCAAAGCAUCAGUUGCAAGAUAUAUGCGAGCAAUGUAACCUUGGAAAGUUAGAGCAAGUACCUUGAUGGGUGAAUAAGAUAUGACAUCUUCCUCUGACUCCUCCACUAGGGAGAUACAUUGACUUAGGUCUCCCUCUAGCUCAGAAUCACUGUUAGGAUCAUAUUCGGAGCAUGAAUCUGUAGGUGGAGCGUGUUUGCAUUGCAUUGCAUCCAGACUUGAUUUCAGUCCCUUAAUGCCAAGUUUGACAUCCAUGGCAUUGUUCUGCUUUAUUCUUUUCAUGCGCACAAGUUCAUAAUCAUUAUGAUGGUGUUCAGAAUCUGAGAUUCAUGAAAACAUAAAAAGUAGUCAGAUUAUCUAUGGAAUGCAUUGCGGUUUCAACUCGGAGAGUGUCUCCCUAUAAAUCCCUGCAUAUGCAAAGUUCACCUCCCCAACCGUGCUGACCAGACCACACACAUAGAUACACACCCGAGCGGCGAACAUGCAUUUUUGAAACUAAUAUAGGAACAUUUAGCUGACCAAUUAAACAACUCUGUUUUAAUAAUAUCAGAUUCGUAUUUGAAGAACUAAGAUUGAUUAGCUUGAUGGGUGGAGUAGUGUUAUUAUGAAACGAAGCACGUAUUCUGAUCGUAUAGUGAUCAUAAAAGGGGGAAACUCUAAGCAUAUAAUUUUUAGCAAAAGAGGGUUUCCCCUCUGAUUUCUAUUAAAGAAACCACCACAGAACCAACAUAAUCAAUUAAACCCUAAGCAUGAUCAAUUAAACCGUAUUAUGGCUGUGCCAUGGCAAAAUUGAAGCUGCAAACCGGAGAAAUGAUAUUUAGCAUCCACUGUUUGCUUCGAACUAAGAAAUAAAUUCUAAGAGCUGAAAAGAAAGUAGAGUAACCAAGUUAAGAUCUAUUUUCUUGUUGAGAUCAAAAAGUUGACGAGAUAUGAAGUACCACCUCUCUUGCGGCGCUGUGUAGGCAUCGGGGGUGCGAUGGCUGUCGGUGGCGUUGAAGCAGAUCUGCAACGGUAGACGGGUGCAUCGGGGGAUAAGUCCCGUUGCGGUGGAAGAGAAGGUCGUGUGAGCAGCCCCGGCAAAGAGGACGACGGCGCCGAUGAAGCGAGAGGACGCCAUGCAAGGCUAUUGGUCCGUCGCCGUGGAUGAGAAACGUCCAUCUCUAGCAGUGGACAACGCGGUCUUGGUAGGCGCUCCGGCAUGGUGGAGGACGAUGGCGAUGGAUGUGGUGGAGGACGGCAGCGAUGGAUGGGGUGGCGGACGGAGGCUGGUGUGGGAAUGGGUGUUCUAGCGUGGAUGAUGUAUGAAUGGGAAAAUGGAGGGAGAGGUAUGGGGAACCAUGUUUUUGGGACGCGCUUGUCUGAAAUAUGGGAAAGUUACGAACUUAUCCCCUGUUUCAAAUUUGGACGUCUCGUCGGUUGGGGAUAGGACGGUAAUCUCGCAUCUCCCAAAUAUUUGCCGGUAACUAUUUUGGGCGAGGAGAGGGUGUUUUGCCGCCCACGGUUGGGCGCCCAUGGUGUAUGAACGGGGCUAGCAGGUAGGGUGGUUAUGUCACGUCUGAUGGAAGUUACACAUCUGCCCCUAUUUAAAAUAUUAGCCUACAUCUAUUUUGGACGAGGAAAGUUUGUCUUGCCGCCGACCAUGUAUGAAUGGGGAAUAAAGGGAGAAUCAAAUGAGUUUUGCCGCCCAUGUUUGACGCCCACCGUGUCGGAAUGGGCUCAAAGGCGGUCGUGUCACGUCUAAUUGAAGUUACUAACCUACCCCUAUUUAGAGAAGUGGAAAUCGGGCCGAUGGAUUGUUUGUGUAAUGGGUAGACAGUAAUUUCCAUCUCCCAAACACUUGGCUUCGGGCAGCCGAUGUGGGAGUGGACAUUUUGCUGUUUCUUUCGAAUUUUGGGACAAUAAGCAUCCACGUUUACCCUGACAACUAAAUUCGAAUCCAUUUUGUAUUCCUAUAUGAAUCUUUAUAAAUCAUUCUAUGUGUUUUUAUAUAUCUUCAAAAGGACGACAAAGAUGUAUUCCACUGUCAUAUAUGAAUAUGGUUUACAAAUGCCGAUACUCAAAUUCAGAAACUAGAAUCCAGUUUAAGGUGAAUUCGAAUAUUUGCAACACUUCAUGUCCAACUCAAAUGUCACACGCAGCAUAAUGUGUACUCCCAUUUAGAUAUGUGCACAAGCGAUGUAUCAAGAUUCAAAUACCGAGUCAAUCAACCAAGAAUGUACGGAACUAACAGACAUAUAAACACUUAUAGAGUAUAUGGAUCAAUAAUAUCAACUAACAUACAUAAGCCAGGUCGCUGUACUUUUUUUGGCUACAACAGCAUCCUUUUUUUAGCCAGCAUCUUGGCCCUUUCCGAUGCGUGCCACUUAUGGUCCAUCUAUACUAGUAUUGCUGAAUGCACAUUCAGCCCGAUUGGCAUAUUUGUAGGUCUGGCACAACAAUCCAAAUGAAAUGUCUCAGAGUCUUAUCAAUUAAUACAGACUUGUGCUCAAAUAAAAUUACAAACAAAAAACAAAAAAAAACAAUUAUUACAUGAUCUCUAAAGCAAAUGGUUUGAUUGAUUACAUGAACAGACAACACAAAGGUUAUUCAACUAUGGAAAGAACAUUUCACCUAUGAUUUACCAAGUAGGAAUUUAAUUUCCUUUUUUCCUUCAGGACCUUAACAAUCUAGUCAGUCUCAGCUUGCUUCUUUUGAAAUCCACCAAAUAUUUAAUGGUUGUCUUGAGUACUGCUUGUAAUUGUGCUGUUUGCUUCCUCAACAUGUCAACUUCAUCUCUAACUGCAGAAGCAGAAUCUCUUUCUACCACUAGUUUAGCCUCUAGAGCAUCAGUAGUUGGCAAUUCAUAAUGCACGAUUGGGCCGGUGCCACUGCUGUGGGAUGAUGCAACGUCCAUGGGGACCUCGCUCUUUGAUCUUGGGCUAACCUAUUUUGCCAUUAAAGUUCCGAUUGGAUUCAGAAAAGUUGAAUUUAGCAAAACAUCUCAACUGGGAGUUAUAAUAGCAAACUAGUUAAACAAACAAGGAAGUAAAGAGUUUCAAUUGGAUGCUGAAAAGUAGUUAUUAACAUCAUUGUAACCCGCUGUUGCAGCAGCAAAGCAGUUAAACAAACAAGUAGAUAUUUAAGUUAAGGCAAAUAGGUAAUUCUUAACAGUAAGUAUCAAACACAUAGAUAGGCGCAGUCUACAAUAUGAUUAACAUGAUGUGCCAUUAUGUAAUCAGUAGCAAACUAAAUUAAGCCAAGCAACGUAAUUGAACAAUUUCGCAAUAAGUGGCUAACUAAAAUUCCGAGAAGCAGGUAACUGAACUUAUGCUAGUUCUUUGUACAAGCACACUGCAACUUCUUUUUCGCUUACAUGGUUGUACGAAGGAGUCCAUGGCAUCAAUUGCUUGGAUACGCAGUCCUAAUACUUCUUUCUUCCCACAUUGCAUGGGUAAGUCGAAUGGUUAAUCUGGUAAGAUGGUGCGUCCUUGAUAUGUUAUAUGAGGACGUGUAGUCAGACUAGUUGUAGCCAAACACAUCACACUGGCUUUUACUGUAUAUUUCAUGCGAUUACUUUUGGCAUAUCGAGAUCUAAGCAAUCUACAAUAGGAUGAAAAGACUGGCAUCCUUCACAUUAUUGGCGAACUUAGUUCAUAGAAACAAGCAAUUCAACCAUUCUGUGGGUAAAUCAAAAGCGCCACUGGAAUAUUUUUCACUAUCCAAUCAUACACGCAAAAAGGGGCGACGCCACCAUAGGGGCUGGUAUGGGUGGCCGCCUCAGGUGGCUGGAAAGUGUGCACCUAGUUUGAGUCAUCCAGGUUGGCCCAUGCUAGUUUUGUUCGUCCCAACGCACGAGCAGGCAAUGUAAAAAAUGAAUAAAAAUGUUUCAAUUUGGAUGGACCAAAAACAUAAGUGCAAGGCAGGCCCUAUAGCAGGCUCGCGGCCCAAAUGAGCACCUCCCAUAUCGAUCGACAGCAGGAAAAAUCCCAAUUCAUUCGCUCCAGCCUCCAGUCUGGUUCGCUCCUAACCUAGCCGCCGCUGGACAGACCGACACGGCACUUCCCCGCGCCCUCGUUGGAGGGCGGUUGCUGGGCUUCAAGUGAACGGAAGGACAAGAAGAUGAAGAUCCAACCCUGGGUGUAGCCUACGUGGGAGGCAGCGGCGGCAGCACGGGCAUGGCAUCGAGCUUGCGCAAAUGGACAGUCGCUAAUUGCAAGAGUAGCAUGCGCAACAAGCAGGUACAUCACAUCCCUGAUUAUAUCUAAUUCAACUCUUCAAUUUCUGGCCAAUAGUUAAACCUGACGGUGUUGUAAAACUGCUUGUAUGUAGGGAAUCUAUGAGAAAAUGAAACCAAUUUCUACUUAUUUUAUAACUCCCCCAAUCAAUACUGAACUGACUAAAUCUGAUGUAUCUAAUCAAGUUUCCGGUGCAAACAUACAAGCUCAUGUUGUUCUUGAGCCUGAAGUGUCUAAUGAACAGACUGCUAAUGAAGGAUUUGAUGCAAACAUUUUACAUGCUCCUGGUGAUGAACAUAUAGUGUCUAAUGAGGGAUCUAAUGCAAGCAUUUUGCAAGCUCAUUGAAGGAUUUAGUGUCUAAUGAUGAUCUACUAUGUUGAGAGAGACAGAGAUUUGCAGGCAUUGAUGACAAGAAAAUUAUAGUGCAUUUUCAUAGCUUGAGGAAACGUCGAGGCCAUCUACCAGAAAGUCCCCGUAUCAUGACAACAUAGCAUAAAUACUUUUCUAAUCUGUUGUUUGAAACUAUUGGCAUACUUGUGCAUGAUAGAUAUAUUGAUAUGCAGUUUGCGCACUGGUUAUACGUGCAAUUACACUUCGAUAUUUUCAGCCAGAGAACGAAUAAUUCAAGCAGGUACAUACCAUGUUUGUAGUCCUUGUACACCAUGUUGCAUUUUACGUUUUUUGGUGCUUGCAUCAUUUAGUGUUUAUAAUCUGAACUACUUUGGAUCAUUAGCUGGUUUUCGAAGUGCAUGUAGCUUCACAUUUCUCAAGUUAUGUUGAUUUCCGGAGUGCAAGUGCCUUCGUAUUUUUUAAGUUAAAUGUUCGCCCUUGGUAACUUGAAUUCGUCGAUCAGCCACUGCACACAAAUCAUACACGAAUACCAGUACGAAUUAAAUGAAAUGGAGGGACUUACGCUAGCUCAUUGUAGAGGCUCACUUCAGCUCUGCUUGCGCUUGGGAUGUUCCAUGUACAAGUCCAUGUUACCACUUGCUUGGAUGUGCAGGCCUUGUGCUCCUUGCAUCCCCCUCUGCAUUUUUGACACGGCGAAUGGUUGAUCAAAUAAGAGGAAUCAACCUUGAUGUUGUACCGGAGGACAUAUACUUACAAGGUUAUACGGGUGUGCAAGAUGUGUACCAGAUCCCGUAGCGCCGUCAUGCUUCGCUAAAAUAUGGAUUUGCUUGUUUCAGAUGAUAUCUCCAGAAGAAAUAAGAGUUAAGGUCAGAGUUGCAUAUGCGUGUAAGCUAAGAGAGCAGUGAAAGGAUAUCCAAACAUCGUUGGAACAGUGCACAAGGGAGUGAUGUGUGGAUACCUAGUUCGGGCCGGCGUUUGGGCAUGCUCGCCUAGCUAGAGUCCGGGUCACUUCAGAGCCGUUGAGGGUGAUGCGCUGGCGUUGGCUGGUCGUGCACGGAUGCAGAUCUUGAGUGGCAGCGGAGCACUACGAUGCGGUGGACGAGACCGUUGGUGAAGCCCCAACGGCCUCAGGGGGCGGAGGUGCGACGAUGUGCUCGGUGAAGUAGCCCCGGUGAGCUGGGAGACGACAUCAGUGAAGCGCACCUGAUGCAGUGGAACUCGGUGUCUGUGAGGCACGUCGGUUGCGGCGGCCGACGUUGUCGGUGGACCACCCGGUGUGGUGGACGACGACGUAGAUGAGGUAGCUCUGGUGCGGUGGUGAAGCGCGACCAUCGUCUUCGUCGUCGUCGUCCGGCAUAGACGUGGGGAACGGUGGGGAAAGAGACGAGACGAGGGGCGAUUCGAGGGUUGGCGGUGAAUUAGGGAUUUGAGCAAUCUGGGCGUGGAAGGGGACGGUGGAGAAGAGAGAUUUUGCAGGGCUGGAAUUGGGGCCGCCAGAUAUUUCAAUCCGAAACAUGGAAGCGCGAACUUAUAUUGUCGUCGUCUUUUUUUUGGGGGGGAGGAAGGGGGGGUGGGUGGCUGGGUGCUACGCGUCCGUCCGACACACGCGACCACCCCGACAGGACUAUGCUUCGGUGCCUUAAGGCACCUGCCUUUGUGUCCAUGACAUAUGGGCCCAACAGGUGGCUGGCCCACAUGUCAGUGAUGCAAAGGUAGUUGCCUUUAAGGCACCGAAGCAGCGUCCACAACGACACGACCUUGGUUUGCCUGGUGUGCCUACAUUUGAGAAUGCAAAUGAAUCUUCUUUCAUUUGCAAACGAAUCUGUAUGUAUUACCAUGCCCGUGUUUUCCUUGCAAUAAUUAGUCAUUCGAAACGAGAUACUCCAUCCGUUCACUUUUGUAAGUCAUUUCAAACAACUUAAAAUGAACUGUUUUGCACAUUGUCUGAAAUGUCUUCAAGGUCUUAUAAAAGUGAAUAGAGGGAGUUUUAUAAAUUAAUUAAUGAGGAGUUAUUUGAAAAAAAAUCAAAACGGUACCCACGCUAACGUGGAUUAGAGUGUGUCUCACAUAAUUAGUUAUUUGAAUUAGAGUGUGUGUCACGUAGUUAGUUAUUUGAAUUAGAGUGUGUGUCACGUAGCGAUCUUCAAUUCUAACGUGGAUUUCGCAUUUCACUGUAUCCAUGCUACUUUUUUUAAUACAAAUGCAUAUGUAUAUGAUGAACACCAUGGUAGUGAGAAAACUUUUGGAUGGAUUCAAACAUAUGACCUACAGAAUAGCACAACAAACUGAGUCAAUGUCAACUUUUCGAAACUUAGUAUGGCACGAAUUCGAAAUAAUUACCCAUGUGCCUGCUCCUCGGUUCAAAUCUUACAAUGUACACCGAAUUGAAACAUCGAUAUUAAGUCUCGUAGUAUGUACAUUCAAAUGUUGUUUUUAGCCCCCCCCCCGCCGCGCACAAACGCCACAUACUUCCUGUAUCGGUCAAUCUUCCUCUAUUAACCACCUUAGGAUGCUACCGGUUUCCAACACACGUUCAUUCUUUCUCUCCAUGUUUCGAUCUCUAAGUCUCUCAACUACACAACCCCUUUUUCUACUCUGUUACCAAAUGUAUUUACCUCACACACCCGCCAUUGCACCCCAUGCCGAGCUCUCUCUCUCCCCCCUCUCCCUCUCACCCUAUCGCGCUAAAUACAUGCAUUGCCUAUCUAGCCCCCCAACCUCUCGUGCAUGCGCACGCAUGCACGUUGUAUAUCUAGGUCACUCCCUUGAGACUGUCUCACUCUUUCUUCCGCACGGCGGGCCACACUUGCUAAAUCUUGCUCUAUUCAUCCGAGUCUCGUUUAACCUCGUUUUCUUUCACACACAAAUGAUAUAUCUCCCUGUUCGGGCCUCGAUCGACACACUCUAUACUCUCUCACGCAGAUUGUCUAUCUAGGUCAGUCCAUCCAAGACGCCACCACUCUUUCGGCCUCAUGGUGGGCCACGCUCACUCAAUCUCUCUCUCUCUCUCUCUCUCUCUCUCUCUCCGUAUGUCUCGAUUGACCUUGCUCUUUCUCGGACAAAAAGAUAUAUCACCAUGUUUGAGCCCAAUUCGACUAUUCACAUUGUAUACUCUCUCACGCACAUCGUCUAUCUAGGUCACUCUCUCCAACCCAUCUCACUCUUUCGAUCGCACGGCGACCCUAUGUGAUCGGUUGACCUUGCUUCCUCCCACGCACAAAAUAUAUCUACACGUCUUCACUUACUGGUGGGUUCCAUGUGUGCUCUCUCUCUGUCUCGUCCCCUUCUGCGUUUAGACGCACAGGCAAACAUGAAGAACUCGCGGGCGAUGUUGCCGUUGACCAUAUCUAGACGCGUUCACAAGUCACGGCACCAGUUUCACGUACUAGGAGCACUAGUCAGUGUGUACGUGCAAUGCACGUUAAUUUGGAUGUAUAUUAAGUGCAUGCGGAUAUUAACUACUAGGAUAUUAUUCGCGUGUUGUCAUGUGAUUAGCACUAUUUUUGGCAUGAAAUUAACUGCACGCUAAACGUGUUGAGCGCUCGACAUUGAAGCAGUCUAGGUCGUUGGAUGACAAGGAAUACAUGUGGCUUGAUGACGUUUUAUAUUUAAUUUGAUAUGGCUCUAGCAGAACAUCCAAUCGAUCAAACCAUACAUUUCGUUCAGUCUGACUCCGACUUUAAAUUAUACGACGAUCGAUAUAAAAUAAACGGAAAUGAUAAACGUUCGGAUUUUAAGCAUGGCAAUACGAACGUUUUUCAUGGCAAAUUUAGAUUAUGCGGCGGCGGCGGGGGCGUCUCGCAGUGGGAAGCGGCUCCUCUGCCGUGCUCUGUGUGUCGUCGGGCCACUGACCAAUGGCGACGGCGGCGUCUUGCGCCGUUGUUGGCGUACUCCUGGACAUUGGCCUAGCUCCAAGGAAGGCCAAAAUGUUCUAGACUUCGGAGCGAGUCGACUGGCGGGAGGAGGCGACUAGCAUUGGUGCAAGAAAGCGGUCGACGGCGGCCAUCCAUGCCGCUGAGGGGGGCACUGGCACCCGUGCGGGGACAGGCGCUGUCAACGGCGCGGCGGAGACAUUCGUGUGCACAGGCACCGGCACGGGCGCGCACGUCAGUGCACGCGCAGGCGCAUGUGCUGGCAGGUGCACGGGCACCGGCACGGGCGUGCGUGUCAGUGCACGUGCAGGCGCAUGUGCUGGCAGGUGCACUAGCGCGUGAAAGUCGGCGGGCACCUUGUGGAACCCCGUGGGAUCAAGCUCGGCGACAAUGUGCAGCUCCCAGCCCAUCAAUGCCACGGGGAUGGGCGCUGGCGCAGUCGGGGCGACGGGAGCCGGAACGGGAGCGGGGACAGGCGCGGCGUCUUCCCGCAUGGCCAGUUCAAGCUCGUCCCAAAGCGCCUUAUGUUCUUGAGACUCCGGCUGGUUGUCUUCCUCAGGAAACUGGAACACUAAGGGCAGACCAUCGUGAUGCGGCAUGGCGUAAGUUUAGGUCAGGCUAGUUGGAGGUAGAUGAUAGGAGAAUCGGAGAGGAAGAGAGAGGAUUGUAGCGAUACUCCUUCCUUUCCGAUUUAUAAGGCUCAAUUCAAAAAUCUCACCAACCAAGGUAUAUGGUGAGUGGUGGAAUACUUUUUGUAGUUUGCAAAAGCACCCAAUUAAUGCUCUUGUUUUUCUCAAAAAAUAUGUUUACCAUUGCAUUAAUUGCAAUGCAUGCAUGCAUAAAUUACAUGCAUUGGUCAAUUUUCUCUUAAUACUUGCAUGCAAUGAUUUAAUUUAUCUUGGAAUUUGAACAUGUGAUGGGAAACAACAAAAUUGAGCCUUAUAAAAUGGAAAAACUAAUAUUUUGAGAUAAGCCCUAUAAACCGGAAAGGAGGGAGUACCGGGUAGUGCGGGGUUGAUUUUAAACCGCGGCGCCAGCGACAUUAAAAGUGGGAGCAGUUGGGACGACGAUGGGCGGUGGAGCCUGGUUAAAGGGCUCGCCUCCCGGUGAGCCUGCACAGCGGUCUGCUCGCACGCCUCCCUAACAGCCGGUGCAACGGUCUGCUCGCACGCCUCUCGUCGACUCACACGCUUGCUCGGACGGCACCUGCCGAUUGCCGAUGAGAAGCGGGGACUCAUGGUGGCACGUAAACGCCCAUGGUUUCAAUAGUGAAAGCGUUUGCCUUAACGUGACAGGUCUUUCUUACAAAAUACCUUGGCUCUUCAUUUGUGCAACUUGUCAUAAGUAGCUUGUCUCAAAUUGAAGAAAAAACUUACAAAAUAAUAUUUGUGCCAUAUCACGUGACCAUGCUUAGUUUCAAGAAUUUAUGGUCACUUUUGGAUUUUCAGAAAUUUAAGAUCCAGGAUUCGAAACAAUAUCAUAACCUGCAUCAUGCAAUAAAUUUUCAAGUCGUACAUCUGACCUGUUGUAUUUCUUAAGAAAGGAUUUGGUCAAACAUUUUGCUUAGUUAUACUUCAGACAAGUUAUAUAUGCAGAGUAAAAGGAUAAUCCCUCCGUACCAGUGCAUUGCCUGAUAUAUUAACUCAAGUAAUAUGCACGAACAAACGGGCUCAAUUCUGUGCUCAUCCUGGUGUAGUAGUAGUAGUAGUAGUAGUAGUAGUACUAGGCAAUGCAGUUGACGGGUGACCUUGACGAGCGGCGACCGAGGGAAUUGAACUGUGCUCGACACGGUAGGUAACGUUGUCUAGUUACUAAAGCAUCCCUCCGUUGUUCAUCGGUAGUCAUUAUGGACCGGGGACAUGAGGGGAAUUUCCUAGGGCUAGAAUUCUGGCCGCCAGAUAUUUUGACUUGAAACGCCGAGGCUCGACUGGUUGGGGUAAUGGGGUUGCCUAAUGUGCGUACCACGCACGCCACCGAAGGACACGAGCCCGCUUUUUUUUAGGAUCAACACGAGCCAAGGUGUGGCUGGUACGCCGUUGGGUCCUACCAUUCGAGAAUACGAAAUGAACCUUUUAAAUUGCCGAACGAAUCUAUGUGUAUUACAAUACCCGUAUUUUCCUUGCAAAUACUAAUCUCAACGUGGUAAUUGAUUUAUGAAGAGUUGUUGAAUUAGAGUGAGUUUGUGAUAUAGUGAUCUCAACGUGGAUUUCACAUUUCAUGGUAUCCCUAGUACGUUUUCCAAUGCAAUUUCAAAUUUAAAAGAUGAACAACAUGGAGGUGAGAAAACUUUGUAUGUAUUAAGCAUAUGACCACACACACACACACAGAGACACACACGCACGAACACAACAACAAUCCAAUAAGUAUAGUGCAUCUAUUUUUCCAAACCAUGCAUGUAUGACACGAAUUCAAAAAUACUCCUUCUAUUCCUAAAUAUUAGUCUUUUAGAGAGUUCAACAAGUGACUACAUACGGAACAAAAUGAGUGAAUCUAGACUCUAAAAUAUUUCGAUAUACAUCCGUAUGUGCCAGUCCAUUUGAAGCCUCUAAAAAGACUAAUAUUUGGGAACGAAGGGAGUAAAAUGUAAGACAUCCAUGGUCCUCAGUUCAAUAUUUAAAAUGAACAUGAAACUGAAACAUGAAUAUUAAGUCUAUUACUACAGUACAUGCAAAUGUUCUGUUAAGGCGGAGCUAUGAUUGUCGGGGGUCAACCCCUCGACCUUAGAUAAAAUUGUGGAGUUCUGUUUAGGGUUGUUUAGAUUAUAUUUGUCCCCACCCUCCCAGCCAUCGAUUGGUUGUGCACCGCCACCCCUCCUCCCCGGGAGAAUAUCAUGUGCCCCCAUACCUUAGAUGCUAUAUGCCGAUACGAGUUGCUUGGAGCUUGUAGAUCUGAGAUAUAGCAGCUCACAUGAUGUGUCUUAAUAUUUCCGCAGGAAACCUUGAUGAGUUUGAGAAUUGCACACAAUUUGUACAAAAACUAUUUAGAUGCCCUUUGAUCCCAUAUCCAACGACCUCGAAGCUCGUAUCACCGUAGCAUCUAAGAUGAAGGAGGGAUCAUAUUCUCCUGUAUGUAAGAAUAUCAUGUGCUACCACACCUUAGAUGCUUUGGUGAUACAAGCUCUUCGGAGGCGUUGGAUUUGUGACCAACACCUGCUCGGUGGUUCGAAUGGUUUUUUGCAAAAAAGCCCCAAAAGAGUUCGGCCACUGCUUACAAGCACAAAGACUGCUCAGAUGCCAUUGGAUCUCAGAUCAAACGACCUCCAAGCUCGUAUCACCGUAGCAUCCAAGCUGCGAUAGCACCUUAUGUUUUCUCGCAUAGGAUAGUAUUAUGUGCUCCCGCACCGUAGAUUCUAUGGUGAUACGAGUUCACUGAGAUCUAACGGCCCAUAAUAGGAGGUUUGAAUGUUUUUGCAAUAUACGGCUGAUAGAGUUUGGGAAAUGCGCAGAAAGUACAAGUACUACGCAUGUGCCAUCUGAUCACCGAUCAUAUGACCUAGAUGCUCAUAUCACCGUAGCGGGUAAUUAAGCUACGGGGAGCACCUAAUAUGAGCAUCGGGGAGCCGUUGGAUCGAAGAUGCAGCGGCACACACGAGGCCUGAAUGUUUUAUUUGCAAAACAACCUUUGGAGAGUUUGGAAAUUGCGCAUAAUUACGAAGACUACUCCCAAGCCAUUGGAUCUCACUUCCAACGGUGUAAAAACUCGUAUCACCAUAGUAUCUAAGCUGCGGGGUGGAUGUGAUAUUCUAUGUCGCUGUCAUUUUUGUUCGUAAACUUGCAAAAUACGUGUAACUCGUGCCGUUACUUGUCUAACCGCGCAAAGUGUUUGUUCAAAACAAACCAUCCUACAUUGAAAUAUCGGAACAACACACGGGGGUCCCACUUGUCAUUAAUCAAAUUUGGACCUAAAACUAACAAAUCUGAAAGACGAGAUUCAAACUGGCAACCUGGACUACAAAGCGUAAGUCGAUAGCCUGAAAAAACGAACGGUUGUUGGCUUUGUCCCAUAACUUGAUUUUAUUUAUACAGUACUUUCGUUGAGUAGAGUAGAGGGAGUGCCUCGUCAACACGUGCAUGACCGUUGUCUCACUUACUGGUGGGUCCCAGGUCUGCGAUCUCAAUCUCUCUUCUCUCCAUCGUCUAACCUUUGCACGUGCACACACGAAGAGCGGCGCUAGCUUGCCGUGGUGUUAUUACAACAAAAAAAGCUUGGAAAAUAGAAGAAUCGCUUAGAACAAGAGACGUUGUGGCUGGUCGAGACGGAGCUAACCACAUCUACCCUCCGUGCCACGUUUGCAUGAUGAAGCUGUGUGGCUAGUGGGGUGUUUUCGACCGAUUAGCUGGGUCCCGAGGUCGAACCAUAGGUACUACGUCUGAUACAGUAUAUUUUUACACGCACAUUUUUCCUCCAUGCCGAGACGUGGCACACCCUACCGCGUGGUUUCGGGGUCCUCCCAGGUGGUGCACGCAUAUAUUCUUCCUGACGUGGGAUGCCCUACAACGCGUUUUCUGGGUCCUCCUCGGUCGUAGCGCCGAAGCAAGUAAAUGAGUCGUCAAAUCACGAAAGACCACCUUUCCCGCCGAGUACAUCAGUGAAGCACGGUGGCUAGCUAGAUGGGCUAGUUCGACCGAUUAGCUAGGCCGCCGCCACAUUUGUUUUUCACCCCUUUUCUUAUCUACUUGCCAGCAGGUAAAUAUAAAUAUCCACCAUGGCGUUUCUCUGGUGUUUGGGUGCGGUAGGAUUUUCAUUUUUUUGAUUGACGGGAGCAGGCGCGACAGUAUUUUUAAUUUUUUGAUUGACGGGAGCAGGCGCGGCAGCAAUUAGUCACGAUGACUCCGCCUGUAAAAACCCACCGCUCCCUGAUGUGAGAAGUCAUCGACUGGUGUUUUACCCUGGUGAAAACCAAAAGAUUCCCCGUUCCCUCCGCCUUCCCGUAGAUUACAUUGCCUUUCAGCCGUUUCGCCCCCUUUGCUUCCUUUCCCCAUUGCUUCUACCUGGUGCCAUGGCGGCGCAUGAUCACGGAGUCCGAGGUGAGGCUCCUGACACAGGAGCUCCAUGCCAAGGAUGCGGAGCUCAGGGCCAAGGACGUGGAGCUCCGUGAGCUCAAGGAGGAGAGGAGUGUCAUGCUCCUCCGUUAUGUGUAGGAGUUCACGGAGCUUCAAAAGCGGCAGGCGUCCACCACAAAGAUGCUCGAGGCGUCGGCGGCGUUGCUGCAGAAAGUGAGAGAUACGAUAGGCCGUCAGGGGAGCCGACUGGAGCGUGAGCGGGCCGAUCGUGACGAGGUCCAGGAUCGCCUCAGCCACUUGGUGAACCAAGUUGCCACGCACGUGUUGCGGCUGCGUGAUGCCUACCGUCGUGCCAGCGCGACGAUGUCGGCCAUCGGGCUAAACCCGUUCGACUACCCGGUUGACUUCAACAAGUUGCGGCUUCCUGACCUGGUCUUCCUCUUCACCUAUAUCUCCGAGGAGCUGAGCCGUCUCCGCGCGAUGGUGGGGGCUGAGCUGGACAAGGAGGGGUUGUGGGCUGCCGUCGCUGUUGCCGGGCGAAUGCUUUCAGGGCUCUGUCACCGGAAUCCAUUCGUGCCAUUGGACGCCGUCUUUGACGAGCUGGUUCCCAUCGACCGGGAGCGGGCUCUGCGAGCGGUUGCAUCCUGCAUCACCAACGUCAUGCGCCUUGAGAAGCAGAGGGACUUCGGUGGUGUUUAGGCGCCCUCUACAUGGGCAUGUCCAUGUCUCGGCGCAACAUGACCGUUGGAUCAAACUCAGACGGUGCAGAUCAGUCACUAUAGCACAAAGCGUGUGGGUGUGUUUGGUUGCAUUCUCAUCUCAAUAUAGUUGUUUCCUCUUCGUGUAUUUAUUACAUAUAGGAGUAGUUGACAUGCGCACAACAUCAUUUGUUAUCGUUAUAUCUUACUACACACUAGCAACAAGAUUGUGUAGUACUGACGUAUGAACCACUGCACAUGCCUAGUAGUAGGAGCACUGUGUAUGUUCAAGUGGCUGCCGUGUUUCGCACUCCUCCGUCGUAAGAGUGGAAACGCUUGCUGUAAUCAUUUUUUCUUUUGAAAAACAGUGGACACACUCUACCGUGCGGAUCCUCCUCCAGCCAUGCACUAAAUUACUCACUUUCCCCAACGUGUGGGAUAGCCAGCAUCAGGGUCCACCAGCCAUGCACUAAAUUACUUUGUAGUAGAGUGACGGUAGACUACCCCGAUCGAAGCGCCGCAGUAAUGCCCAAUGAGCCGUCAAAUCACAAAACCCCCUCCUUUCCAGCAGUAAGUUGGACGGACGAAGCAACCAUCAUUUCACUCUUCUCUCUCAGCUUCCUCUCUACCCAACCAUCGCUUCUGCCUCAUCUUGUUCCUCAUUUCUUCAAGAAAACCCCGACCUGCUUCUGCCAUUGUUCUUCUCUCCCAAAGAAGGAAAGGUGAGCGCAUCAAUGGUGUUGAUUCUGGCCAAGGCCCGGUCUUGCAACCCCGAGACCGAUCCUAUAACUCCCUCUCUUUUCUUCUUUUGGGUUUGUGAUUAUGGUUUCUUUUCUUUUAUUUCUAUUUGACAGUUUCUUGAUGGACGCUGGAGCACCGGCCGAAGUGAUGUCUAUGGCUCCGGCCAAAACCGUCGAGGCUCAUGGUACAAAGAAGCGCAAGCACCCCGCCGAGACUACCGCAGACAAGCUCAAAGCCAUCGCCCUGUCCAAGCCCCCCUCUUCGGGAUCCCUCAUUAAGCAAGUCCAGGUAAUAUCUCUUCUUGACGAUCUUCUUCUCGAUCUUGAUCGUGUUUUAGUACUAGUAGUACAACUUUCCGGGUGAUCUUUCAUGUGAUUUUUGUGUGCCAAAUGAUGGUUCUAAAUUCCUCUUUUGACCAAAACAUGCGAGAGGUUGACACUAAUUUCUUAUAGAUUACUUUCAACUACUCCCUCUGUCCCAAAUUUCUUGUCUUAGAUUUGUCUAGAUACAGAUGUAUCUAAUACUAAAAUGUGACUUGAUACAUCCGUAUCUAGAAAAAUCUAGGACAAGAAUUUUGGGACGGAGGGAGUACUUUAUGAACAUCAAUGCUAGCUUUUAAGAGGGUAUAUUUGCCUCAGUAACUUGUGUUAUGGAUUUUGCAUGUAAUCCCUCUGCUCUCAUGCCUUUGAAGACAUGUUCUAGUGUCUUUGUUCACUCAUUUCUGUGCGUAUAUGUAGUCAUAUAUGGAGUAUAAUAUCGAAAAUCAUCUUAUAUUUUCUAAACGGAGGUAGUAAUAAAAUAUGGUUUCCGUUUGAAUUAGAACCAGGUCCGCGGUGGAGAUGAAUUUCUCAAAGUCAUGCCGUGUGAACUGGAAGACCUGAUGAUGAGUUCUACUGCCGAACUAUCCAGCUGCUGUGUCCUUGUCGCCACGUGUCCUGAACUAGUGUUUUCCUGUAGCAUCGUUGCCAAGCGUGUUCUCGAGGCUGUACUUGACCACAACAAUUUCCUGGCUGUGCCUUCGAUUACAAAGGGUGUGGUUCUUGUAAAGCUUCCCAACAAAUCUGAUGCGGCCUGUCUUCAUCAUCAUGUUUAUGAGUGGAAAGACCACUCUGUUAGGUUAUCCAAGGUUGACAAGAUGGUGAUGGUGCGUGUAGACAUCUCACACGAAGUGCAUGGCCUAGUCAGUUAUGCGGGGUUCAUCCCGUAGGUCGGUGGCAAGAAAUAGUCUGCAGAGUUUAGUUAGUGCAACUUUGCUUGUCUGUAGUAAGUACUAUUGUUCAGUACUUGAUUUGCGUUUGUGAACCCUGUAUUUCUAUUAGUAUUGCUGCUUUUGGUGUGUGGUCAGUCCUGAGAACGGUCUAUGUUAAUGUCUGUCCAGUCAAUUCAGUCUGUAUAUUUUGAAGUAUCCAGAUCAUAUUUUUUGUGAGGACGGUUUAUCAAUUAUGGUUACACUCCAAUAUCUGUAUGCAUUGCAGGGUUUAUCGCACCCACCAGGAUUUCCAGUCCCAUGGAUGUUCGGUCCAUACGAUUUGUCACGACCUUUGGACUGUCCUGCUUGUGGGAGUAGGCAGGGCCCCUGCAUGCCACGCGUAGUUGGACGAUCAAUCUUCUGUUUAGUACUUCAACAUAGUGAUUUCCUGGUAAGGAUUCACUUGUGUCACAUCAAGUAAAUCUUAUUGAUUUACUGUCUAAAUCUUAUUGAUUUAAUGUCAUGUUUUCUUUCUUUUCCUGCAAUUUUACGAUGCAGGUUUUGCCAUGUGACAUUCAUCACAGAAUAAACCGUUUGGUUUGCUCUACGAUGGCUAUUUUUGCAGGUUUCACUUCUUAUGUCGUGUCAGUAAUGAAGGCACUGUCCAUCACUUAUAUUACUGGAAAAAAUUGGAUCAGUCUGUUGUUUGAGUACAAGCUGAAUCCCUAUGAUGGACUGCAGUUUGGUUUAACAAAAAAUGCCACAAUUAGUCCUUCUGCGUUUAAAAGAAAUGAAGAAAAAAACUGGAUCAUGGUCACGGAUCCUAGUCAAGUUAGAAAGCUGAUCAUAGCAGACCAGACACGAUCGCCGCUGUCUCGCACAGAUCGAGCACCGACAGUUGCUCUAGCACUGGUAGCGGCAGCAGCUCAGUCUGAUCCAGCUGAGGAUUGGGCACCAACCGCGUCAGCGGAUCAGUCUGAUCUACCGGAGGAUCGGGCAACGACACCGGCACCUGCUCCGACACUGGCACCAGCUCUACAAGGAGCACCAUCUCCAGCAGCAGCGGCUUUGACACCUACACCAACACUUGCACUUGCAUCUGCUCCGGCCCGUGCAGUUGCACCGGCAACAGACUGGGCCGCAGUUUGCACUUCAUAUACCAAAGUCCUUACAAAAAUCGACAUGUCCACCUUCUUGGUAAGCAUUGGCCACCCAAGUGCUUCAUUCUUUUUUUCCAUGUUGUUUCACAUGAUUCACUGUGUUGAUCUAACUGUUUGGGUAUGUCUUCUUGUUUGCAAACAGAGAAUUCCUAGAGCAACGAGGGAGUCGUUCAACAAUCCGGGCGACCGCGGCCAAGUUUCUCUUACCAUGCGCAGCCUUGGUGUGAAUGAACCUACUCAAUAUAACGUAAGUACAAAGGAUGGUCGCAUGAUGAUUGAUGCUAAAGGAUGGUCAAGGUUCAAAUCUAAAACAUAUCUUGCGGUAGGGGAUGAUGUCAAAAUCGAACUUUCUCGGCAAGGAGAGCUGGUCCAAAUCAACUUUGAAAUUAGCAGCACGCAACUGCCGAACUGAUCUAUCCUCCGAGAGAUUUUGAUGUAAUAAUCUGGCAUGGUGAAACAAGUGUCCUGUGUGUAUAAGUAGUACGGCAGUAUUAUUUAUCACAUGGUAUAUCAUUGAUAGAAUUGCAACUCUAAUUGCUGGUUAGGAACUGUCGUUCGAUUUCAUUCCAACAGCUGCCGUGCUUUAUUCAAUUUUGUGUAUUCGCCUUGCGACAGCAUCUAAAACCAGCGCCGUACCGAUCGCUUGCAAUAUGAAAAGCACUGAGGUAGAACACAUGGGCCCCCAAACAUGCAGGGUCGGCCUACGGCCCAAUGUCCAGAACCGUGAGCCUAUCUGAGUAUUAUAUUCUCAGCUGAACCCCCAUAAAAAAAGCUGAACCCCAAUAAUGCCCGUGCGCUGCAGAGGGAGUAUAUUUCUCGGCAAGGUGAGCCUGUGAUAUAAAAGAAUUGUAUAUUUCUUUACAGAGGGAGUAUGUCUCUGUCAAAAAAUAUAUUUAUGUGUAACUAGUUACUCCUGUCUUUCUACUUCCUUUCGCUGAUAUGUGGGGCAACCGACAACGGGGUCCACGUGCCAUAUGCACAAAUUAGAGUGCACAACUUCACGGUAGACACACCCCGGUCGUAGCACCGCAGUAAUGCCCAACGAGGCAUCAAAUCACAACCCCCCUUUCCAGCUUUAGCAGUAAGCUGGACAGACGAAGCGGCAAUAUUUCACUGGGCCUGAAUCCCCUUCUCCCUCGUCUGCUUGUUCAGAGAAAACCCCCUCUCGGAGAUUGCAUAGGGUUUUCUCAUGGAGAACCAGGUACGAAUUCUUCAUCCAUCCCCGAUAAACCCAAGUUCCUUGGUCGCAGGUAAUCCUACGAUGGCAGCCGCCGCCGUUGAUGCAUUUUUCUUCCUACUGAAUCUAGUGUGUUUCAUUUGCAGUGCCCAAAGUGCGAGUACCCUACAAGUUUCCGCGCCCUCGGCGAGACGCCACACUUGUUCCUUCUCAUCCUAACACAACAUUUUGAAACGCGCACAGUAUGUUCCUAGAAUCGUCUUUUCUAUCCGGGAGGGUGGUUUUUUUUUGAACAUGCUAUGUUCUCAUAUUAUUUUUCCUGCAGUGUAUUAUUUGCUCUGCCAGAACACAUGUACUCAAGAUGCUCGGCCUUGCCAUAACUGAAUACACUAGUUUAAUGGUCACAGUGAAGACAAGCCAUGGAUAUAAGUUCCGAGUUGGGUUCAUGAACCAAGAAGAUCGCUGCUUUUUUUUAUGGCCGAACUUGGAUAAACUUUCUCAAGUGUUACAGACUGAAAGUUGGUGCACGAAUGUUGAUGGAAAUAGCAGAACCUAGUCUCAUCUUCACUGCGAUCUUCCACCCCGACGUCGUUCCAAUUGUUCAUCCAUGUUAGUUUUGUAUCUGGUUCUUGCUUGUUGCCUCGAUUACUUCUUAAUCCACGUAUUCUGUCUAACUAAUCACAAUUUAACUUUAAAAGUAGCAACGAAUCUCUCACGAAGAUGCUACUUCUAACUAAUAUUUUCUUAUAAUUGGUGGCACGUGUAGGUUUUUUCAGAGUUAAGCAGUCUGCUCGUUUGUUACUCUGUAAUAACUCGGCUGUUACUAAUGACACUGAAGUUGACUGGAUCGACAUCCACAAGUUCCUACACUUUAUUGAUCGUCUUGAGGUCCUUGUGGGGCGUUUCAAUGGUGGAAGGCCACGUGGGAUAUGUGUGCCACUGCUGCACUCAUUGAAUAGGUCCAACUAUGUCGAGAAACUUAUGGUACGAGCUGUUUUCUGUUAUAUAUGUUGUUCAUAAACUAUUGCUUAUACACAGUUUUACAGCUGUGAUCUUCUUGAAACAGGAACUGCCGAGUUCUAUUGUUCCUAUACAGAUGCCUGACCAUGGUCGGGUCAGACUUGCGCUUGGUCACAACAUGAUGUAUAUGUCGACCUACUCAAUUCCCCUUGGAGGUGAAAAGAUACUUAUUCAUGGGUGGUCUCAAAUAAUGAAGGCCCAUCCAUCUUGGAGAAUAGGACAGAAGAUUAUGUUCAUGCUUUUCCAUAGCUCUAAAGCGAAUAUCCUAUUUAUUGACCACGUUGCGAGAUGAAGCCGCUUUCAGACGGUUGUGGAUGCGCGGGGUGGCGCCUGGGCCUUGUCCUAGGGCUUGGCAGCCUCACCCUUGGUUAACUGUAGGCAAAGUAGCACUGUUCGAGGCAUGCUUUGUACGGUUGAACCUGUAUAAGUACUCUUUCUGCUUUCAGCUUUGGUUGUUAAGUGCCCUUGCUGGUUUCCGUUAAGGUUGUUAAGUACUCCUGCUGCUUUUACAGUCUGUCGUGUUUCUUCAGUCCUGUCUUCAUCCAGCAGCCAAAACCAAACCAGCGCCAGCGGGGCCGCCUGCUUCCGCCUCCCACGGCUGGCUGCGCCUCAGCACACGCAUCGCCGCCCCACCGUCUCCUAAAUCGUUAACGCCGACGUCCUUCGCGUGCUUUGGUGCGCUCACCGCGGCGCCGCCCUCUCGCGUUGUCAACAUGGUCAACAAACAGCAGGAAUUGGCAGAAGUACGUGGAGAAGAUGACAGUAGGGGCCCACCACGUCAGCGUAUGGAAAAAUAAAAUGCUUCCUCCUAGUGUUUUCCUGACAUCUGGGACCGACGACAUUGUGAGCGUAUAUAGUCAAUAGACAAGAGAACAUCACAAGAUCGGCUGACACCUGGGACGUAGCUACUCGAGCAGUAUUUUUUUGUUUGGUAUUGUUGAGACGGAGCAGGGUUUGAACUGGGCUGUGGCCCGUCUAGCCCAGGCUUAUAUUUUAUGUUCACCAAGUGACUAGCCCAGCUACUUUUUCUUUGUGAAAAUGAGCCCAGUUUAUUUUUUCUGAAGAAUACCCAAUCCAGGCCUACUUAUUUUUCUACGCCCUGAUGGGCUGCAACUCUUUCAAGACGCCUGCAAAUCUUGAAAGUAAUAUGAAAUGGGUUGUAAAUAUAAAAACAGAUGACAAAUUGGCAAUUACUUUAUAAUUUCUGAAUUUUAUCACAUUUUCAGAUUCCUAUUUCACUGGGCAUUAGCCUAAUUUAAAUAUAUCUUCAAAGUACUUUAAAUCUGGCUGGACAUUUCGGUAUUAAAAAUAGUUUGGAACCCAUAGAAAUAUGCAAAAUUGGCCCUGGCCAACCAAAACAAUGACUACAAUAAAUUGCAUAAGAAGUUUCCAUGAGCUAUAUAUAAAUUAUUAUAUAUAGCCAUGGUGCGCUCGGCGCGGCGUGGUCAACAUGGUCAAGGAACGGCUUCCAUCGGAUGUGGACUGUACGUGGAGAGGCUGACAGCUGGGUCCACGGCCGCAGCAAGGAAGUGCCUCCUUAUUACGUGCAAAAUAAUUAUUCCUCCACCUAACAGCAGGGACCCACCAGACGGGCCACCAGUAUUUUGUGAAAAAAUCAUUUCCCCCUGAUUGCUGGGACCCACCAGACGGGCCACCGUAUUUCGCGAAAAAAACGUUCCCCCCGCUGUCAGCUCGGCCCCACCGGAAGUGCCUCCUUAUUAUGCACAAAAAAAUGAAUACUCCCCCGGCUAGCUGGGACCCACCUUGGUGGGAGGCUAACUUGUGGGCCUACUAAGUUGACGGGGAUGAAGGGCUUUGUCAACUUAGUCAAUAUGAAUGAUUCUAGCUCCAUUGACCGUGCGAUGUCCAUCCAACGGCCGUAGUGCUUCUUUAACCUCUGGUCUUCUUGCUCCAGCCGCCCAAAGCAGCGCCGGUCAUGCCGCAUGGUCCUGCCUCCCGUGGCCGGCUGUGCUGCCACGGAGGCCUCACCGCCCCCUACUAUUCCCACCGCUGGCCAGGCCCUGCGGCGGCGACAGCCUCACACCGCAGCCGAACCAGUGAACCCUCGUACUCCUCUCCACGCGCGCAGGCUUCCACUGUCGCGUCUUCCCCGGCUCCCCGUCGUCCCCUUCCUAGGCCUCGCCGUCGUCCACCGCCCUGGUGCUCUCGGGGCGGCGUGGUCAAUGUGGUCAAGGAACGACUUUCAUCGUACGUGGACUGUACGUGGAGAGGCUGCCAGCUGGGUCCACGGCGGCAGCAAGGAAGUGCCUCCUUAUUAUGCAGAAAAUAAUAAUUCCUCCACCUGACAGCAGGGACCCACUGGACAGGCCACCGUAUUUCGCGAAAAAAACGUUUCCCCCCUGACUGCUGGGACCCACCAGCUACACCUUCGCACGCAAGGAAGUGCGUCCGAGCAAAAAAAAACGAUUCGCCCCCUCACUGCUGGGACCCACCAGCUACAUCUUCGCACGCAAGGAAGUGUAUCCGGGCAAAAAAACCAAAAUGAUUCGCCCCCCUGACUGCUGGGACCCACCAGCCCCCCGACUGCUGGGACCCACUAGCUACAUCUUCGCACCCAAGGAAGUGCGUCCGGGCAAAAAAAUGAUUCGCCCCCUGAUGCUGGGACCCACCAGCUACAUCUUCGCAGGCAAGGAAGUGUCUGACAGUCGGGACCCACCUGGUCGAAGCGUAUGUAGCGUUAACAUUCUGGUCGCGAACGUGUACGUACAUACUGGUCGAUGUAGAGGCGCGCACGUGUCGUAGUAGAGGCGCACACGUGUCAUAGUAGAGGCGCGCACGUAGCAUGUACACGUACGUACAGCGGCCAGGGUGCAAGAAAGAAAAUACGACCACGUAUGUGUACAUACGGGCGGGGUCUCGAACGCCUACUCGCGCAUACUUACGGCGAGGGCUCGUGUACAUGUCUGGGUCGGAACGGAGAAACAGCGUCGUCGUCGUGUUCAUGGGUCGGAACGGAAUGCGUGGUCGUGUUCAUCGGGAGGGCUUGAAUGGAAGAGGCGAUGGAAACGAGGCCUGGCGUACCACACAACGGAGGAAACAGACCUCCUACGGUCGAAACGGGGGUCCUGUUGAUCGGGAGGGGUGUGGCGUACCGCAAAACGGAGGAAACGGACCUCCUACGGUCGAAACGGGGGUCCUGUUGAUCGGGAGGGGUGUGGUGUACCGCAAAAUGGAGGAAACGGACCUCCUACGGUCGAAGUGGGGAUCCUGUUGAUCGGGAGGGGUGUGGCGUACCGCACAACNNNNNNNNNNNNNNNNNNNNNNNNNNNNNNNNNNNNNNNNNNNNNNNNNNNNNNNNNNNNNNNNNNNNNNNNNNNNNNNNNNNNNNNNNNNNNNNNNNNNNNNNNNNNNNNNNNNNNNNNNNNNNNNNNNNNNNNNNNNNNNNNNNNNNNNNNNNNNNNNNNNNNNNNNNNNNNNNNNNNNNNNNNNNNNNNNNNNNNNNNNNNNNNNNNNNNNNNNNNNNNNNNNNNNNNNNNNNNNNNNNNNNNNNNNNNNNNNNNNNNNNNNNNNNNNNNNNNNNNNNNNNNNNNNNNNNNNNNNNNNNNNNNNNNNNNNNNNNNNNNNNNNNNNNNNNNNNNNNNNNNNNNNNNNNNNNNNNNNNNNNNNNNNNNNNNNNNNNNNNNNNNNNNNNNNNNNNNNNNNNNNNNNNNNNNNNNNNNNNNNNNNNNNNNNNNNNNNNNNNNNNNNNNNNUAGGCAUCCACGCGCCAGCAUUUCUGUGGUUGGGGUUUUUGUUUUUUUUGAAAGGGGGGGGGGUUGGGGGGUUUUGGGGGGUUAAUUUAGGUGUUUCAUAUAUUGUGUUAGCUAGCUAUAAUUAAUAGAGAGAAGUGUCCUCUCUUAUGUCCGUGCUUGGUCGACGCUACGUACUAUACAUACGUAUAGAGAGGACUAGACACGCUAGCUAGCUAGUAAGCAAACGAAGGAAACAGAAGAUCGUCAUGAACAUAUAUGCAUACAGAGAGAAGUGAUAUCGACCACCUCUCCUUCUCUGAGAGAUUGGUCCAACAACAAGUUCUCAUAUAUCUAUCCGACACUACCGGCUAUAUAUAUAUACAAUAAUUAUCUCUUACAAAUAUAAUCAUACGGACUCAGGGUCCACAUAGUAUUCUCCGUCUUCAGGGAUCACUUGGUCAAGAAAGAAUGCCGCCAAUUCCUCUUGAAUUGCUCGCAUGCGAGCUGGUGCUAGGAGUUCAUCCCGCUUCCGAAACAUCUAAUUUAAAGAAGGGGGUCAAUAUAUAAAUAUAUAUGAAUGAAUGAAACUCAACACAAAUGAUGGUAAUAAAAUAAAAUUGUGAAUGUUGUUAUUUACGUACUUCAUAUUGUUCGUCAGUGUAGCCCCGCUCACAGGUCAUGUGGCGGAUGGACUCGCAAACGCAGUAUCCACAGAAAUCAUUCCCUUGUUCCUGCCACAACCACUUUACAAGAAAUAGAGGUCAAUCAAACUGAUAAGCAAGAAUGUCAAAUGGUAUUGAUGAAACUAGCGCUUGAAUGACUAGUAGAUGCGCGGAACAUGCUACUAUAGUACUUACUUUCGGGUGUCUAAAUUGCAGCUCCUUCGGCAGUCCCGGAGCUUUUCUGGUGAAUUUUCUCCAAACCCUGCCGGACAAAGAAAACAAUUACUUGAUAUAUCAGGAAAUGAACAAAGUUGCUGAUAUGGUGGAUAAUGAUCGAUUUAACUUACUUCUCGAGUAUUUGAGUCAUGUCUGCAUAGUCCUAGGGAUCUUUUCGUCUUGAGUCUAAGACGGUUACUAGUCCCUGCUCAAGCUUAAUCUCUAGGAGAAUAUAGUGGAAACUGCACAUGCAUGCAUAACUCAUCAAUUACAUUACUAUAAACUUGACUAAUAUAUAAGGGAAACCGAAUACACACAAGACAGUAACACUCACUUGAAGUUGUAAGGAAAGAGUAUUACAUCUUUGUUUUCAUUUAUUACCAACGAUCGUAGCAAGUUGGCCUCGGUAGCUGUGGCAUGAAAUUUAACCUGAGUUGCAUCUAUGAGAUAUGUGUUAAUGAACCCAAUAUCACCAACUUGUCUUUUCUUCAAUUCGGCGAUCUUCAAUCUGCAUAAUAUAGUGAGGAUGAUUAUAAAUACAUGCAAUGAAAGAGCUGAGCUAUAUAGAGAGACUUAAUGACAGAGGUAGUACUACUUACAGACAGUAGCAGGCGACCGUUGUUUUAUCGAGGGCCAAUUGAUUGAAAAACUGAUAGAACUCCUCAAAUGGAACAGGCAACAGUUCAAUUCCAACGAGGUCAUGCUCCUUUUUUACUUUCACAUACAAAGUACUCCUCCCCUCAGAGUCUCUGCAGAUUUUCAAGUACCAAUCAUGCAAUCUUCGCAUCAUCGUUGAUAGAGAUCUUUCAUCUUUGACGAGAGGCUUCCUGUACUCGUAUCUUUGUAUCUGCACCUCCAUGGGUUCAUAAUGUACAUCGUCGGGCAGGUAAUCUGCAAGAUUGCUAUGACCGGGCACCAUCCUCGGAUCAUUAGCGACAUUGUGGCUAGGCACCUUGAGCGGGGGGCAUGAUUGCUUCGCUUGUUCGCGGAGCUGGGCAAUUUGUUUCCCAGCUUGUCAGUCUUUCAGCCUUUGAUCACUGACAGUACUUCCCGACCGCUCCGCUUCGGCAAAGUCCUUUCCAAUAAUGCGCUCAUAGUUUCCUUUCGGCGGAGACUUGGGUGCUUUUGUCAGGGCAGCCAGAGUGCGCUUCGCUUUCACCAGAUCUACCUUCUCCUCCGGAAGUGGAUGUCUCUUUGCUUUCAACCCUUGAAACCAGUCAUCCACUUCGGUUUGUGCGAUCUCGGCGUUCUCCUCCGGGGUCCUCUCGUAUGGUAACUUCUCUGGAGUCUUCAGAGAAGGACCGAAUCUGUAUGUCCUCCCGCCUCUGGCUGUACUGCUAGACGCCGACCGAGCAGACGGAGCGGUUGUCUUCUUUACUUGCUUACGAGGCGGAGGAGAAGGACUACGACGCGCCAGAGCAGCCGGAGCGGCGGCAGGUCUCUUCCGCCCUUGCUGACGAGGCGGCGAAGGAGGAGGCUGGCUGCUCGGGCGCGUCGGCGCAGGCGGAGAAGGAGGCGGAGUGCCACCACGCGCUGGAGAAGGAGCCGGUCGAGUGCCCUGAUGGACGAGGCGGAGUGCCCUGACUCGCCAGAGGAGGAGGCGGUCGAGGAGGCGGAGUGCCCUGACUUGCCGGAGGAGGAGGAGGAGGAGGCAGAGGCGUCCAGUUCGGAAGGUUGAUGAGCUCCUUCCGCCAUAGACAUGGAGUCUUCAGAGCAGACCCCAGCCUAGUCUCCCCUUCACCGGUAGGAUGGUCAAGCUGGAGAUCCUCAAAUCCCUCUGUUAUUUCAUCCACCAUCACCCUAGCAUAUCCUUCUGGAAUCGGCCGACAGUGAAAAGUUGCGCCGGGUUCAGUAGGAUAAACAGAGCCAACAGCCGCCUUGACCUUCAAAUUCAUCAAUUGCGUCAUAAGGUGGCAAUUUUGAGACUCCGUGAUAGCAUCCACGGGAUAGCUGGCAGGAGCCGUCAAGGCAUGCUCCGGCUGAAGCAGCUCGGUGGAAGCCACGCUGCUUCUUCGCUGAGAUGGCAGGGUAGCUUCGGGGGAAGCUUUGGCAGUACGUUUGCUGCGAUUUGCUUCUCGUUCCUCUAUCGCUUGUACCCUUGCUUGCAGCGCCUGCAUUUGGGUCUUCUGCACUUUUUUCCUCCUCUCAUGGGAUUUGUAACCACCUGCGUCCGGAAACCCAACCUUCCACAGAAUGGAGCCUGGCAUGCCUCGUGUCCAGGGUGCUCAUGAUUCCUGAGGGCCAUUCUGAGCUCGUCAUUCUCUCUGUCUGGAAAGAACGCCCCUUGCUGCGCUGCUUCGAUAUAGUGCUAAAGCAUCCUGACUGGUAUGUCCAUUUGAUUGUUCGUCCAAAUGCACUUCCCUGUUACAGGGUCCAAGGUUCCGCCAGCCCCGAAGAAUCAAGUCCGGCAACGGUCUGGCCAGUUAAUUGUCUCUGGUUCGAUCCCUUUAUCAACCAGAUCAUUCUCAGUCUUGGCCCACUUAGGACGGGCUACGAGGUAGCCACCUGACCCCGUGCGAUGGUGAUGCUUCUUCUUUCGCAACAUUUUGCUUGUUUGUCGCCGACUUCUUCUUACUCUUUUUCGAUGUCUUGUGGGCCACAAAUGCGGGCCAGUGAUCUCUGAUCUUCUCAUAUCUGCCCUUGAAUUCUGGUGUCUCAUUAUUUUCGACAAACUUAUUCAGCUCUUUCUUCCACCUCCUGAAUAGUUCUGCCAUCCUCUUAAGAGCAAAAGACUUGAUUAAUUGCUCUUUAACUGGCUUCUCUGGAUUAUCCUCUGGCGGUAGGGUGAAAUUUGACUUCAGCUCAGUCCAAAGAUCAUUUUUCUGCAUAUCAUUGACAUAAGACACCUCAGGGUCUUCUGUAGCCGGCUUAAACCAUUGCUGGAUGCUGAUCGGGAUCUUGUCCCUAACCAAAACCCCACACUGAGCAACAAAUGCGCUCUUUGUCCGGAGGGGUUCAAUCGGUUGGCCGUCGGGCGCGAUUGCUAUGAUCUCAAACUUUUCAUCCGAGCUCAACUUUUUCUUCGGGCCUCGUCUCUUUACCGAAGUUGUGCUCGAUCCGGAGGGCUAGAAAAAAGAACAAAGACUUAAUUAAUAUGUGUACAUACCAAAACAAUGAAUGCAUCAAUUAGCUAGUCAGCAGAAGCUUAACUAAUAUAUAUACCUGGCCGGACUCGGUUCGGUCACCGAAGAUGUCAUCACGAUCUCCUUCUUGCACCGGCAUUGGGUCACCGGAGCCGUCCUCACGGUCUCCUUCUUGCACCGGCAUUAGGUCACCGGAGCCAUCAUAAUCAGCUGCUUCCAGACCAUCGGUCUUGUUGAGAAACAACGAGCAGAUGGCAUCACUUCCUCGUGCGAUUAUGCCCCCCAACAACUCUUCUUGUACUUCGUCUCGGGCGGUGUCCAUAGUUUCUACAAAUAUUGACAACAUGGCAAUUAUUAUUCAAACAUGACAGAUGGAUAUAUUAGUGGCAAAAACAUAGAACUAAUAUUAAUUAGUGGCCUCGAUGCAGCUUCUCUAGGGUUUGGGGUGGCCUCGACCCCUCGGCGAUCCUCGACCCCUCAAACCCUCGACGACCCUGGACCCCUCGACCCCUCGAACCCUCGACGACCCUAGACCCCCUCUUGACCCCCUCAUGUCGAAGUUGUCGGGUAGGGGGUAUAUCGACAACGACAUACCCAAUACAUGCAUACAUACAUACAUAUCACAUGCAUCCAUACAUAUAUGAACAAAAUUAAUAUCUACUAAUUAACAACCUAAAUAAAAAAACUAAUACAUAUAGGAAGAAGAAGAAAAAAGAAGAGAAGAAAGAAUAGAGGAGAAGACUUCCUCUUCUUCCUCUCCUCUUCUUCUCCCUCUUCUUCUCCCUCUUCUUCUCCCUCUUCUUCCCCUUCUUCCCUCGACCCCCUAAACUAGUUCUCAACCCUCGACCCCCUAAACUAGUUCUCAACCCUCGACCCCCUAAACUAGUUCUCAACCCUCGACCCCCUAAACUAGUUCUCGACCCCCCCUCAUGUCGAAGUUAUCAGGGAGGCGGUAUAUCGACCCCCCUCAUGUCGAAGUUAUCGGGGAGGGUUAUAUCGACCCCCCUCCUGUCGAAGUUAACGGAGAGGGGGUANNNNNNNNNNNNNNNNNNNNNNNNNNNNNNNNNNNNNNNNNNNNNNNNNNNNNNNNNNNNNNNNNNNNNNNNNNNNNNNNNNNNNNNNNNNNNNNNNNNNNNNNNNNNNNNNNNNNNNNNNNNNNNNNNNNNNNNNNNNNNNNNNNNNNNNNNNNNNNNNNNNNNNNNNNNNNNNNNNNNNNNNNNNNNNNNNNNNNNNNNNNNNNNNNNNNNNNNNNNNNNNNNNNNNNNNNNNNNNNNNNNNNNNNNNNNNNNNNNNNNNNNNNNNNNNNNNNNNNNNNNNNNNNNNNNNNNNNNNNNNNNNNNNNNNNNGGCGGCGACGGCGAGCACAGGCAGCCUGGCGGCGUCGUCGGGGCGGGAUCAAAGAACUGAACCAAAAAUUUCACAAGGAUGGCUUAUAUAGACGGGGCAUUGGUCACGGUUUGUGCCACAAACCGUGACCAAUGCAUCCUUUAGUCCCGGUUGGUGCCACCAACCGGGACCAAAGGCCUUGUGCGGCUACGGCGUCGAAAGUUUAGUCCCACCUCGCUAGUUGAGAGGGGUGCGCAGUGGUUUAUAAGCCCCACUGCCGCACCCCUCUCGAGCUUCUCUCCAUUGCAGGCUUACGGGCCUAAUUGUCACUGCUAUGCCUGUGGGCCUAUUGGGCCUCCUGCGGGCCUGAAUCCUGGCCCUUGGAUGGGUUUCUAGUCGUAUUCAGGCCGUGGUGGCCCAGUAGGUGGCAUUUUUUUGUUUUUUUGUUGCUUUAUUUAUUUAUUUUCUUUUGUUUUUUUCUUUAUUUUUUAAUUCUUUAUGCUUUUAGUUUUAGAAAAAUUAUAAACUUUUUGUUAAUGCCAUUAGUUUUCAAAUUNNNNNNNNNNNNNNNNNNNNNNNNNNNNNNNNNNNNNNNNNNNNNNNNNNNNNNNNNNNNNNNNNNNNNNNNNNNNNNNNNNNNNNNNNNNNNNNNNNNNNNNNNNNNNNNNNNNNNNNNNNNNNNNNNNNNNNNNNNNNNNNNNNNNNNNNNNNNNNNNNNNNNNNNNNNNNNNNNNNNNNNNNNNNNNNNNNNNNNNNNNNNNNNNNNNNNNNNNNNNNNNNNNNNNNNNNNNNNNNNNNNNNNNNNNNNNNNNNNNNNNNNNNNNNNNNNNNNNNNNNNNNNNNNNNNNNNNNNNNNNNNNNNNNNNNNNNNNNNNNNNNNNNNNNNNNNNNNNNNNNNNNNNNNNNNNNNNNNNNNNNNNNNNNNNNNNNNNNNNNNNNNNNNNNNNNNNNNNNNNNNNNNNNNNNNNNNNNNNNNNNNNNNNNNNNNNNNUUUUUUUGUUUUCUUUGUUGCUUUAUUUAUUUUGUUUUGUGAUUAACUUUACUAUAAAAAUAGUUUUUUCUUGUUUUUUUGAUUUGUUUUUUGCAUUAUUUAUUUUCUUUUGUUUUUUGCUUUAAUUUUUAAUUCUGUUUGCUUUUAGGUUAGCAAAAUUAUAAACUUUCUGUUACUGCCAUUAGUUUUAGAAAAAUUAUAAACUUUUUGUUAGUGCCAUUAGUUUUCAAAUUUGAAUUCUUUGAAAAUUGUUUGAAUCACAAGUUUGUGAUUAACUUACUAAAAAAAUGAGAAUAGAUGCACUUAUAGAGAAAAUUCAACCUAAAUUCCUAGUAAAUUUCUAUGAAUUUCAGAGAAAUUCACUAUGAAUUUAGGUUAAACUUUUUCGCUAUUAGGGCAUCUAUUUUCACUUUGAGAGGAGCUCAACAAGGCAGAGAGGGAAGGGCUUAUAAACCGGUGUGAGCCCCCUUCGGUUGGCGAGGUGGGACUAAACUCUGCUCACAACGAGGACCAACCCUUUAGUCCCGGUUGGUGGCACAAACCGGGACUAAUGGUCAUGGGCCAGGGGCGAGGAGCAAAAUUAUAAACUUUCUGUUAGUGCCAUUAGUUUUUGAAAGUUGAAAGUUGAAAGUUGGCAUGGGCCAGGGACUAAUGGUCAUGGUAUUACGAGGGCCGAACCAUAAGACAUGAAAGCAUUUCAAAUGAACUCUGAAAAAGUUUAAAGUUGGCAUGGUAUCAUAAUUUCACCCACAUAGCAUGUGCAUGUACAAAACGGACAAUGGUAGCAUGUUCGUGUGUUACAAAGUUGGCAUGGUAUCAUCAUAAUAGUUGCGGGACAAAGUCUUAACUUUUUCUUCGCUUGUGUCAUUUGCUUAUUGCACCGUAACCAUGGAUAAUCCUCAUUGUUUAUCAGGAUGCUUGGGUCAGCCUUGACAUUGAAGGGAGGAAUUUCAUGAAAUUUUCAUAAUCUUCAGACAUGUCUGUCUGGCCGUCCACUCCCAGGAUGUCCCUUUUUCCUGAAAGAACUAUGUGGCGCUUUGGCUCAUUGUAUGAUGUAUUUGCUUCCUUAUCUUUUCUUUUUCUCGGUUUGGUAGACAUGUCCUUCACAUAGACAACCUGUGCCACAUCAUUGGCUAGGACGAACGGUUCGUCAGUGUACCCAAGAUUUUUCAGAUCCACUGUUGUCAUUCCGUACUGUGGGUCUACCUAUACCCCGCCGCCUAACAGAUUGACCCAUUUGCACUUAAACAAAGGGACCUUAAAAUCAGGUCUGUAGUCAAGUUCCCAUAUGUCCGCUAUGUAACCAUAAUAUGUGUCCUUUCCGCUCUCGGUUGCUGCAUCAAAGCAGACACCGCUGUUUUGGUUGGUGCUCUUUUGAUCUUGGGCGAUCGUGUAAAAUGUAUUCCCAUUUAUCUCGUAUCCUUUGUAAGUCAAUACAGUCAAAGAUGGUCCCCUGGACAACAAGUACAACUCAUCACAAACAGUGUUUGUCACCUCUGAGACAUGUUUCUAACCAACUGCUGAAAGUCCUGAUGUGUUCACAUGUAAUCCAGUCGUCGCACUGCUCCGGGUGUUUGGAGCGCAGAACGUUCUUGUGUUCAUCGACAUACGAGGUCACCAAGGUAGAGUUCUAUAGAACUGUGUAGUUUGCUUGAGACCAAGAAUAUCCAUCCCUGCAUAUUAUUGAGUCUCUUCCAAGAGUGCCUUUUCCAGUCAGUCUCCCCUCAUACCGCGAUUUAGGGAGACCUAUCUUCUUAAGGCCAGGAAUGAAGUCAACACAAAACCCGAUAACAUCCUCUGUUUGAUGGCCCAUGGAGAUGCUUCCUUCUGGCCUAGCGCGGUUACGGACAUAUUUCUUUAGGACUCCAAUGAACCUCUCAAAGGGGAACAUAUUGUGUAGAAAUACGGGCCCCAGGAUGACAAUCUCGUCGACUAGAUGAACUAGGACGUGCGUCAUGAUAUUGAAGAAGGAUGGUGGGAACACCAGCUCGAAACUGACAAGACAUUGCGCCACAUCACUCCUUAGCCUUGGUACGAUUUCUGGAUCGAUCACCUUCUGAGAGAUUGCAUUGAGGAAUGCACAUAGCUUCACAAUGGCUAAUCGGACGUUUUUCGGUAGAAGCCCCCUCAAUGCAACUGGAAGCAGUUGCGUCAUAAUCACGUGGCAGUCAUGAGACUUUAGGUUCUGAAACUUUUUCUCUGGCAUAUUUAUUAUUCCCUUUUUAUUCGAUGAGAAGCCAGUCGUGACCUUCAUACUGAGCAGGCAUUCAAAGAAGAUUUCUUUCUCUUCUUUCGUAAUAGCGUAGCUGGCAGGACCUUUAUACUACUUCAGAGGCAUGCCGCCUUUUUCGUGCAAACGUUGCAGGUCCUCCCGUGCCUCAGGUGUAUCUUUUGUCUUCCCAUACACGCCCAAGAAGCCUAGCAGGUUCACGCAAAGGUUCUUCGUCACGUGCAUCACGUCGAUUGAGGAGCGGACCUCUAGGUCUUUCCAGUAGGGUAGGUCCCAAAAUAUAGAUUUCUUCUUCCACAUGGGUGCGUGUCCCUCAGCAUCAUUCGGAAUAGCUAGUCCACCGGGACCCUUUCCAAAGAUCACGUAGUGUAAAUCAUUGACCAUAGCAAGCACGUGAUCACCGGUGCGCAUGGCGGGCUUCUUCCGGUGAUCUGCCUCGCCUUUGAAAUGCUUGCCUUUCUUUCGACAUUGAUGGUUGGUCGGAAGAAAUCGACGAUGGCCCAGGUACACAUUCUUCCUGCAUUUGUCCAGGUAUAUACUUUCAGUGUCAUCUAAACAGUGCGUGCAUGCGUGGUAUCCUUUGUUUAUCUGUCCUGAAAGGUUACUGAGAGCGGGCCAAUCGUUGAUGGUCACGAACAACAACGCCUUAAGGUUAAAUUCAUCCUGUCUGUGCUCAUCCCACGUACGUACACCGUUUCCAUUCCACAGCUGUAAAAGUUCUUCAACUAAUGGCCUUAGGUACACAUCAAUUUCGUUGCCGGGUUGCUUAGGGCCUUGGAUGUGAACUGGCAUCAUAAUGAACUUUCGCUUCAUGCACAUCCAAGGAGGAAGGUUAUACAUACAUAGAGUCACGGGCCAGGUGCUGUGAUUGCUGCUUUGCUCCCCGAAAGGAUUAAUGCCAUCCGCGCUUAAAGCAAACCAUACAUUCCUUGGGUCCUUUGCAAACUCAUCCCAGUACUUUCUCUUGAUUUUUCUCCACUGCGACCCGUCAGCGGGUGCUCUCAACUUCCCAUCUUUCUUUCGGUUCUCACUAUGCCAUCGCAUCAACUUGGCAUGCUCUCCGUUUCUGAACAGAUGUUUCAACCGUGGUAUUAUAGGAGCAUACCACAUCACCUUCGCAGGAACCCUCUUCCUGGGGGCUCGCCGUCAACAUCACCAGGGUCAUCUUGUCUAAUCUUAUACCGCAAUGCACCGCAUACCGGGCAUGCGUUCAGAUCCUUGUAUGCACCGCGGUAGAGGAUGCAGUCAUUAGGGCAUGCAUGUAUCUUCUCCACCUCCAAUCCUAGAGGGCAUAUGACCUUCUUUGCUACGUAUGUACUGUUGGGCAAUUCGUUAUCCUUUGGAAGCUUCUUCUUCAAUAUUUUCAGUAGCUUCUCAAAUCCUUUGUCAGCCACAACAUUCUCUGCCUUCCACUGCAGCAAUUCCAGUACGGUACCGAGCUUUGUGUUGCCAUCUUCACAAUUGGGGUAUAACCCUUUUUUGUGAUCCUCUAACAUGCGAUCGAACUUCAGCUUCUCCUUUUGACUUUCGCAUUGCGUCCUUGCAUCGACAAUGACCCGGCGGAGAUCAUCAUCAUCGGGCACAUCGUCUGGUUCCUCUUGAUCUUCAGCAGCUUCACCCGUUGCAGCAUCAUUGGGCACAUCGUUUGGUUCCUCUUGAUCUUCACCAGCUCCCCCCGUUGCAGCAUCACCAUAUUCAGGGGGCACAUAGUUGUCAUCGUACUCUUCUUCUUCGCUGUCUUCCAUCACAACCCCUAUUUCUCCGUGCCUCGUCCAAACAUUAUAGUGUGGCAUGAAAUCCUUGUAAAGCAGGUGGGAGUGAAGGAUUUUUGGGUUAGAGUAAGACCUCGUAUUCCCACAUUCAGUGCAUGGACAACACAUAAAACCAUUCUGCUUGUUUGCCUCAGCCGCAUCGAGAAACUCAUGCACGCCCCUAAUGUACUCGCGGGUGUGUCUGUCAUCGUACAUCCAUUGCCGGUUCAUCUGCGUGCAUUAUAUAUAAUUAAGUGUCCAAAUUAAUAGAAGUUCAUCAUCACAUUAAAACCAAAGUGCAUACAUAGUUCUCAUCUAACAACAUAUAGCUCUCCAGAGCAUCUAAUUAAUUAAACCAUACAUUGAAACUAUGUAAAACAUUUCAAUGCGAAAACAAAUGUGAUCAUAAUCGCAACCAAGGUAACAAUUGAUCCAACGGCAUAAUGAUACCAAGCCUCGGUAUGAAUGGCAUAUUUUCUAAUCUUUCUAAUCUUCAAGCGCAUUGCAUCCAUCUUGAUCUUGUGAUCAUCGACGACAUCCACAACAUGCAACUCCAACAUCAUCUUCUCCUCCUCAUUUUUUUUAUUUUUUCCUUCAACAAAUUGUUUUCUUCUUCAACUAAAUUUAACCUCUCGACAAUAGGGUUGGUUGGCAUUUCCGAUUCACAUCCUACAUAAAUAAAAUCUAUGUCACGUUGGUCGGCAUAAUUUUCAUAAACAAUAAAUGAACCAAUAGUUAUAAAGAUAAUAUAUAUACCACAUCCGAAUCAUAGACAGGACGAGGGCCGACGGGGGCGGAUACCAAAACCAUCGCACUAUAUAAGAUGCAAUAAUAAAAGUAAGAAAAUAAUACAAGUAUCUAUGUAAACAUACAAGUAAGAAUAUUUUUCCUUUCAGAAAGAAGAUAAAACAAGAGGCUCACCACGGUGGUGCCGGCGAUGAGCUCGGCGCGGGUGAUCGACGGCGGUGAAGACGGGGACGGGGCGUGACGGACCGCUAAACCUAGACAAAUAUUAUGGAAAAUGGAGCUUGGAGGUCGAGCUUGAAGAGGAGAAAGCUUAAGUAGUGUGGCUCGGGCAUUCCAUCGAACACCUUGUGUGCAUAGGAGGUGAGCUAGAGCACCACCAAGCCCUCUCCCCCUCGGUCAGAGAAAAACAGAGCACUGGGGUGCUCUGCUCGUGAGCGAGGGGUAUAUAUAGGCACCUCAUUGGUCCCGGUUGGUGACAUGAGCCGGGACUAAAGGGGAGCCUUUGGUCCCGGUUCAAGCCACCAACCGGGAUCAAUGGUGGUGGGCCAGGAGCGAGGCCCAUUGGUCCCGGUUCAUCCCACCAACCGGGACCAAAAGGUCCAGAUGAGCCGGGACCAAUGGCCCACGUGGCCCGGCCGGCCCCCUGGGCUCACGAACAGGGACCAAUUCCCACAUUGGUCCCGGUUCUGGACUGAACCGGGACUAACGGGCUGACCCGGCCUGGACCAAAGCCCUGUUUUCUACUAGUGCACGGAUACUGUUCAUCUUCACCGUCCCAACCGAUCACCUUCGACCAUCGGGAUUACUCGGCAAGUAUCCGGCGUGCAGGAUGGGCUGCCUUGGUGUUAGACCCGAUAAUUGACGGAUACCACUUCACACGAGUCUUGAUGGAUGGUGAUAGUAGUUUAAACCUGAUAUAUCAGGACACAGUCAGCAAAAUGGGGAUAGACCCAACAACAAUUAGCCAUAGCAAUACUACCUUUAAAGGAGUAACGCCAGGCCCAGAAUCCCAUUGCACGGGCUCCCUGCUACUAGAGGUUAUACUUGGCUUCCCCGAUAAGUUCCGCAGUGAAAAUUUAACCUUCCACAUCACUCCAUUCCAAAGUGGCUAUCAAGAACUACUCGGACGCGAAGCUUUCGCUCGCUUUAACGCAAUACCGUUUACGCUUCCCUCAUGCUCAAGAUUCCCGGUCCACGUGGCAUCAUUACAGUAAAUGGAAAUAUUGAGUGAUCCUUGCGCGCGGAAGACCGUGUGGCUACCUUGGCAGCCGCACACUAAACGGCCUCACCAACUAAAGCAUCUGACAGGUCGUUAAGACCACGAACACGGUUGGACGAGUCCGGUGCAGCUAUAUGUAAUUGAUACAAGUUUGAUGGCUAUACCCCUAUUACAAUACAAGGGGCUCAACGCGCGUGCACAAGUGGCAAUCAGGCUCAACUUUACUCAUUUUGAACUAUAUAUUGUUUAUUUAGUAUAACUUACCUUUUGCACGACAACUUUUCAAUUAAGUUCCUCUCUUUUUUAGAUGACCAUCAUGCUACACCCGUCCAGAAUACGGCACAACGGAGACACAGGUGCAGACGUGCAGCAGGGACCCGUUCCAAGGAUUCUUUUUAGAUUAAGACCCUGCGUAAACCUUUUUUACUGUCUCUUGUUGAUACAAAUCCCUCGGAUUCUUAGUAUAAUUGAGAGGGAUGCUGACGUAUUGGCAUGUGGCCACGUCAGAAUAUUGCAUGUACCUGGACACCAGGGGCUUAUUACAAAGGGCACUGUUUAGGCCCGGCUUCCACCAUAAAGACCGAAUACCUUAGGGAGUGUUCGGUGUCGUGAGUUUGGCCUUAUAUGCAUCAGCUCCGAAUCAUGUUUUUGGUCAAAUGUUGGGUUUGCCCGGCUCAUGUGUUUUGCUGCCUUACGUUCCACUCUAUCGGCACCAGGAGAACUACUGCGAUUGUGCCCUGGUUCAUCCGGACGAGCACCUCAGUAGAGAAAGCUGAAAACUGACUGUCAUGAUAUAGCGUGAGACUAGUCAACCACUCGAUGACCUAGCGGAAUCUUCGGGAUUGCUCCGCCUUAACGAAGGGCCGUUUCCCGGCCAGGCAUGUACGCACCCCGAAUUCGGAUGAGUGCGGAGCCACCAGGGGCUAUAUAGUAGCCCCACUGUCAAACUCCUCUGGCUAAGUGAAAGUGUUAAAGCAUUAUAGUCCGAUUGCCUAGUUCGCUGCGCUAUCACCUCCUUAAUGGACCAAGACGUUGGAUCAAGUGUGAACGUGUGUCUUCUGCGAACACCCCCGCAUUAUAUGCGUGGGGGCUGAAGCCGACGACUGCCAUCUUUCAGGUUAUAUACAUAUAUACAUAAACGGCCGCACAGGAGGCAUCAUAGUACUUUCGGGCAAAAGUAUAAAUACAGCCUUGAUAAACUCAAUAAAACAUUGUUUUAACAAUGGGAAUACGUGUCACUCAAACAUAAUAUUCUUCAAGCACUGAGCCUCUAUCAAACGAGCGCCUUCAAGAACUCCUUCAAAGUAGUGCUCGGCAGCCACUCGGCCUAUGGCCGAACCCUGUGCCGCAACAGUGGUGGCAUCCAUCUCCGCCCAGUAUAUUUUGACACGGGCAAGGGCCAUCGGCGAGCCUUCUAUGCACGCCGACCUCUUUACAGCAUCGAUGUGAUGCACAACGCCAAGGAAUUGUUGCACUAAGCUAAAAUAGCUAUUCGGCCUUGGCCCUCCUGGCCACAAAUGAUCCACAAUGGACCUCAUGGCCAGUCCGGAUAAUCUAUGGAGCUCGGCCCAACCGGUCAAUCACUCAUUCAGCAACAGCGGACGGGCUGGAGCGUGAAACUGUGACCAGAACAAUUUAUCCACUUCAGGACCUUUCUGAUCCUUGAAGUACUCGGUCGCAUCCGCAGCACUUGCAGCCAAAUCCAUGUACUCAUCCGCAGAACUACAUAGCCGGUCCAGAGGAGCAUAUUUCGGAUCUCCGAACUUAGUCCGCAACAAGAAGGACUUCCCAGAAACGAUAUCCGCAGCUUGAUUCAGCUCCUCCUUGUCGCUCUAAUUUUGGAGCGGGCUUCCUUGGCAGCCACCCGGGCCUUCUCCAGGUCCGUCGCCUUCACCCGGUUUUCUUCUCCAAGAAGCCGAUAACAGUCAGCAACAUUUUUUUACUCCAUGGCCAUCUUAGCAAUUUUUUCUUUGCUCCAGCAAUGUGCGACCUGUUCGGCCCUUAACUCUUCGGCCGCCUUUAAAGCGGUCGCAUUACUACUCCUUGCUUGAUCCUUGGCUCGGGUAAGCUCCGCCCGAAGGGUCUCCACGGUGGCAGCUCCAUCUGCAGUCACAACAUAUUAAAGAUACUAGCAUCAUGCUGCUCUUAGUAUGUGACAUUCACUAGAAGAAUCACCUACCCUGUGCCUCGUCAAGCCGCUUAUUGACAAGCACGAUGUCGGCAUCUGCCGCAUCCAGCUGCCGCUUUAGUUCGGCAUACCCAUCAGUCCGGCUAGCCACCGGAGCCUCCACCACCUGCACAUAAAGGCAGUCUGGUUACUACCUGGGACUAUGAUCCUCCGUUUGCCACCGUUUUCGACGACAACCAGAGUCUCAAGGCUACUAUCUACACAGGGCACAUCUAAAAAUGUGUGGUACUUUCAAAAAUGUACAUCAUUUCGCGUACCUCAAAACCCGUCAGUAGACUCGUAAAGGCUUCAUGCGGCGCUUUUGGCAGACGAAAUCCUUUCAAUCACCGUACCCAUCAAUGUGUGGUGCUCUUCUGAGAUAGCCGCUUUCUCCAGCAGAUCCCUUCGUACAUCCGACCGCACACCAGACGGUGCAGGACUCUUUUGAUUUCUCUCUUUGAGAGCCGGAUACUGAGGACUUUGGGUGGCCACAUGAUUACCUUCUGGCCUUGCCGGAUCAGGAGAAGCCCUCCGCGAUGACACCUCGGGGUCGCCCUCUACGUAAGGCGGUGUGGCAGGGGGAGGCGUUUCGCUCUCCAUCAUCUCCGGAAGAAGAUCCCCCGAAGACGAGCUCUGCUGAGAAGGGCUAAGAUCCGAACUACAAGAUAAAUGCUUCGAUUAUUUUCCUCAGAAAUAGAGCAAGAUAUUUUCGUUAUUGAAUACCCUUUUACUUACAGCUUAGUAGAGGGCUGAUCCCCGCGCGGACAUUGUGCGGCAAGAGUACCCUCCAGGGCAGGUCCCUCUGGCGGAGAUUUCUUCUCCCGUUUGGAAACCUUAGUUUCCGGAUCUUCAGAGGUAGACCUCUUCCUUCCCCGGGGAGAGAGAAUGUCAAAUUCUUCCCCUUGGUUAUCCUCCCUCGCGGAGGUGCUCAUUCCCUCGAUGGGAAUAGGUAGCGACGGAGGCCCGCUUUCGCCCUCUUUAUUCCCCCCUUCAUCUUCCUUUGAGGGCACUAGACAAGGUGCUGGCUCGAGCAUCUUUUCCAGCACCGGAUUGUCCAAGCCUUCAGGAAGGGGGGCCGAACACCGGAUCAUCUUCGCCUUUGUUAUCCAGUCCUGGUUAAAGAGUGAUUCUUCAAAAUGAUGUCAUGAUAAAUAAAAAGACAGUGUGUUCGGCCAUGGGAUUACUUACUUGGGGAGCAGGGCAGUUGCAGCUCAGGCCCACGUCCUCGGUAGUGUCCGGACACUCUAUUUGGGGUCCGAAGAACGAUUUGUACAUCUCCUCGUGCGUCAUGCCGAGGAAAUUCUGAAUAGUGCGCGGUCCUUCCGGGUUGAAUUCCCACAUGCGGAGGGUCCGGCGUUUGCAAGGCUGGACUCGACGAACCAGCAUAACUUGCAUUACCAUAACCAGACUAAAAUCCCCCUCGAAGAGAUCUCAGAUACGGCUCUACAGUAUUGGCACGUCCUUGGCUGGACCCCCGAUCAGCCCCCUGCUGAUCCAUGACAUCAGUUGUGGUGGAGGGCCCGAGCGAAAGGUGGGGGAAGCUACCCACUUGGCACUUCGGGCAGCUGUGACGUAAAACCACUCCCGUUGCCACAAUCCGGACACCUCUGGAAAGGAACCCUUUGGCCAUGGAGCGUCAGCAAUUUUUCUUAUUAGAGCACCUCCGCACGCUACGUACUGCCCCUCGACCAUCUUUGGCUUCACAUUGAAGGUCUUGAGCCAUAGGCCAAAGUGAGGGGUAAUGCGGAGGAAGGCCUCACAGAUGACAAUAAAUGACGAGAUGUGAAGAAGGGAAUCCGGGGCCAGAUCUUGAAAAUCCAGCCCAUAAUAGAACAUGAGGCCCCUAACAAAAGGAUCCAGAGCGAGGCCUAGUCCUUGGAGGAAGUGGGAGAUGAACACAACGCUCUCAUUGGGUUCGGGAGUAGGGACGACCUGCCCUCGGCCGAGCAGCCUAUGCGAAAUUUCAGCGGUCAGAUAUCAGGCCUCCCUCAACUUCUUGAUGUCCUCCUCCGUGACGGAGGAAGGCAUCCACCUGCCUUGAAGGCUGGAUCCGGACAUGAUUGAAGGUCCGGGGCACCUGACCUGGGCUUUGGGUGUUAGAACUCGAGGCGGGGGAAGGAUUCGAUUGAGCACGGGAGGGAAAAAAGAAAAAGCCUUGUCCCUUUAUAAAGGGGAUGAAUAUCAGGCGUCCUCCUCGUAGCCGUUCUAGACUUACCUAAAAUCUAGGAGUCAUACCAACAGGCACGGUUGGGUUACCCACAUUUGUAUUGAUGAGAAUCCCGUGAUAAGGGGAACACGAUCUCUGCUUUGACAAGACGUGUCAAGAAACCGCCUCGCGUUAUGUGCGGGGCUGGUUAAAGAAAAAUGGUUCAAAUAAUUACCGGGCCGUGGCGUGAUGUCAUGCUGCCAAAACAUGUCAGCAAAUUGGACUUGUGGAAAUAUUAUUCUCUCUACAAUGGUAUGUGGAACUUAUUUUGCAGGGUCGGACACUAUCCUUGUAUUCAAACUCUUCCGUGGUGUAUUCGGAGGAGGAACCCGCCUUGCAAUGCCGAAGACAACACUGCAUGCCAGACUCAUCAUCAUUGAAGCCUGGUUCAGGGGCUACUGAGGGUAUCCUGGAUUAGGGGGUCUCCGGAUAGCCGAACUAUAUCCUUUGGCCGGACUGUUGGACUAUGAAGAUACAAGAUUGAAGAUUUCGUACCGUGUCCGGAUGGGACUCUACUUGGCGUGGAAGGCAAGUUAGGCAAUACGGAUAUGGAUAUCUCCUCCUUUGUAACCGACCUUAUGUUACCCUAGCCUCCCUCGGUGUCUAUAUAAACCGGAGGGUUUUAGUCCGUAGGACAACAUACAAUCAUACCAUAUGCUAGCUUCUAGGGUUUAGCCUCUCUGAUCUCGGGUAGAUCAACUCUUGUACUACUCAUAUUAUCAAGAAUAAUCAAGCAGGACGUAGCGUUUUACCUCCAUCAAGAGGGCCCGAACCUGGGUAAAACAUCGUGUCCCCUGCCUCCUGUAACCAUCCGCCUUAGACGCACAUUUCGGGACCCCCUACCCGAGAUCCGCUGGUUUUGACACCGACACCCGCAGCACCAAGUGGGUAGCUGCACUCACGUUUCGCCCUGGCCCACCGUUACAGCUUGCAUCAUGGGCCAACAAGGGGCUGGAUUGGGGAUCAGUUGAUGAAGUGCGGACUCUACAAAGUCGCAUACGAACCCUCCUCGAGAGGGAUAUCGAUCUUGUCAGCGUGAUUCAAGUAAUGUUGAUUCGCCGAAUCCUACCAUGCCAACGUACGCCUCUCUGUAUGUGGGAGUUCAAUCCAGAAGGACCACGAUCCCUCCAACACUUCUUCGGCAUUACGCACAAAGGGAUGUGGAAGUUGUUUUUCGGAAAACGAAAACAUUGGCCGAACACUAUUGAGGACACAUGCCUCGACUGUAACUGUCCGGAUACCCCGGUAAGCACUUGACUUCCGAACACCCUUUUUUUAAGUAUGCUGUAAUACAUUAUUGAGCAAACUAUCUCCUCCUAGGGCUGGAUAAACAAAAGCGGAGCUGAUUAGGUGUCCGCCCCCCCCCCCUUUCCGAAGGUUUAGCGGAUCCUGUAUUAACAAGGAUCCUAUCCCCGACACCGUACCAGAUGCUUGUGAAGGAGGGAAAGGCAGAGAGGACCAAAGAUGGCCCCCAUCCCGAUGGUGUGCCAGACAAGAUUCCAUCGUCCGAAGAAAAAAAUGACGGGAAAGUCAACGUCUCUUCCCCCCAUGGGAAGAAAAGGGUCACCUCCGAAGAUUGGGAGGAAAAGGCUCAUAAACGAGGCAAGAUGCCUUCGUCGGGUGGCUCGGGCUUGGAGGACAACGUCAUCGCACAGUCCCAUGAUGAGGACAAGCCUCAGGCCAACUCGUAAGUGAACAAGGGUGUUUUAAACACGUCACACCCCUUUCUUGUAACGUCUAGAAUAUAUGUUUUUUUGUAGUUCGGCACGCAGUCUUCUUCAACAAUCCUCUUCCUCGGGGGAUCUUCUCCCGAGAUGAUGGAAAGCGAGACACCUCCACCAAUCUCGUCGCCCAAUAGGGCGGAUGACUUCAAGGUGUCGUAGCGGAGGGUAUCUCCCGAUCAACAAGUGGUGCGAGGGAUGACGAAGACACAACCCGAAGGUGAUACUUCGGUGGCCCAUGGUCCGGGGACCAACAGUAAAGGCCCCGAACAUUCCGGUCUACAGCCGGAUAUGAAUAAACGGAUUCCUUGAAAGGGAGGCCGUACUCCUUCAGCAGCCUCCGGAGUCCCAGAGGCGCCGGAUAUAUUGACGAACAUGCUGCGACAGGCGUCCGUCUCAGAGGAACAUCGUACCUUGAUGAGCACGGUGAUAGAAAAGGUCCUGGCCGCGAAAAGCGGAUUGAAUGAGGCCUUCAUGGGCCUACUAGGAUGCUUCGAGGUUUGUACCGUAAUAUGUUCGAUUGUGUUUUAUUCAAGAAUACACCUGUGCAUAGAUAGUAGCCCCUAAGACUCUGAUUGGCUUCCCAAGGGAGAUGGUUAUAUGAUCAAAAGAUAUGCCCAGGAAGUAAUAUGAUUGUUGGAACACAGGAUGUGACCUCCCCGGAAACUGUCUGGACUGUAGAGAUUGUGGAUUUGCAAGACAAGAUUGAUGAGGCAGAUACUGAUAUCACGCUUAUCAACAGGCGUCUUGACGAGUCGCAAGGUACAUGUUCAAAGCAAUCCAUACAUAUAAGUUUUUUAAUAUAAGCGUGACACUGAAAGUUGCAUACUGGAAUAUGCAUGGUUGCAGAUGGUGGUGCCGCCGUUGAGAUUCUUCGGGCGGAGCUGGCCCGGGCCAAGGAGUAGGCCUGGUUUAGUAAUGUGGCUGCCAAAAAGGCAUCGACCAAGUUAAAGGCCGAACAAGCUGCUCAGCACCAAGACGAGGAGAAAAUAUCCUCGAUGGUGCUCGAACUAAAAAAUACUACCAGCCGCUAUGAAUUCCUAGAGAAGGAGAAUAAAGCCAAAGCGGCUGAGCUUGACAAGGCCUUGCGAGAGGCGAAAGAAGCGCGGUCCGAAUCUAGAGCGGCCCGUGAGGAGAUCCGGCAAGUUGGGAAGAUUGCCGCUGGUAAGCCAUUUUUAUUACAGACAAAGUUCGGCGAUCCGAAUUAUGCUUAGCUUAACCAAGUGUGGAGUUCUCCAGAUGUGUUUUUGGACAUGCCGAAGAGUUCAUCCGAUGCGGCGCAGUUUUACCAAGCGCAAGAGGGAUAUGCAAUGGAGAAGCUUUUCUGGUCAUAGUUUGGCGCAUCAAAACGCCCUCUACUGCUGAAUGAACAAAUGUCCCAACUGGUCGAGCUUCACAAGAUGUCCACAGCUGCCAUGAAGAACGUCAUACUUUAGCUAUGGCCGACUGAGCCGAUUCCGAAUAGCUAUUUCGGCUUGGUGCGGUGGCUUGCUGAUGCGGUGCCACGUAUCGACGCCGUGAAGUGGUCGACAUGCAUUGAAGGUGCACGGAUGGCCUUUGCCCGAGUCAAGACAUACUGGGGGAAGAUGAAGGCCGUCGAUGUUGCAUUGCAGGGUCCACCCAAGGGCAAGGACCAUCACGCACCAGAGCAAUACUUUGAGGACAUCUUAGAGGCUGCCCGCUUGAUAGAGGGUCAAUGUUCGAAAGGCAUAAUAUUCAAGUGAACUCUUUACAAAUUGUAAAAGACAAUUGUUAUAAUCAAUCUAUAUUUUGAUUUUGCCUAAAGGCUUUUGUUCCUCAUGUGCGGCUGUUUGUAUGUGAACUGAAAGUUUUCCAGUCAUCGGCUUCAGCCCCUGAUGACCCACAAGUAUAGGGGAUCUAUCAUAGUCCUUUGGAUAAGUAAGAGUGUCGAACCCAACGAGGAGCAGAAGGAAAUGAUAAGCAGUUUCCAGCAAGGUAUUCUCUGCAAGUACUGAAAUAAGUGGUAACCGAUAGUUUUAUGAUAGGAUAAUUUGUAAUGAGCAACAAGUAACAAAGGUAAAUAAAGUGCAGCAAGGUGGCCCAAUCCUUUUUGUAGCAAAGGACAAGCCUGGACAAACUCUUAUAUAGAUAAAAGCGCUCCUGAGGACACAUGGGAAUAUCAUCAAGCUCGUUUUCACCACGCUCAUAUGAUUCGCGUUCGGUACUUUGAUAAUUUGGUAUGUGGGUGGACUGGUGCUUGGGUACUGUCCUUACUUGGACAAGCAUCCCACUUAUGAUUAACCUCUAUUGCAAGCAUCCGCAACUACAACAAAAGUGUUAAGGUAAACCUAACCAUAGCAUGAAACAUAUGGAUCCAAAUCAGCCCCUUACGAAGCAACGCAUAAACUAGGGUUUAAGCUUCUGUCACUCUAGCAACCCAUCAUCUACUUAUUACUUCCCAAUGCCUUCCUCUAGGCCCAAAUAAUGGUGAAGUGUCAUGUAGUCGACGUUCACAUAACACCACUAGAGGAGAGACAACAUACAUCUCAUCAAAAUAUCGAAUGAAUACCAAAUUCACAUGACUACUAAUAGCAAGACUUCUCCCAUGUCCUAAAGAACAAGCGUAACUACUCACAAAGCAUAAAUAUGUUCAUAAUCGAGGGGUAUUAAUAUGCAUAUAGGAUCUGAACAUAUGAUCUUCCACCAAAUAAACCAACUAGCAUCAACUACAAGGAGUAAUUAACACUACUAGCAACCUACUAGCACCAAUCCCGGACUUGGAGACAAGAAUUGGAUACAAGAGAUGAACUAGGGUUUUGAGAGGAGAUGGUGCUGAUGAAGAUGUUGAUGGAGAUUGCCCUCUCCCGAUGAGAGGAGCAUUGGUGAUGACAAUGGCGAUGAUUUCCCCCUCCAGGAGGGAAGUUUCCCCGGCAGAACAGCUCCGCCAGAGCCCUAGAUUGGUCCCGCCUCGUGGCGGCGGAGUUUCUUCUGAGAACAUGGCUUAUUAUUUUUUCCCAUCGAAAGACUUCAUAUAGCAGAAGAUGGCCACCGGAUAGCCACUAGGGGGCCCACGAGGUAGGGGGGUGCGCUCAGGGGGGUAGGGCGCGCCCCCCACCCUCGUGGGCAGGGUGUGGCCCCCCUGGUGAAUCUCUUCCGCUGAGUAUUUUUUAUAUAUUCUGAAAACGUCUUCCGUGAAGUUUCAGGACUUUUGGAGCUGUGCAGAAUAGGUCUCUACUAUUUGCUCCUUUUCCAGCCCAGAAUCCCAGCUGCCGGCAUUCUCCCUCUUCAUGUAAACCUUGUAAAAUAAGAGAGAAUAUGCAUAAGUAUUGUCACAUAAUGUGUAAUAACAGCCCAUAAUGCAAUAAAUAUUGAUAUAAAAGCAUGAUGCAAAAUGGGCGUAUCAACUCCCCCAAGCUUAGACCUCGCUUGUCCUCAAGCGAAAAGCCAAAAUCGAAAAAUAUGUCCACACGUUUAGAGAUAGAGGUGUCGAUAAAAAUAAAAUACGGACAUGAGGGCAUCAUGAUCAUUCUUAGAACAACAACUUACAUAAUUCUUGUCAUAUGAUUCCUUAUGCUAGAUUAAUAAUUCAAUCACAAUUUCAACUAUGAAUCGUAAACUUCAUUGAAAACUAACAAACUAUAAUCUCAGUCAUUGGAGCAAUUGCAAUUUAUCAUAACAUAGGAAAGAGUCAAUAUAUAAGAGCUUUUCAGCAAGUCCACAUACUCAACUAUCAUAUAGUCUUUCACAAUUGCUGACACUCACACAAUACUUAUGGGUAUGGAGUUUUAAUCGGACACGGAGAAAGAUAGGGGCUUAUAGUCUUGCUUCCCAACAUUUUACCUCAAGGGUAAUGUCAACAAUAAUAGUUCAUGAAAACUCACAUCCAAUUAGCCAUAUAUACCAAGAUCUUUCCAACAUACUGUGCUCGCCAAAGGAUAAAGUGUAAAAAGGAAUGGUGAAGAUCACCAUGACUCUUAUGCAAGGUAGGAGAUAAAAGUAGAAGAUAAGCCUUUCGCAGAGGGAAGUAGAGGUUGUCAUGCGCUUUAAUGGUUGGAUGCACAGAAUCUUAAUGCGAAAGAACGUCACUUUAUAUUGCCACUUGUGAUAUGGACCUUUAUUAUGCAGUCUGUCGCUUUUAUUUCUUCCAUAUCACACAAUCGUAUAAAGCUUAUUUUCUCCCACGCUAAUAAGUCAUACAUAUUUAGAGAGCAAUUUUUAUUGCUUGCACCGAUGACAACUUACUUAGAGGAUCUUACUCAAUCCAUAAUAAAACUGGUUUAAGGGUAUUUGGAAGCACAAGUAGUAUCUCUACUUGGUGCGAUGAAUUUGGCUAGCAUGAGGGAGAAAGGCAAGCUCAACCAUGUUGUAUGAUCCAUGACAAUAUAAUUUAUCUCAGAUGUAAGAAACCAUAACCCAUUACGUUGUCUUCCUUGUCCAACGUCAACUCUUUUAGCAUGUCAUAUUUUAAUGAGUGCUCACAAUCAUAAAAGAUGUCCAAGAUAGUAUAUUUAUAUGUGAAGACCUCUCUUUCUUUAUUACUUCAUAUUAUUUGCAACGAUGACCAAAACUAUGCUUGUCAACUCUCAACAACUUUUAUUCAUCAUACUUUUUCUAUGUGAGCUCACCACUCUCCAUAAGACUCACAUGAUCUCUUUGUUUAUUUUUAUUUCUUUCUCUUUUCUUUCUCUUAGGAUCAUGGCAAAAUAAUCAAGCCCUUGACUCAACACUAAUCUUUAUUAUAUAGCUCACGGACUCGAUUACAUAGAAGGACUAUAAAGAAAAACUCACAACUAGAUCAUACUAAGACUUUUAUUCCACUAAAUCAAGAUAUUACCAAAAGUAUCGAACUAAGAAAAAUGGUAAAGAUAAAGAUAAAGGUGAUACGAUACCGGGGCACUCCCCCAAGCUUGGCAGUUGCCAAGUGGAGUGCCCAUACCAGAUGCUCAAUUAUUUUUUGUUGGUGCAUAAGGUGGAGUUGUUGAUGAUGGACAGUCGCACAUCGAGCGUAGGAGGUCUUCUAACUUGCGGAUAAUGCCCUUGAGUGCGAUGAUAUGCUCCUUCAACAAAAUAUUUUCACAUGUGAGAUACUUAUUUUGUAUAUGAGCUAACUCAAUCAUCUUGAAAGCUUCGAUUUUUUUUGGGGUAAGAAGAUUGUGAUCAAGUUGAAGGGCGUCUUCUGUUGCCGGAACUUGGUCCUCCAUGGCCUUCUUGAUCCCUUCAUCCUUGUUGAUCUCCAUGGGUUCUUAUCUCUUCAGCUCUAUCUUCAUUAGCCAAGCAUCAUUGCCCUCAUGGUUGGAGGAGGAGGAGGGAGACGACAUAGUGCCUGGCCUUGACAACCCUGACAGAAAACAACUCGAAACAAAGACAGGAGAUUUUUGCAUGAUACGGGAGUCAAAACCUCCGGGGGAUUAUAUAAUGAAUUUUUACCGGCCAAAAUACGUGUCGUGUAAGAAAACGGAGUCCGGGAAGUGCACGAGGAGCCCACGAGGUAGGGGGCGCACCAAGGGGGUAGGGCGCACUCUCCACCCUCGUGGAGCCCUCGUGUCCUUCCCGGACUGCUUCUUAUUUUUCUAUUUUUCUAAAUACUCCAAAACGGAGAAAUAUUCCCUUAAAAACUGUUUUGGAGUCGGUUUACUUACCGUACCACAUACCUAUUCCUUUUCGGAGUCUGGAGCGUUCCGGAAAGUGUCCCUUAUGUAUUCCUCCAGGGUUACGGUUUCAAUAACAUUGGUUUCAACAUUUAUGGGAUUACCUAAGAUAUAAUGUUUGAUUCUUUGACCGUUCACCACCUUCGGAUUUGUGCCUUCGAAGUUGUUGAUUUUUAUGGCACCGGAACGAUAGACCUCCUCGAUAACGUAAGGACCUUCCCAUUUAGAGAGAAGGUUUCCAGCAAAAAAUCUUAAACGAGAGUUGUAUAGCAAUACAUAAUCACCAACACUAAACUCACGCUUUUGUAUCCUUUUGUCAUGCCAUCUUUUAACUUUUUCUUUAAACAACUUGGCAUUUUCAUAGGCUUGGGUUCUUGAUACGUCUCCAACGUAUCUAUAAUUUUUGAUUGCUCCAUGCUAUAUUAUCUACUAUUUUGGACUAUAUUGGGCUUUAUUUUCCACUUUUAUAUUAUUUUUGGGACUAACCUAUUAACCGGAGGCCCAGCCCAGAAUUGUUGUUUUUUUGCCUAUUUCAGUAUUUCAGAGAAACAGAAUAUCAAAUUGAGUCCAAACGGAAUAAAACUUUCGGGAACGUGAUUUUCUCACUGAACGUGAUCCAGGAGACUUGGACCCUACUCCAAGGAGUCAAAGAGGCGGUCACGAGGGUGGGGGGCACGCCCACCCCCCUAGGGCGCGCCCCCUGCCUCAUGGACCCCUCGGUGCUCCACCGCCGUACUCCUUCCUCCUAUAUAUACCUACGUACCCCCAAACGAUCAGAACAGGAGCCAAAAACCUAAUUCCACCACCGCAACUUUUUGUAUCCAUGAGAUCCCGUCUUGGGGCCUGUUCUGGAGCUCCACCGGAGAGGGCCGUCAUCACGGAGGGCUUCUACAUCAUCAUAGCCCCUCCGAUGAAGUGUGAGUAGUUUACCUCAGACCUUCGGGUCCAUAGUUAGUAGCUAGAUGGCUUUUUCUCUCUUUUUGGAUCUCAAUACAAAGUUCUCCCCCUCUCUUGUGGAGAUCUAUUCGAUGUAAUCUUCUUCUUUUUGCGGUGUGUUUGUUGAGACCGAUGAAUUGUGGGUUUAUGAUCAAGUCUAUCUAUGAAUAAUAUUUGAAUCUUCUCUGAAUUCUUUUAUGUAUGAUUGGUUAUCUUUGCAAGUCUCUUCGAAUUAUCUGUUUGGUUUGGCCAACUAGAUUGGUAGUUCUUGCCAUGUGAGAAGUGCUUAACUUUGGGUUCGAUCUUGCGGUGUCCUUUCCCAGUGACAGAAGGGGUAGCAAGGCAUGCAUUGCAUCGUUGCCAUCGAGGAUAACAAGAUCGGGUUUAUUUCAUAUUGCAUGAAUUUAUCUCUCUACAUCAUGUCAUCUUGCUUAAAGCGUUACUCUGUUUUUAACUUAAUACUCUAGAUGCAUGCUGGAUAGCGGUCGAUGAGUGGAGUAAUAGUAGUAGAGGAAGAAUCGUUUCGGUCUACUUGUCAUGGAUGUGAUGCCUAUAUACAUGAUCAUGCCUAGAUAUUCUCAUAACUAUGCUCAAUUCUGUCAAUUGCUCAACAGUAAUUUGUUCACCCACCGUAGAAUACUUAUGCUCUUGAGAGAAGCCACUAGUGAAACCUAUGGCCCCCGGGUCUAUUCUCAUCAUAUCAAUCUCCAUCACUUUAAUCUUGCUUUGCUUUUUUACUUUGCCUUUUACUUUUUACUUUGCAUCUCUAUACCAAAAAUACCAAAAAUAUUAUAUCUAUCAGAUCUCACUCUCGUAAGUGACCGUGACGGGAUUGACAACCCCUAAUCACGUUGGUUGCGCGUAGCUAUCGUUUUGUGCAGGUAUGAGGGACUUGAGCGUGGCCUCCUACUGGACUGAUACCUUGGUUCUCAAAAACUAAGGGAAAUACUUAUGCUACUCUGCUACAUCAUCCUUUCCUCUUCGAGGAAAUCCAUCGCAAGCUCAAGAGGUUGCAAGAAGAAUUUCUGGCGCCGUUGCCGGGGAGUCUACGCAAAAAGUCAACAUACCAAGUACCCGUCACAAUCCCUAUCUCUCGCAUUACAUUAUUUUCCAUUUGCCUCUCGUUUUCCUCUCCCCCAGUUCACCCUUGCCGUUUUAUUCGCCCUCUCUCUCUCUAUCCUCCCUCUCUAUUUGCCUCUUUUUGCCCGCUUGCCUUUUUGUUUGCUCGUGUGUUGGAUUGCUUGUUUGUCGCGAUGGCUCAAAAUACUACCAAAUUGUGUGACUUCACCAAUACCAAUAAUAAUGAUAUCCUUAGCACUCCAAUUGCUCCUCUUGCCAAUACUGAAUCUUGUGAAAUCAAUACUGCUUUGUUGAAUCUUGUUAUGAAAGAUCAAUUCGCCGGCCUUCCUAGUGAAGAUGCCACUACUCAUCUGAAUAGCUUCGUUGAUUUAUGUGAUAUGCAAAAGAAAAAAGAUGUCAAUAAUGAUGUCGUUAAAUUGAACCUAUUUCCUUUUUCUCUUAGAGAUCGUGCUAAAGCUUGUUUUUCGUCUUUGCCUAAAAAUAGUAUUGAUUCUUGGAACAAGUGCAAAGAUGCUUUUAUCUCUAAGUAUUUCCCUCCCGCUAAGAUCAUCUCUCUUAGAAACGAUAUUAUGAACAUUAAGCAACUUGAUCAUGAACAUGGUGCACAAGCUUGGGAGAGAAUGAAAUUAAUGAUACGUAAUUUCCCUACUCAUGGUUUGAAUUUGUGGAUGAUUAUACACAAAUUUUAUGUCGGAUUGAAUUUUGCUUCUAGAAAUCUUUUAGAUUCGGCCGCGGGAGGCACUUUUAUGGAAAUCACUUUAGGAGAUGCUACUAAACUCCUAGAUAAUAUUAUGGUUAAUUAUUCUCAAUGGCAUACUGAAAGAUCUUCUAAUAAAAAAGUGCAUGCGAUAGAAGAAAUCAAUGUUUUGGGUGGAAAGAUGGAUGAACUUAUGAAAUUAUUUGCUACUAAGAGUGUUUCUUCUGAUCCUAAUGAUAUGCCUUUGUAUACUUUGAUUGAGAAUAACAAUGAAUCUAUGGAGGUGAAUUUUGUUGGUAGGAAUAAUUUUGGUAACAACGCUUAUAGAUGGAAUUUUAAUCCUAGGCCAUAUCCUAGUAAUUCUUCUAAUAAUUAUGGGAAUUCCUACAACAACUCUUAUGGAAAUUAUAAUAAGAUGCCCUCGGAAUGUGAGAAUAGUGUUAAAGAGUUUAUGAAUUCACAAAAUAAUUUUAAUGCUUUGCUUGAAGAUAAAUUGCUUAAAGUUGAUGAGUUGGCUAGGAAAGUUGAUAGAAUUUCUCUUUAGGUUGAUUCUUUAAAGCUUAGAUCUAUUCCUCCUAAGCAUGAUAUCAAUGAGUCUCUCAAAGCCAUGAGAAUUUCCAUUGAUGAGUGCAAGGAAAGAACCGCUAGGAUGCGUGCUUCCAAAGAUGCCUUUAUUAAAGCGCAUUCUUCCAAUUCCUAUGAAAAUCAAGAUGAAGAUCUAAAAGUUAUUGAUGUGUCACCUAUUAAAUCUUUGUUUUGCAAUAUGAAUCUUGAUGAAACUGAAUAUGAUCUUCUUUUACCUAGAAGGAGUUCUAAAAAUUCGGAGUAUUUAGAUCUUUAUGAUGAAAUUGAUGAAAGUGGGAUUGAAAGAAAUAAAAAUCUAGAUGUUGCUAAACCCACUAUAUUGGAUUUCAAGGAAUUUAAUUAUGAAAGUUGCUCUUUAAUUAAUUGUAUUUCCUUUAUGCAAUCCGUGCUAAAUUCUCCACAUGCUUAUAGUCAAAAGAAAGCCUUCGCCGAACAUAUUUUUGAUGCCUUGAUGCAAUCUUAUGAAGAAAAACUUGAGUUGAAAGUUUCUAUCCCUAGAAAACUCUAUGAUGAGUGGGAACCAACUAUUAAAAUUAAAAUUAAAGGUCACGAGUUUUAUGCUUUGUGUGAUUUGGGUGCUAGUGUCUCCACUAUCCCCAAAACUUUGUGUGAUUUGCUAGAUUUCGCAAUUUUGAUGAUUGCUCUCUAAAAUUGCAUCUUGCAGAUUCUACUAUUAAGAAACCUAUGGGAAGGAUUAAUGAUGUUCUUAUUGUUGCAAAUAGAAAUUAUGUGCCCGUAGAUUUAAUUGUUCUUCAUAUAGAUUGCAAUCCUUCUUGCCCUAUUAUUCUUGGUAGACCUUUCAUUAGAACGGUUGGUGCGAUUAUUGAUAUGAAGGAAGGGAAUAUUAGAUUUCAAUUUCCAUUAAAAAAGGGCAUGGAACAAUUUCCAAGAAAGAAAAUAAAAUUGCCAUAUGAAACUAUCAUGAGAUCCACUUAUGGAUUGCCUACCAAAGAUGGCAAUACCUAGAUCUAUCCUCGCUUUUAUGCCUAGCUAGGGGCGUUAAACGAUAGCGCUUGUUGGGAGGCAACCCAAUUUUAUUUUUAUUCCUUAAUUUUUGCUCCUGUUUCAUAAUAAAUAAAGUAUUUAGCCUCUGUUUUGGUUGUGUUUUUUGUGUUUAAUUAGUGUUUGUGCCAAGUAGAACCGUUGGGAAGACUUGGGGAAAGUCUGGUUGAACUUGCUGUAAAAAACAGAAACUUUUGCGCUCACGAGAACUGCUGCCAUUUUUAUUUGGGGAGUGAUAUUUAGUUAAUUCUUUUUGCAGAUGAUUAAUAGAUAAAUUCCUCACGUCCAGAAAUUUAUUUUAGAAUUUUUGGGGUUCCAUAUAUUGCUCUAGCUACCGAUUACUACAGACUGUUCUGUUUUUGACAGAUUCUGUUUUUCGUGUGUUGUUGCUUAUUUUGAUGAUUCUAUGGUUAGUAAAAUAGUUUAUAAUUAGAAGUUGGAAUACAGUAGGUUUAACACCAAUAUAAAUUAAUAAUGAGUUCAUUACAUUACCUUGAAGUGGUCUUUUGUUUUCUUUCGCUAACGGAGCUCACGAGUUUUCUACUUUAAGUUUUGUGUUGUGAAGUUUUCAAGUUUUGGGUUAAUUCUUGUGAUGGAUUAUGGAACAAGGAUUGGAAAGAGCCUAAGCUUGGGGAUGCCCAUGGCACGCCCAAUAUAAUCCAAGGACACCAAAAAGUCAAAGCUUGGGGAUGCCCCGGAAGGCAUCCCCUCUUUCGUCCACUCCCAUCGGUAAUUUACUUGGAGCUAUAUUUUUAUUCACCAACAUGAUAUGUGUUUUGCUUGGAGAGUCUUGUAUUAUUUUUGUCUUUGUGUUUUAGUAUGCCACAAUCAUCCUUGCUGUACACACCUUUUGAGAGAUCCAUACAUGAAUUAAAAUUUGAUAUAAUACUCUAUGUGCUUCACUUAUAUCUUUUUGAGCUAAGUAAUUUUGCUCUAUGUGCUUCACUUAUAUCUUUUGAGCUAUGUAAUUUUGCUCUAUGUGCUUCACUUAUAUCUUUUUGAGCUAAGUAGUUUUGCUCUAUGUGCUUCACUUAUAUCUUCUGAGCGUUAUAAUUUUGCUCUAUGUGCUUCACUUAGAUCUUUUAGAGCACGGUGGUGGAUUUGUUUUAAAGAAACUAUUGAUCUCUCAUGCUUCACUUAAAUUAUUUUAAGAGUCUUAAUAGCAUGGUAAUUUGCUUAAUGAUAACAUGCUUGGUAUUCAAUAUUUGUGAAACUUUCUUUUGAGUGUGUUGAAUACUAAGAAAAGUUGGAUGCUUGAUAAUUGUUUUGAGAUAUGGAGGUAGUAAUAUCAAAGUCAUGCUAGUAGAGUAAUUCUGAAUUUGAGAACUGCUUGAGUUAAAGUUUGCAAGUCCCGUAGCAUGCACGUAUGGUAAACGUUAUGCAACAAAUUUGAAACAUGAGGUGUUAUUUGAUUGUCCUCCUUAUGAGUGGCGGUCGGGGACGAGCGAUGGUCUUUUCCUACCAAUCUAUCCCCUAGGAGCAUGCGCGUAAUACUUUGGUUUUUGAUGGCUUGUAGAUUUUUGCAAUAAGUAUAUGAGUUCUUUAUGACUAAUGUUGAGUCCAUGGAUUAUACGCACUCUCACCCUUCCAUCACUGCUAGCCUUUACGGUACAGUGCAUUGCCCUUUCUCACAUCGAGAGUUGGUGCAAACUUCGCCAGUGCAUCCAAACCCCGUGAUAUGAUACGAUCUUUCACACAUAACCCUCCUUAUAUCUUCCUCAAAACAGCCACCAUACCUACCUAUUAUGGCAUAGCCAUUCCGAGAUAUAUUGCCAUGCAACUUUCCACCAUCCAGUUUAUCAUGACACAUCCAUCAUUGUCAUAUUUCUUAGCAUGAUCAUGUAGUUGACAUAGUAUUUGUGGCAAAGCCACCGUUCAUAAUUUUUUCAUACUUGUCACUCUUGAUUCAUUGCAUAUCCCGGUACACCGCCGGAGGCAUCCAUAUAGAGUCAUACUUUGUUCUAGUAUCGAGUUGUAAAUAAAUAAAAGUGUGAUGAUCAUCAUUUAAUAGAGCAUUGUCCCCAAAAAAAGGCCAAAGAAAAAAACAAGGCCCAAAAAAGAGAAAAUAAAUAAAAAGGGGCAAUGCUACUAUUCCGUUUUCCACACUUGUGCUUCAAAGUAGCACCAUGUUCUUCAUAUAGAGAGUCUCUUGAGUUAUCACUUUCAUAUACUAGUGGGAAUUUUCAUUAUAGAACUUGGCUUGUAUAUUCCAACAAUGGGCCUCCUCAAGUGCCCUAGGUCUUCAUGAGCAAGCAAGUUGGAUGCACACCCACUUAGUUUCUUUUGUUGAGCUUCCAUACAUUUAUAGCUCUAGUGCAUCCGUUGCAUGGCAAUCCAACUCCUUGCACUAACAUCAAUCGAUGGGCAUCUCCAUAGCCCAUUGAUUAGUCUCGUUGAUGUGAGACUUUCUCCUUUUUUGUCUUCUCCACAUAAUCCCCAUCAUUAUAUUCUAUUCCACCCAUAGUGCUAUAUCCAUGGCUCACGCUCAUGUAUUGCGUGAAAGUUUAUGAGUUUGAAAUUAUUAAGGUAUGAAACAAUUUCUUGGCUUGUCAUCGGGGUUGUGCAUGAUGAGAGCAUUCUUGUGUGACGAAAAUGGAGCAUGACUAAACUAUAUGAUUUUGUAGGGAUGAACUUUCUUUGGCCAUGUUACUUUAAGAAAACAUAAUUGCUUUGUUGGUUUGCUUGAAGUAUUAUUAUUCUUUAUAUCAAUAUGAACUUUUGUCUUAAAUCUUCCUAAUCUGAAUACUCAUACCACAAUUAAGAAGAUUUGCAUUGAAAUUAUGCCAAGUAGCACUCCGCAUCAAAAAUUAUCUUUUUAUCAUUUACCUACUCGAGGACGAGCAGGAAUUAAGCUUGGGGAUGCCUGAUACGUCUCCAACGUAUCUAUAAUUUUUGAUUGCUCCAUGCUAUAUUAUCUACUGUUUUGGACUAUAUUGGGCUUUAUUUUCCACUUUUAUAUUAUUUUUGGGACUAACCUAUUAACCAGAGGCCCAGCCCAGAAUUGAUGUUUUUUUGCCUAUUUCAGUAUUUCGGAGAAACAGAAUAUCAAACGAAGUCCAAACUGAAUAAAACCUUCGGGAACGUGAUUUUCUCACCGAACGUGAUCCAGGAGACUUGUACCCUACUUAAGGAGUCAAAGAGGCAGUCACGAGGGUGGGGGGCACGCCCACCCCCCUAGGGUGCGCCCCUGCCUCGUGGGCCCCUCGGUGCUCCACCGACGUACUCCUUCCUCCUAUAUAUACCUACGUACCCCCAAACGAUCAGAACAGGAGCCAAAAACCUAAUUCCACCGCCGCAACUUUCUGUAUCCACGAGAUCCCAUCUUGGGGCCUGUUCCGGAGCUCCGCCGGAGAGGGCCGUUGUCGGUGUCAAAACCGGCGGAUCUCGGGUAGGGGGUCCCGAACUGUGCGUCUAGGCCGGAUGGUAACAGGAGGCAAGGGACAUGAAGUUUUACCCAGGUUUGGGCCCUCUCGAUGGAGGUAAAACCCUACGUCCUGCUUGAUUUAUAUUGAUGGUAUGGGUAGUACAAGAGUAGAUCUACCAUGAGAUCGAAGAGGCUAAACCCUAGGAGCUAGCCUAUGGUAUGAUUGUUGACGUGUACGUUGUCCUACGGACUAAAACCCUUCGGUUUAUAUAGACACCGGAUAGGGUUAGGGUUACAUAGAGUCGGUUACAAUAGUAGGAGAUCUACAUAUCCGUAUCGCCAAGCUUGCCUUCCACGCCAAGGAAAGUCCCUCCCGGACACGGGACGAAGUCUUCAAUCUUGUAUCUUCAUAGUCCAGGAGUCCGGCUGAAGGUAUAGUCCGGCUAUCCGAACACCCCCUAAUCCAGGACUCCCUCGGUAGCCCCUGAACCAGGCUUCAAUGACGACGAGUCCGACGCGCAGAUUUUCUUCGGCAUUGCAAGGCGGGUUCCUCCUCCAAGUACUUCAUAGAAGAUUUUGAACACAAAGAUAGUAUCCGGCUCUGCAAAAUAAGUUUCCACAUAUUGCCAUAGAGAGAAUAAUAUUUACACCAAUCUAAUCUGCUGACAUAUUCCGUAGCGUGACACACCACGGCCAAGCCUUUAUCCGAGUCAUUUCAUUAUCCCACCUCAGCGCGUUAUGCGAGGCGGUUUCCUUGGCACGUCUUGUUAAAGCAGUGAUCGUGUCCCCUUAUCCUGGGAUUCUCAUCAAUACGGGCGUGGGUAACCCAACCGCGCCAUUGAUUACGGCGCUUGGAGAUAAGCGAGUUUUACCAGGCUGGUGGGGACAUGUAGUUGGGUCCACCCAUAUAAGGGGAUAAGGAUCCACCUUUUCACCUACGCCUUCUUCCUCCUUCGCCUAUCCAUUUUUGUGCACUCGAGCUCCAGCGCCCAAAUCUGCACUCCCCACCUCAACCUUCUCCAGCCAUGUCUGGAGCGGGAGGCAAGUGGAUGGUCUCCUCCGUCACGGAGGGACAUAUCAAAAAGCUGAGGAAGGCCGGAUACCUGUCUAACGAUAUCGCGUACCGGCUCCCCGAAAAGGGGCAGCUCAUCCCCACCCCUAGGCCCCAUGAGAGGGUGGUGUUCCUCCCCCAUUUCCUCCGCGGACUGGGCUUCCCUCUCCACCCAUUUGUCCGGGGGCUCAUGUUCUACUACGGCCUGGAUUUCCACGAUCUAGCCCCAAACUUUGUCCUCAACAUCUCAGCGUUUAUCGUCGUGUGCGAGGCCUUCCUCCGCAACCGCCCCCAUUUCGGCCUAUGGCUCAAGACUUUCAAUGUCAAGCCGAAGGUGGUGCGCGGCAACCAGGCAGAGUGCGGAGGUGCCAUGGUGGGCAAGAUGGCCAAUGUCCUAUGGCUCGAGGGCUCCUUUGUGGAGACCCUGAAGGGGUGGCAAUCGGGGUGGUUUUACAUCACCGAGCCACGUGACACCGAAUGGGUCGCACCCCCCGAGUUUUGAUCCGGACCCCCCACGUGGCUCACCUCCUGGAAGGAGAGGGGCCUGUCUUGGGGUAAAAAAGGAGAGCUGACCGGACUCCAAACAUGCAUCCAAACCCUGGCGGACAAGAAGCUCAAACUUGUCACAUAGUCCAGGUUAUGCUCAUCCGCCUGAUCCUCCCGUGUUAACAACGGGCUUUCAACCUGUGGGAGUUCGACCCGGCGCGGCACGGCACCAAACUCUGAGCAGGCUCUUUGACACGACAUACGAAGAUGCCUGGAAGGUGCUUUUCAAAGGCGCCGAGGCUCCCGCGUCCACUACCGAGGAUCGCGGAUUCAGUGCCCAGCAUCACGCUCUCGCGGUAAGAUGUUUUUUUCCUUUUAUAGGGUAUCAGUUUUUCAUAGUUUGACUCCAUGCGGGAUCUAAGCUCCCUUACCUCUGACAGGAUUGGCAGGUGACGUCCGGACAGAUCAACUGUCCGUCUGCUUUGCCCGAAGGCCCAGCGGACGCCCGCUUGGCGAAGCUGCUGGUUCCGGCACCCUAUGUGGUGCCGGAGAAGAAGGCUGUGAAAAAGGCCGUGGGGACUCGAAAGAGUGCCCGGCGCCAGGAGGUGUCGGAUCCAUCAUCCGAUGGUUCCGAGGCGCAUUCCUCCCAUGAAGACGAGGAGGAAGAAGAGGAGAACUCUCCCCCUCCAGCGGGAGGAGAGAAGAAAAGGAAGGUCGCCCUCUCUGGGGAGGCCGGAGGGUCCAAGAAGGGGAAAACCCUUCCUCCGGACUACUCCACCGACGCCGACGGCGGAGAGGAGUGGCAGCCCAGGGCCAAGCCCCUGGCAAAAUCGUAAGUAUCCGGAUACAAGAGUAAUUCAUAGUAUUCGUUUAUUGCACAGCUUUCCCUUACAUCGAAUAUGUUUAUGCAGCCCACCCAAAGACCGGCUCGACGCGUCAUCGAGCAGCUCAUUGGACUCGUNNNNNNNNNNNNNNNNNNNNNNNNNNNNNNNNNNNNNNNNNNNNNNNNNNNNNNNNNNNNNNNNNNNNNNNNNNNNNNNNNNNNNNNNNNNNNNNNNNNNNNNNNNNNNNNNNNNNNNNNNNNNNNNNNNNNNNNNNNNNNNNNNNNNNNNNNNNNNNNNNNNNNNNNNNNNNNNNNNNNNNNNNNNNNNNNNNNNNNNNNCACCGAAGUGUUGUCCCAACAGGUUCCAAGCCGGGAGGAGGUGGUCCUGGAGGCGUCGCAAGGCGACCUCCCGGACUCCAGGAGUAAAGGGGAUGAAACCCCCCAGGGCUCCAAGUCCGGCUCUAGGCCGGACACCGCUCCAGAACCUUCAAAGGUUCCAGAGUCCGGUGGUGGACCUCCUUCCAAGAGGAGCAAGUCCACUGUGCCGGCGGCCCCCGUCCAACCGGAGGCGCCGGACAAUAUGUUGGAGGCGCUCCAAGGCACCUCCAUCGACGAGGAGCACCGCACUAUUAUGAGUGCGGUGGUCCAGAAGGUUCAGUCCGCCAAGAGCGGACUGACUGAAGCUUGUACUAGCCUUUUGACAGGCUUUGAGGUAAGUAAAGAAUGUGUAAAUAAUACUAUCGCAUAGACAGUAGCCCCUGAUGCUCUCUUUGGCGUUCGGGAAGAAAAGCCGAAUAGAGGAUCAAAUAGAAUUCGCAGGAGUCUAACAAAAGUGAGUCAAUAUGCAUAUGCAGGCUUCCCUGCUUGCGUCUGCCGCACUGACUGCGGAAGUGGACACGCUAAAGCAGAACCUCGAGCGGUCCGAGCAAGAGCUCGGGCGUGCCAAGAAGCAGCUCGAGGAUAAUGAAGGUAAGAAAUACCUUGCUUUUAAAUAUAUAUAAAAAGGUACAAUUGCAAAGAAUGACAGGAUUAUCAUGGCUAUUUUAGGGGCCACAUCUGAAGUGGCGACCCUUAAGCAAGCGCUGGUCGAGGCCGAGAAGAGGGCGGCCUCAGAGCACACCGAGUGGGAGAAGUAUGAGGCCGAGGUUGGCAAGGUGAGGCAAGAGCUCCAGGCUCUCAUGGAAAAACAUGAGAGUUUGGAGCUUGACUCAAAGAUGCGAGCGUCCGAGCUCGCGGUGGCUAUUGAAAAUGCCAAGUCUGCCAAGGCCGAAUCCCAGAAGACCCUCCAGGAGUUGGAUGAGGUGAAGAAGAUAGCGGCGGGUAAGGCAUUCUUUAUGCAAAGCAAACACAUAAACGUGAGUUACUUGUUACUUACCCGAAUCCAGAGCUCUCCAGGAACGUUUGCAGAUCUUCCCCGGAGUGUGUCCGAUGCCGCCGCAUUCUAUCGAGCCGAGGAGGGCAGCUCGACAGAGAAGGUGUUCUGGUCUCAGUAUGCUGAGGACGGACACCCCGUGCCCCUGAGCGACCAGCUGAAGCAACUAGUCGAGCUCCACAAGGCGGCUGAACAGGCCAUGAAGGGCCUCAUUGUUCGGUUGUGGCCUGGAGGGGCUCUUCCUGGGAGCUAUUUCGGGCUGGUGCGGCGGUUGGUGGAGGCCUGUCCAAGGCUCGAAGUCAUCAAGCGCUCCGUCUGCAUUGAAGGUGCCCGUAGGGCCCUUGCCCAUGCUAAGGUGCACUGGGGCAAGCUGGAUGCUGAGAAGCUGGUGAAGGACGGGCCACCGCCGGGGAAAGAGCAUCGCAAGCCCGAGAAUUACUAUAAGGAUGUUCUAAAGGGUGCCUGCCUUGUGGCGGAUGAAUGUUCUAGGGAUGUAAUUUUUGAGUGAGACUUGCUCGUUUUGUCCUAUGCGCUGAAAACUUGUUUAUAUGCGCUAAGCAAUGCUGUUGGAAUUUAAAAUAUUACCUUAUGUGCGGCUGUUUAUCAAUUCUGAGAGAUGGCGAGUCGUCGGCUUCUGCCCCCGUGCCGCUAGUGCUGGGGUGUUCGGGGAUAAACCUGAGCGCUCUUUUUCCCAUGUUUGGGUCCUUCGAGGGAGGCGCUCAGCCCAACCAACAAGGCAAUCAGACUAUAAUGUGUGAACACUCUCACUUAGCGAUAGAAUUCUAUAAUUUUAAAUUUCGGCGAAGCCCCUGGUAUUUGCAAGACCAAGUUCCGGGCGCUAUCCACGCCCUGGCCGGACAGAGCCGGCUCCUCACCCUAAGCGGCAUAUGUCUUUAGGGACUCUAAAAACCUCUCGAACAGCGACCAACUCUCGCUUCAUCAUGACAGUCAGUUUUAGCUUUCUCCACUAAAGUGCUCGACCCAGCUCAACUGGGGCACAAUGGUAGUGGUUCUCCUAGUGCUACCUUAGCCGAUAUAGCGGAACGUAAGGCACCAAAACAUAGGAGCCGGGCAAACCCAACUAUUGACCCAAGACAUGAUUCGGAGCCGAUGCAUAUAAUGCUAUAAGUUCGGGGUGCCGCACUUGUUAAAGUGUUCUGACUUCUCACACCAUAUUGAGGGGUACUAAAGCCCCUGGCGUAUUUUGGCCGUACCAACGUGUACGGGUGCAACAUGUCGUUAAGGAACAUAUAUAAAGAAAAAAGGUAAUGCAAAAAUAGACGAAAGCUAUGCAUUGUUUAUUAAAAAGGGCUGCGAUCAAAGCAGAACGAUACAAAUAAUGCGAUAAGUGGAAGGUUGGACUAGUUAACAUGUCCGUUCCAGGGGCAAGCUGCGGAAUAGUAUGCGGAACAGGUAUACCGCUCGUGAUAGAGACCACCUGGGAGUUCUGUACUGCGGCGUGGCUUGUCUGCUUCCCUGGUUCUUGCAUCGUUUGUGCGGCAAUUGAACUGGCGAACAGGCCUUCCGAAGGAUGGAGUCCUGAAAGUAAGAUAAAAUUAAAAAAAUCGGCAGCCCCUGGUAUGGUUUAAGCCGUAUUUUUGGCCGUGACGUCAUGGUGCCCCUCCCCCUGUACCCAUGGUAUCUCUAGAGCGUAGUUAUGUACGCGAAGUACUGGCGUCGCCUUUUUGCGAGGGUUGGGGUUGGGGCCGCAUUGCUACGCCUGCUCGGAUCGUGCCAGGAGGUCUUGUUGUAGGUUACUCUGGGCGCGCUUCACGGUGUCCGGUCGUUUAGUGGCUGGACAGGAGAACUGCCUGCAGAGGCUGCUCUGUACUUGCGCUGCAAGGGCCGCCGUGUGCUCCUCCGUUCGGAGGGAGCGUUCGGUGUUUCCAUUGACCAUAAUUACUCCUCGAGGGCCUGGCAUCUUGAGCUUAAGGUAUGCAUAGUGCGGUACCGCAUUGAACUUAGUGAAUGCGGUUCGCCCGAGCAGUGCGUGAUAACCACCGCGAAACGGGACUAUGUCGAAGAUUAACUCCUCGCUUCAGAAAUUAUCCGGAGAUCCGAAGACCACUUCAAGUGUGACUGAGCCUGUACAGUUGGCCUCUACACCUGGUAUUAUGCCUUUAAAGGUCGUUUUGGUGGGCUUAAUCCUCGAGGGAUCUAUGCCCAUUUUCCGCACUGUAUCCUGGUAAAGCAGGUUCAGGAUGCUGCCGCCGUCCAUAAGGACUCUGGUGAGAUGAAAUCCGUCAAUAAUUGGGUCUAGGACCAAUGCGGCGAAUCCGCCAUGACGGAUGCUAGUGGGAUGGUCCCUUCGAUCAAAGGUGAUCGGGCAGGAGGACCAUGGGUUGAACUUUGGCGCGACUGGCUCUACCGCGUAUACGUCCCUUAACGCGCACUUCCGCUCCCUUUUCGGGACGUGGGUUGCGUAUAUCAUGUUCAGCGUCCGCACUUGUGGGGGAAAACCCUUCUGUCCACUGUUGUUCGGUGGCCGGGGCUCCUCGUCGUCAUCGCUAUGCAGCCCCUUGUCUUCAUUUUCGGCGUUCAACUUGCCUUCCUGCUUGAACACCCAACAAUCCCUGUUGGUGUGAUUGGCCGGCUUUUCGGGGGUGCCAUGUAUCUCGCACAAGUGGUCGAGUAUUCAGUCCAAACUGGACGGGCCCCUAGGAUUCCUUUUGAAUGGCUUUUUCCGCUGACCGGAUUUAGAGCCUCUGAAUCCGGCAUUGACUGUUGUAUCCUCCGCAUUGUCGCCGUUAAUGCGGCGCUUCUGCUUGUUGCGACGCGACCUGCCACUACUGUCCCUGGUGUCCGAAUUACCAGGGUUCUUGGUCAUAUUGUUGUUACGAGCAAGCCAGCUGUCUUCCCCCGCGCAAAAGCGGGUCAUGCGUGUCGUGAGUGCUGCCAUAGAUUUCGGCUUUUCCUGUCCAAGGUGCCGGGCCAGCCACUCGUCACGGAUAUUGUGCCUGAAGGCUGCUAGGGCCUCAGUGUCCGGACAGUACUAUGUGAUUUUUCUUUGUUAGGAACCGUGUCCAGAAUUUCCUGGUCGAUUCCUCUGGCUGCUGAAUUACGUAACUUAGGUCGUCGGCGUCUGGGGGUCGCACAUAAGUGCCCUGGAAAUUGUCGAGGAAUGCGGCUUCUAGGUCCUCCCAACAACGGAUUGACCCUGUUGGCAAGCUGUUAAGCCACUGCUGAGCUGGUCCUUUAAGCUUGAGUGGGAGGUAUUUGAUGGCGUGGAAAUCAUCGCCACGGGCCAUGUGGAUAUGAAGGAGAUAAUCCUCGAUCCAUACCGCACGAUCUGUUGUGCCAUCAUAUGAUUCGAUGUUUACGGGUUUGAAACCCUCGGGGAUUUGAUGAUCCAUUAUUUCGUCUAUAAAGCAUAGUGGGUGUGCGGCGCCUCUAUACUGGGCGAUAUCAUGACGUAGCUCCAAUGAGCUGUGUUCGGCCCUGCCGAAUUUGUGGCCGGCGUGACGGUUAGUGUCGGUGUCAAAACCGGCGAAUCUCGGGUAGGGGGUCCCGAACUGUGCGUCUAGGCCGGAUGGUAACAGGAGGCAAGGGACAUGAAGUUUUACCCAGGUUCGGGCCCUCUCGAUGGAGGUAAAACCCUACGUCCUGCUUGAGUAAUAUUGAUGAUAUGGGUAGUACAAGAGUAGAUCUACCAUGAGAUCGGAGAGGCUAAACCCUAGAAGCUAGCCUAUGGUAUGAUUGUUGUUCUGUAUGGUGUAUCGACUAGCAUAGCCCUGGUUUAUAUAAUGCACCAGAGGCCUAGUGUUAACAAGAGUCCUAGCCGAAUAUGCCAGUGGGGAGAAGUCCUUGUCUUGAUCGCCAAGUCUUUGUGGAAUCUUCCUUGUAUGCGGCAGCUGUCUGAACUGGCCCAUGAGUAUACGGCCAUGGGGGGCCUCGGCCCAAUCUAAUAUAUCGGGAGACGACGUGGUGAGUACCCCCUAGUCCAGGACACCGUCAGUAGCCCCCUGAACCAGUCUUCAAGUUAGGGACGCUCCAUGAUUCUUUCGAGAUGUUCUUCAUCUUCGGUCGUCGGUCUUGAAAACUGGUUCAACAAAUCUUCUUUAUCUUUGAUCUUGAGGAUCGCCGAAAUGCAUUCGCCGAGUUUACACGUCGGGUAUCCGAGGAGCCCCUUUAAGUUUCCGGCCUUUACCAAUGCCUUGUUAUGUUUAUGCCACACCUCGGGUUUGAAUUUGUUCCCGGCUGGCAGCGUCCUCUUGCGUCCGAGCUCCAACGCCGGAUUGUAUUCGAGGUAUCUUUUGCAACCGAGCACCAAUGCCGGACCGCUUCCCAGCUCUAACGCCGGAAUGUAUCCGAGCUCCAACGCCGAAUGUAUCCGAGCUCCAACGCCGGACUGUAUAUCCGAGCUCCAACGUCGGACUGUAUCCGAGGUGUCGUAAAUCACCUUGGUUCAAAGAAGUUUGAAGGAGUUUAGCCGAGCUUAAUGCCGGAAAUGCCCUCUAUGGAGCCAGCCACUAGCGCCCGAGCUUUAUGCCGGGCUGCUUCCGAGGUGGUGCACCACCCCGAAUGUGGGCCGAUUUUUGUGAAUAUUUUUUAUUGGUGCAAUUUAUUCUCUGCCGAGAUAUAUAGCCAGUAGCCCUCAAGGUGUGUAUCGGUCUAAAACCCGAGAUGCACCUGAAGGAUGACAUAAGACUGCUGAUCCCAAUAGCCGCUGAGACUCAGGUUGAUUUGCAAAAUGGGCCUGAGGAUCAAGUCCAAGCUCGGCUGAAUACUUCGGGACACUAAAAGCGGUGUGCUCAGUCCUCGAGACUCAGGUUGGGUGCGGCCGACCAACCUGAGGAUCAAAAUCUCCUCGGAAACUAUAUUGCACAUAAAAUUUUCUGCAUUGGACAAGCAAUGCAGUAGCCCCCGAGACACUGGUCGGGUGGUAACACCAGAUCAGGGGAUCAAUGUGCCCCUUUAGUAUUUGUAAAUAAUAAGCCCGAAGCCCAGUAGCCCCCGAGCAUUAAUGCGGGCACGGGUGGCCGAAUUAAGUUUCAAUAUCCAUAGUAAAAUCACAAAUUAUGUGUAAUGACUCUAUGUAUCCAAGUACUUUACGUCAUUAAUGCUCAGAUCCGCAUUGUACAAAACUUUGUUGACCGACCAUCGGCUUCCACCUCCUCGGCCAGUAGCCGAGGAGUGUUUGUCCUACUUUAUAAAGCCUUUAUGAGGGCAAAGAUUUACAACAAACAAGGCAAUCUGGCUAGACGGUUUUAUAAACAAAGGUACGCAGAGAGAUAUAUUACUGUUUAACAGAAGAAAUGUCUUCCAAAGAAAAUAGUCUCGCUAUCGGUUCCUUUCUUUGGGUUGUCAUGCUAAGCAUGAUCAUUAAACCACAGCUCUAAUGUAAGAGCAAAAUAUUGAGGAUUUAGUUUGGGAGGCCAGUUAAUAGCCCCCGGUAGAGUUCGGCGACAAUCGGGGUCAAGCCGUAAACACUUCGGCCAAAGUUAUGAACGGCCCAUCAUUUAACAUAGUCAUCGGAUCGCUGACCAGUUUACGCUUAUUGUGAAAGUCAGUUUUUGGCUUUCUCCACUGAGGUGCUUAACCAUGUGAGCUGGAAGCACAAUCGCAGUGGUUCUCCCUUUGCACGCCUAGCCGAACAAAACGGAACGUAGGAAGCAACUGCAGGAGCCGGGCAACCCAACUAUUGACCGAAGACACAAUUCGAAACCGAUGCAUAUAUAGAAAUAUCUGAGAAUGUUUUUGCCGAAUCCCUAAAGGUGUUCGGCGUUGCACUGCGAGACUAAUGCUGGAAAAGCACAAAUAGUUUAAAAGUGCCAAAAAGCUUGGAAAACCAAGAAACGUCAGUAAAAACAUGACGUCCGAACAAUAUCAAGUGUUCGGUGCCAAUCCGAAAGUUGGUCUUAGAAAAAAGAAGUGUUUCUAUCGUGCUUUAACAUGAUAUAUCCUAUCUCAAGACUUCGAGCGGGUCAGCCUACGGCUUCAACCUCCUAUCCCGAGGGCGGAGUACUUCUCAUCAGGCCAGUUUAGCAAACUAAACUCUAGCGGCUUUGAGAGAGAAAUUAGGCUCCCCGGCUAGUGACCGCACACUCGUGUCGAAAAAAGGUGUGAUAAAUAAUAAUAAAAAAACUUUGCAACGACUAAGAAGAAGAACACUUAUUAUAGAACGGCUCAAAUAAACUUAAGAGCCCCCAAGUGACUUGGGUAGAAGAAUGAUUGCAUGUACCGAAGUACUUAUAUCAUAUCUAUGUUCAACCGAACUUUAAACGCGUCUUGACCGACCGUCAGCUUCUCCCUCUUUAGUCAAGGACUGAAAAGUGUUAUGUACUCCAUCGGUCGAGAAUAUCGACGGUGUUUCCAAUAACCAGGCAAUCAGGCCAUAAGGCUGUAACAAACAAAGCGCGCUCAGGGAACUUAUGCUAUAUUACCGUGAAGUGUAAGAAGCAUCUUCGAAGAAAAUAGUACCCCCACCGAUACCUUUCUUCGGUGCUCAUUGUUAUUAUGAGACUUGUGCAAUAGAUUUUUUGUACUCAUGAGUUCCGAUGUGUGCCGACCAUCAUUGAAAACUAUAAGAGCGCUAGCUUUCGGCUUCACCCAGUCUGAGGUCCGGCUCGGGUGACCCGAUCGUGACAAUCGCAGAGGUGAUCCCUUUACUCCCUAGCCGAACAAUCGGGAGCGUAGGGGUAAACGCAGGAGCGAGGCAACCCAGCUUGCAAAUCGCUUAAGUCAAUAUGGUGCAUAUUGUGGCGUAAUACACGAACAAGGAACGAAGCCGUACAAGUAUAAUCAUUUGCAAGUGGAAAAGCUUCAUAAAGGAAGCCCCCAAAUGAAUUGGGUAUUUGAAUUUAUGCGUCACAAACAAAGUUUGGACAAGGAAAUUUUUUACACGCAACUUUUUUCCAAGAAAGUAUAAUGCUUGGUCGAACCGAACACAAGUUAGAAAUUAAAGCUUUGAGCAUGAAAGCGACUUAGCUGGUUAAUGUGUUCGGUAUUGAUGAUGCGGUUUGAGCUUGAUGUGGGGCAAGGUUCCAUCCCCCAAGCUGGUCCCGAGGUGGUGGAGCGAAGAGCUCGUGUCGGGGGUUUGGUGCGACAUAUGCCAACGGAUGGCUUAUCAUGGUGGCGGCGAGUAGAACAUCGCCGGUGCCUGGAAACGGGAUGAGGCGAAGACAUGCACGCCGGUGAAUCUUACCCAGCUUCGGGGCUCUCCGGGGAGAUAAUACCCCUACUGCUGCUCUGCGUGGUGUCCGCAUGAUCACUAUGGUCAAGAGUUUACACGGUUGCUCCUUGAGCUGUGUCUGGUGGUAGGAGAGGGCAAGGCUAGCUCUCUCCUCCUAUCUGGUAUGGUAUAGAACUACUGGCAUCCAACCCUUUGCAUGGGUGCCCUGGGGGCUUAUAUAGGCCUACCCCCCAGGGGUACAAUGGUAAUUCGACUGGGCGCGGGCCCAGCCGUCAGUGCCUCCGACCUCCGACUUCUCCGCUGACUGCUGGGGCCCGCCGACUGGUGGGCCCCGCCGACUGGUCUGGUACGGAGCCGAUAGGCCGCGUCCGCCGCGGGCGUGUCUUGCCGGCUGCUGAUUACUGUAGUCGUGCUCCUGAUGACGCAAGCUUGGUCAUGGGGUCGUGGCAAUAGCCCCGCCGCCUGGCGGGCCAUCAAUCUGGCCACUCUCCAUCUCUUCUUGAUUAAUGGUGCGUGGGCCCUGGGGAAGGGCUCGGCCGACUCCCCCGGGCCGACUCCCGACGGGUCCGACUGGCGAUUCUCCUGCCGUCUCCCGAGGUCUUGCUGACUGGUGGGCCCCGCUGCCUCCAGGCCGUACAGACAAGCCGUCGUGGGCGCAGGACCCGGUACAGUGGUGCUGAUGUCAGGGCCGGCCGGGUAACAGUGCCAUGCCACAGGGAGGUCUUCCCUAGUACGGCGUGCUGUAGCCAUGCCUACCCUUGGUAAGGGGCGGGGAGUGGGCUUCAUUGUAGCCACGCCCCUGCCCCGUCCCCUUCGAUGAGGUCACGGUUUGUUGGAGUCGCCGGCCGACUCCCCAAAGCCGGCUUCUCUGGAAGUCGCCCCUGGGACUCGGCCGUGAGUGGGCAGUCGGCCAUCUUGCCGUAGACUCCCCAGGAGGCGGCUCUUCGCCCUGUGGUCUUGAGGGGCGCAGCCUACCCCGAUGUCUUGAAAGGUUUGGGGCUCGGGUUGGCCUACCCGUGGCCCAUUACUCCGACAGUAGUCCCCGAAGCUGGUGAGGCACCACGGACGAUCGGCCGAGAAGCCUCAGCAGUUUCUCUUUCCGGGUGCUCAACACAUGGUCUUGAUUGACUUCUGUCGGGCUGACUAGAAGGAGUCGAACUCGCCCAACUCGGACUCCAUCAAUUCCGACUUGCUCAGUAGUUCGAACGUCGCGGCGGGAUUUCAAGUGCCGUGCUAGCUAAGCUUCCAGGCUGCCGCCCGUUCUUGGCCUGUCACGCGAGGGCAUGUGCCAGGCCGUCCUGCCAGCCCACGCGCGCGACGGGACAGGCCCGUAGGCAGGGCCCGCCACUACCACGCCUCGGCGCCCGAGCAGAUCCGCUGCGGCCCCGGUGGACGGUUGGGAUUCCCGUGAAGUUACUACACGCAGUAACUUUACACGGAUCGUGGGGUUGCGGGCACAGUAAAUCCCCACGUCCGCCCCCUCGGCUUCGCAGCCCACGGGGCUAUAAGUAGGGGGAAGAGGGGGGCACGCGUGCCCCUCCUUCCCACUACCCCUUUCUUUCUUCCUCCUCGCAGCUCCUCGCUCUCCUGCUUCCUCUUCUCUUCUUCGCUGCGCCGCACGCCCAGGCUCCGGUGAACGCUGCGGUGACAGCUCGUGAUGAGUUCUUCCUCCACUGCCGCGCCUCCCCCAGUGCGCUCCGGCACCUGGGACGGCUCCGAAGUCCACGAAGACCAUAUCGAGUUCCUCCGCUGGACACGUCGGCUUCCCGGCGAAGAUCGUGUGCAGGUGCGUCUUGCACCGGCGGGGGAGAUUUCCCCCGCCCCGCAGGAGGGCGAGCGGGUCAUCUUUCGCUCGCACUGCCUGCACGGGCUGGGGCUGCCAGCGAGCAGCUUUUUCGGUCGUUCAUGGAGUUCUACCGCCUCUAGCCGCACCACCUCACCCCCAAGAUAGUGGUGCUGCUGUCCGCCUUCGUGGCUCUGUGCGAAGGCUUCCUCGGAGUCCUCCCCACCCUGGAGCUCUGGGGGGAGUUCUUUUUCUCCAAGCUCGGCACCCAGACCGCGGGUGUGCCGGCUCAGUGCGUCGCCUUCAUCGCCGUGCGAAGGACAGGAGCCGACAACCACUUCCCAUCCAUCUCGCUACUGAAGUCGGUGAAGAUGUGGCAGAGGUCCUACUUCUACGUCAGGAACGUCGCCACGAGGGGCGACCGGGUCAAUCUGCCGGCUUUCGAAGCUGGCCCGCCGGCUGGGAGAUUGCCCAACUGGUCGUACUGGGCCAGGUCGCUGACGCCUGCGGUUGCUUGAGGGCAAUGUUGACGUUGAGCCCCCGAGCUUCAUAGAUGAUUCCUCCGUGAUCUUGAUAGAGAUCGGAGUUGAUGUUUGAUGAAGGCCCUCGUCCGAACAUGGUGAUCCGAACACGGGGUGAAAUUCUUGGUCGAACCAAGGUGACCAGUCGAACUGGUGACGAAGACGCCGAAGUCGCAGUUGAUCUACAGGCGAGCCAUCGAUCCUUUUGUCGAUCAUACAGCGGAACUCUCAAUGAAAGCACCAAUGUCCGUGUCAAAACCGGCGGAUCUCGGUUAGGGGGUCUCGAACUGUGCGUCUAGGCCGGAUGGUAACAGGAGGCAAGAGACACGAAGUUUUACCCAGGUUCAGGCCCUCUCGAUGGAGGUAAAACCCUAUGUCCUGCUUGAUUAAUAUUGAUGAUAUGGGUAGUACAAGAGUAGAUCUACCACGAGAUCGGAGAGGCUAAACCCUAGAAGCUAGCCUAUGGUAUGAUUGUUGUUCUGUAUGUUGUAUCGACUAGCCUAGCCCUGGUUUAUAUAAUGCACCAGAGGCCUAGUGUUAACAAGAGUCCUAGCCGAAUACGCCGGUGGGGAGAAGUCCUUGUCUUGAUCACCAAGUCUUUGUGGAAUCUUCCUUGUAUGCGGUAGCUGUCCGAACUGGCCCAUGAGUAUACGACCAUGGGGGGCCUCGGCCCAAUCUAAUAGAUCGGGAGACGACGUGGUGAGUACCCCCUAGUCCAGGACACCGUCAGUUACCUUCUCGAGCCGUGGGGCGCCCACGCGAUCCGUAGAUCGAGCGUGUUUGCCUUGCCUUGUCCUCCAACAUGUCUCGUAAGUCCGGCGCAUAUUCUCGUGCCUUGAUACGGGGUGCGGCUUGAGUGGAGGGCCGGGAGGCCUCUCUGUCGCGGCCAUGAGGUGGCCGGUCGGCCGCAUCAAGUGCUUCCUCCUCUAACCGGGGUAGCAACCUGUGCUUUGGGUAGCUCUUGGAGGGGCGUUCGAGUUUAUGCUCUUCGGCCGCAAGGACUUCAGUCAAUCUGUCGACCAGCAAAUCUUGAUCAGCUCUAAGUUGUUGCUUUUUUUUCUUGAGGCUUCUUGUCGUGGCCAUAAGCCUGCGUUGAAAAUACUCUUGCUCGACGGGAUCCUCUGGCAUGAUGAAUUCAUCGUCGUCGAGGCUUGCCUCGUCUUCGGAGGGAGGCAUAUAAUUAUCGUCCUCGACCUCUCUGUCUGCCGCUCUCUCAUGAGGGUUGGUUUCUCCAUCCUCCUGUGCUAAGUCUUGCUGGAGGGGGUUUUCUUCGGCACUUUCCGGAGUAUUAUUAUCUCCCAUGCUGGAAUCGCCGUAUUUGUUUUGGCGGGAUUUUGAGCGGCUCCGCUGACGCCGGCGCUUACUCUGUUUCUUGGAGGGAUCCUCCUCCGCUGUUCCAUCGCCAUCUCCCUCUUUUGGGGUGUCCACCAUGUAUAUGUCAUAUGACGAGGUGGCUUUCCAGGGCCUAGUAGGCGCUGGUUCUUCAUCAUCUCCUUCAUCGGCAUCCAUACCGUCGAUGUCUUCGGUGUCGAAGUCGAGGAUGUCGGUUAAGUCGUCGACAGUGGCUACAAAGUGGGUGGUGGGUGGGCUUUGAAUUUCUUCAUCGUCCGUACCCCAACCUUGCUGACCGUAGUCCGGCCAGGGCUCUCCUGAUAAAGAGAGAGACUUCAGUGACUUCAGGAUAUCGCCGAAAGGCGAGUGCUGAAAGAUGUCCGCGGCAGUGAACUCCAUAAUUGGCGCCCAAUCGGAGUCGAUUGGCAGGGACGUGGAGGGUUCGGAGUCCGGCUCCUUGGAGUCACGAGUCUCGUAGAGUACGGGGCUAGUGUUCGGCUCAAUCACCAUUGGGGUCGCAGCCCCCGGGGUGGCGUCCAACCGCCCAUCCUCGAUCGGCGCAGUUGGCUCCGAAUUAAGGGUUGGAGCCGAUGCGGGUGCGGCCUCCAGGGCACUGUUCGGCGGCAGAGCUAGAUCAUGCUCGUCAUGACAGUGCGGCGCGCUCGGCAGUGGCUCGAAUCCGUCGAAGAUCAAGUCCCCGCGGAUGUCCGCCGUGUAGUUUAAACUUCCAAAUCUGACCUGACGGCCAGGGGCGUAGCUUUCCAUCUGCUCCAGACAGCCAAGAGAAUUGGCCCGCAGUGCGAAGCCGCCGAAGACGAAGAUCUGUCCGGGGAGGAAGGUCUCACCCUGGACUGCAUCGCUAUCGAUGAUCGUAGGAGCCAUCGAGCCUGACGGCGACGACACAGAGGAACUCUCAAUGAAAGCACCAAUGUCGGUGUCAAAACUGGCGAAUCUCGGGUAGGGGGUCCCGAACUGUGCGUCUAGGCCGAAUGGUAACAGGAGGCAAGGGACACGAAGUUUUACCCAGGUUCGGGCCCUCUCGAUGGAGGUAAAACCCUACGUCCUGCUUGAUUUAUAUUGAUGAUAUGGGUAGUACAAGAGUAGAUCUACCACGAGAUCGAAGAGGCUAAACCCUAGGAGCUAGCCUAUGGUCUGAUUGUUGAUGUGUAUGUUGUCCUACGGACUAAAACCCUUCGGUUUAUAUAGACACCGGAUAGGGUUAGGGUUACAUAGAGUCGGUUACAAUGGUAGGAGAUCUACAUAUCCGUAUCGCCAAGCUUGCCUUGCACGCCAAGGAAAGUCCCUCCCGGACACGGGACGAAGUCUUCAAUAUUGUAUCUUCAUAGUCCUGGAGUCCGACUGAAGGUAUAGUCCGGCUAUCCGAACACCCCCUAAUCCAGGACUCCUUCAGCCGUCAUCACGGAGGGCUUCUACAUCAUCAUCGCCCCUCCGAUGAAGUGUGAGUAGUUUACCUCAGACCUUCGGGUCCAUAGUUAGUAGCUAGAUGGCUUUUUCUCUCUUUUUGGAUCUCAAUACAAAGUUCUCCCCCUCUCUUGUGGAGAUCUAUUCGAUGUAAUCUUCUUCUUUUUGCGGUGUGUUUGUUGAGAUCGAUGAAUUGUGGGUUUAUGAUCAAGUCUAUCUAUGAAUAAUAUUUGAAUCUUCUCUGAAUUAUUUUAUGUAUAAUUGGUUAUCUUUGCAAGUCUCUUCGAAUUAUCUGUUUGGUUUGGCCAACUAGAUUGGUAGUUCUUGCCAUGGGAGAAGUGCUUAGCUUUGGGUUCGAUCUUGCGGUGUCCUUUCCCAGUGACAGAAGGGGCAGCAAGGCACGUAUUGCAUCGUUGCCAUCGAGGAUAACAAGAUGGGGUUUAUUUCAUAUUGCAUGAAUUUAUCUCUCUACAUCAUGUCAUCUUGCUUAAAGUGUUACUCUGUUUUUAACUUAAUACUCUAGAUGCAUGAUGGAUAGCGGUCGAUGAGUGGAGUAAUAGUAGUAGAUGCAGAAUCAUUUUGGUCUACUUUUCACGGACGUGAUGCUUAUAUACAUGAUCAUGCCUAGAUAUUCUCAUAACUAUGCUCAAUUCUGUCAAUUGCUCAACAGUAAUUUGUUCACCCAUCGUAGAAUACUUAUGCUCUUGAGAGAAGCCACUAGUGAAACCUAUGGCCCCCGGGUCUAUUCUCUUCAUAUCAAUCUCCAUCACUUUAAUCUUGCUUUGCUUUUUUACUUUGCCUUUUACUUUUCACUUUGCAUCUCUAUACCAAAAAUAUUAUAUCUAUUAGAUCUCACUCACAUAAGUGAUCGUGAAGGGAUUGACAACCCCUAAUCGCGUUGGUUGCGAGUAGCUAUCGUUUUGUGCAGGUACGAGGGACUUGAGCGUGGCCUCCUACUAGAUUGAUACCUUGGUUCUCAAAAACUGAGGGAAAUACUUACGCUACUCUGCUGCAUCAUCCUUUCCUCUUCGGGGAAAUCCAACGCAAGCUCAAGAGGUAGCAAUAAGGAUUUCUGGCGCCGUUGCCGGGGAGUCUACGCAAAAAGUCAAUAUACCAAGUACCCAUCACAAUCCCUAUCUCUCGCAUUACAUUAUUUGCCAUUUGCCUCUUGUUUUCCUCUCCCCCCAAUUCACCCUUGCCGUUUUAUUUGCCCUCUCUCUCUAUCCUCCCUCUCUGUUUCCUUUUUCCCUCGCCAUGUCAGAACCAAAAAGAGUUGGGGGUUUUCUCCCAAGUUCUAGUGCUUUAGACAGUCCUGCUAUCUUAUCUAAACUUAUAAAUCGGAAUGCUAUAGAACAACUUGCCGGAGUUAUCAAUGAGAACCUUAGUAAUUUUGAUGAAGAUGAUUCUGGAAUUUUCCGUUAUUUACUUGAUGAAUCUUUGAAAGAUUCUUGGGAUAGGUUGUUAAGGAUUCGGGCUAGCUAUGUACCCCAAUAUCAAAUUGAGGUUUACUUAAAAAGCUUUUAUGUUGGGCUGCCCGCUUCGUUCAAACAAGUUUUAGAUUCUAUUUGCGAGGGGGGUUUUCUUGAAGGGGACCCCAUAGAUACCUAUGAAAGGAUGAAAACUAUAUUUGGGCACCCCAUUAAUGAGAAAACUGAAAUCACAUCCCUCUUCCGGUGGAGCACCGGAAGAGGCCCCAAGAUGGGAUCUCGUGGAUAUAGAAAGUUGCGGCGGUGGAAUUAGGUUUUUGGCUCCCCUUCUGAUCGUUUGGGGGUACGUGUGUAUAUAUAGGAGGAAGAAGUACGCCGGAGGAGCAACGAGGGGCCCACGAGGCAGGGGACGCGCCCUAGGGGGGGCGCGCGCCCCACCCUUGUGACCGCCUCUUUUGUUCCUUGGAGCAGGGUCCAAGUCUCCUGGAUCACGUUCGGUGAGAAAAUCACGUUCCCGAAGAUUUUAUUCCGUUUGGACUCCGUUUGAUAUUCCGUUUCUUCGAAACACUGAAAUAAGCAAAAAACCGCAAUUCUGGGCUGGGCCUCCGGUUAAUAGGUUAGUCCCAAAAAUAAUAUAAAGUGGAAAAUAAAGCCCAAUAUAGUCCAAAACAGUAGAUAAUAUAGCAUGGAGAAAUCAAAAAUUAUUGAUACAUUGGAGACGUAUCAACCAUGAAUAAAAUGUGAACCACCAUCAGUCAUUAAAUAUCUAGGGACUCCGAAAAAUAACUCACUACAAAAAAAUACACUUCUGUGAUGAUACGUGUUUGUCACAGUAGGUCGCGUUUUCUGUCAUGCAUGUACAUCCAUGACAAAUUUAUGACAGAAUCAAGAUAGACAUACCUGUGCUGUCGUAGAAGUGUUCCAUGACAUUACCAAAAUUAUCAUCACGGAAGUGUCCACUUCCAUGACGAUAAAUCUCGCGUCACAGAAGUGCUUUCGUCAUGGGUGAUCGACACGUGGCAUCCACCGUAACGGAACACCGUUAAGCUAUCGGGUCGGGUUUUGGAUCCGAUAACCCGUUAACAGCCCCGACCAAUGGGGAUUUUCCACGUGUAAAAUCAUCAUUGGCUGGAGGAAACACGUGUCGUCUCAUCAUUGGGACAGAUGUCAACCACUCAUUGGACGGAAGGCGCCUAUGAUACGUCGACACGUGGCACGGACCAACAGAGGUCCAUUCCUGUGAAAAGGCCGGCCCGUUUGACUUGGUCAAAAGCUAGCGGGCCGGCCCAUGGAAAGCCUGUUAACGGCAUGUCCGAAUAUAGCCCAUUUACAGCCCGCUAACCCAAGGCCCGUUACACCCUAUUCGUAUUAGGCCCAGUAGCGUCAUCUGGGCCAUCCAAUAUGAUUCCAGCCCAUUUUCACUUCUGGCCCAUGUAUGGCCCAUGAUGUUUUUCGGCCCAUAUGAGGCCCUAUGUAACUCUUGGCCUACUAACGGCCCAUGGUGAAACUGGCCUGUAAUGAAUAGUGUAUCACUUUACACCCAUUAACGGCCCGUGGUGAAACUGGCCCGUAAUGAACAGUGUAUCACUUUAUACCCAUUAACGGCCUGUUAUUCCGUUGGGCCGUUUCCAGCCCAUGUUAUCUUUCGGCCUUCUCAGAGCCCAUUUAUUCUUGGGCUCAUUUUCAGCAUUCGUUUACUUACGGCCCGUUGUUGUCAUUUUCUGCUUGUGGGCCAAAUUCAGCCCGUGGUUACAGUCGGCUCAUUUGUGGCCCGUUAAUAUGUUGGGCUGACUUCAUAGCGUCAUCAAAUACGGCCUAUUAACGAUGGCCCGUUAUGGUCGGCCCAUGAAUGGACGAUUCCAUCUCUAGCCCGUUUACGGCCAUAAUGCGGUCUGUUUGGCCCAUGUUUGGCCAAUCGAUUAUACGGCCCGUAUAAGGCCCAUUGAUAAUACGGCCCGUAGAAGGCCCAUUGUUUCUACGGCCCGUAGAAGGCCCACUGUUUCUAUGGCCAGUAGGAGGCUCAGUGUCACUACAGUAAAUAUUAGCCCAUGGUUAUUGUGGCCUAGUUUUAAAAAAUAGGUUAUUGCAGCCACUAGCUAACCGCGGAAAAAGAACUGCAAUGACUACAAGCAAACAAAUAAACAAGACAACAAGGAAAUAAAUAAGCAAGCAACUAAUGCUAGGCUUCAUGGCUAUUACACAUAAUACAUCCACUGGGCAUCAAAGUUCGCCACCAGUGCAAAUAUAGGGAACAAAGCAGCAUAUCAUAUACACUGGUUGUCAAAGUUGGUGACCAACGCAAAUAAAUGCCGCAGCAAAACAAAUCCAGAACUGAAACCACUUCAGAAGAUAUCAAGAAACAAUAUCCUGGGUACCCAUAAUGCUGGCAGGAUACUUAGCAAGCUUAUUAAAUUUCUCUUGUUUGGCGCUUAAAUCCUCUAGCGCUUGCUGUUGCACCAGAAAAUAUGCAUCUGAAUUCUGCAGCGACUUCCUCAGUCCUUCAGCUUCCUGUCGCAGCACAUCUGAUCGAUGUCUUUGAACUUGAAGUUGAGACUCAAGAAGACGAACUGAUUCAAGCAGCGAGUUUGAAGAGCUUGUGCCAGCAGUAGUGGCCAGUAACUCGAACACUACAUCAAGACAGGACUUUUGGGUUCCCUCACCGUCUUCAAGAUAGUUUUUAUCAGCUUUCUUGGAGACCAACAGGGAUGUCUCACUAUCUUGAACCUUAUCUGUAUUACUUCCUUUACCAUUGGAUAACGCGCUACUGUUCUCCAAUAUUUUGUCCGCAUUCUAAAAGAGAAACAAGCAGACACAUCAUAUGUUUACCACGCGGCAUCGGAGUGAAGUGUAGCUAAAUCGGAGCAGCAUCGCAAGCAAUAGCAAGAGCGAGAGCAGCAGCGUGGGCAAGAGCAAUAGCAAGACCAGACCAGGCAGGGGACCGAGAGCAAGAGCAGAGCAGCAGCGCGAGCGAGAGCUAAAGCAGCAGCAGGUCCUACUGAUGUGGACGUCGCCGCCGAGGGAGCGACACCGUGGAGGAAGUGGCCGGUGAUGCCGCCGUGGAUGGAGCCGCGCCAUGUCGGCUCGGGACCGAGCGCCGGCAGCACCGUGAGAUCGAAUCAAGAAGAAAAUGCGACGAUUAGUGUACAACCUCUUUGGUGGCGCCGAUUAGGCCGCAACUUCAUCUGAGGAAACGGUGAUGAUGAUGCUCUUCCGGUGGUGCAGGUGAAGACGGUGGUGUGGGAAUGGAGGUGGCGCGAAAGACGAGGGGAACAUCGGGGCAGCUCCUUGGAGGUGGAGGACGGGGUGGCUGAACCGACAGGACGAUGAGAUCAAUGACGGAUCCUCAUCCGGUACGGUGGAUGAGGGACGUCGAGGUGUUGCUGUGGACGACGUCGUCGGGGAAGAGGCUCCGGCUGGGUGGCAGACGGAGCAGGGUGUGGGGUUUUGUCACGGGUUUUCGCGGCCUCGGUGUACGAAUGGGUGGACGGAUGGGAUGGUAGUGGGGAACCAUGGCUUAGAGACGCGCUUGUCCGAAAUGUGGGGUAAGUUACGGAAGUACCCCCACCGAUUUGAGGUGGUUCUUUCGGUUCAGGGGUACCACGGGCAUUUCGUGUGUCGGGAUUUCACAGGAGGUGGGAGUUUUCACACUCGUUGUAAUUUCGGAAUAGCAAGGCGCGGGUUGAUAUGGAAGGAGUUGUCGGAGCACAACGAGACAAAAAUAUAUCUUAAAUAUUUCGGGCUAAUAAGGCGCGGGUUGAAAUUUCCGGACAAGCCUAACGUGUAUUGUACCAAAUCAAUGUGCCCUACAAAUGUCAUUCAAAACUUUGAAUUCAUGUUAUGUUAAAUUAAAAUAUUUCGCUACGUGUAUAAUGCAUGCAACCUACUACUCAAAUGAACGUUUUAGUGCAUUCCAAACCUAUAUACUACCGCUUCAAUAUGAACUAAAUUUGAAUUCGUCUCUCUAUUUGAAUAAGAUCUACAAUAAUGAUUGUUGUGAAGUCAAAGCAUUUGAAUUCGUUUCUCUGUUUUAAUAAGAUCUACAAUCAUCAUUAUUGUCAAGUUAAACCAUCAUUUGUGUAUUAUCUUCACAGCACACCACAUGAUUAGUCUCGAGUUACAUAUGAACUAUGUGUACUAUAUGAACUCGAACUAAAUUUUUUGAAUCCACUUUAUUUUGAUUUGAAAUCACAUUACAUUUCUAGCUCUAGCUAGAUCUUCAUAAUCUAAACCAUGUAUCAUAUGUAUAAUGUGUUUAUCACAUUAUGUAUGGUGCCCCGCCCCCUACGCCUACAAGUAUUUAGAUGUGAGUUGCAAACACCACACAUUACCACAAAUUCAAAUAAAAUGUGAGAAUGUUCGAUAUAUAGUAUUGUUUAGAUUGUUCCAUAUUUAGUUGUAAGCUGCAAACGCCACACAUUAUCACAAAUUCAAAUAAAAUGUGAGAUUGUUUGAUGUAUAGUAUGGUUUAGAUUGUUCGGCAUUUAGCCGUGAGUUGCAAACGCCAUGCAUUAUCACAUUAUGGUAUACCGUGUGCACCACACGUGUAUCACCGCUAUAUUCAUGCAUGCAAUGUUUAAAACACUAUGAUCUCCUAUUCAAAUAUAUGAAUCCACUUCCAUAUCAAAUUAUGAUCUUUGUUAGUCUCUUACACCCACACAAUCCUCUAACCUUUGUAGCUACCACUAACUUUCUCUCGUGCAUGCACAUGCCCUCCUCGCCCCCCUCCCUCGGCAUUCUAUCCACCGGGCACAUUCAUUUUUUUUCUUUAGGUCGUUCUCCCAGAGUCUCCACAACUCCUUUCCGACACACACCACCGAUAGAUAAACUUCUCCAGCGAUGCCUGCCUACAACAUACAAACACACCUUCAAUCUCCUCCUAGGAGGUGGUUUGCGGUUUAUCCUUUUCUAUCUCUCUAUACAAAUUUUCUAACGUGCACUGCUGUACUACAACUAAAUCAAAUUUACUGAAUAUUACGUAUGUAGAAUUCCAAAAUAUCUGUCUAUGAAUUAAUGCACAAACUUCUAAGUGUCAAGAUGUUGAUUCUAUCCAAUUUUGGUAUUAGUUAUCUUAUAUUUAUUGAUCUUUGUAUUGCUGCUCAAUGUUCUAAGCAUGGAUAUAAUGACUCUGUCUCAUUUUGUUAUUAUUGCCAUGUAAAUGUUGUCUUUACCCUUUUAUUUUGUAUAGUAAGUACAUUUGAUUGAGGCUAAUAUCCUGUUACUUGACAUGGCAGUGACUAUCUCUUUAAGCUUCUGCUUAUCGGAGACUCAGGUGUUGGCAAGUCAUGCCUCCUCUUAAGAUUUGCUGUAAGAGUCCCUAUCUAAAGCAUGAUUUGUUCACUAUCUUUUAUAGGUCUUCCUUUUUUUAAUAUGCAUCUUCAUCUUAAAAGUUUGAUAUAAGUUUUCUUCGGGAUAUCAUGGAAACUGUAAAAAAAAAUUAGGCUCAGUAAACUGUAUGAUUUCCCACUACUUAAUACGAAUGAGGAGUUCAUUGUUGGUAGCUACUGUUUCUUAACAACAUGGAGAUGAUCCCUAUAACAAUCUUGUUGUUACUAGUUAAUUUACUCUGACCUCCUUAAUAUCGACUCUUUUGGCAGGAUGACUCAUACCUGGAGAGUUAUAUCAGUACUAUUGGUGUUGAUUUUUGUAAGUAUAUUUAGUUUCUUGGUCUGAGUGUUAAUGUUCUGGCUACCUUAAUUGAACUUGUAGUUUUGUUUUCUUCCAACUUUGUCGAUAGAAAAUACGUACCGUGGAGCAAGAUGGAAAGACUAUGAAGCUGCAAAUCGUGAGUCCAUUCUUUCUUUCAUUAUGUCCAGUAUGCAUGUACCAUCAAAUCCAGAUUGUACAUCGAAUCCAGAUUUGACAAAAUAGAAGACUUUAUCGGGAAACAUUUCAUUUAUAGCCCUCUUCUGUUUUGUGGAGUUUGCUGGAUUUUCCCUUUGCAUAAUAUAGCAUGCCGUUAUUCAUCAGUAUUUAUGUGGUUGUUAGUUGAGGCCAGUUUAUAGGAAACAGAAACUCCACUACUCCCUCCUUCCAUCUAUAUAGGGCCUAAUGUGUUUUUCGAGGCUAACUUUGACCAAAUACUAGAGCAAUAAUAUAUGACAUGCAACUUACACAAAGCACACCGUUAAAUUCGUGUGUGAAAAGAGUUUUCAAUGAUAUAAUUUUCACAUUGUGCAUGUCAUGUACUAUUAAUCUUGUCAAUAGUCAAAGGCGGUCCUAAAAACACAUUAGACCCUAUAUAGAUGGAAGGAGGGAGUAUGGCUGAAUAUGUAGGCAGUUGCACAACCCCCUUUUACCUUUUGGUUUUUUUAGUUCCAUCCAUUUAAAUUACCGUUGAACAUAAAGAAUAAGAGUAGUUUAGCCCAUUAAAUUAAAUGUUAUAAAGUUUCUUAGUUCGCAUAAAGAAUCGCACUUUCAAGAUGUUUUUAGAUACCAAAGUGAUGCCCAUUUUGAACAUCAUAUUUUUUUUCAAAAAUGGGGGCUCCCCGGCCUCUGCAUCAUUUGAACAUCAUAUUUAAGGGCCUGAUAGUAUGUCAUUUAAAUACUUGGGUGGUACGGUAGCUCAUGUUGCACCUACUGUUGGCAUUUGGCGAUUCUUCCUUCCUUUUGUGUGACACAUUACAUUUAGUGAUGCAAGAUAUCCUUUUCCUUUUCUUUAAACCCCUCUUUGGUACCUUUGUUUUUAUCAGUGGGACACUGCUGGGCAAGAACGCUUCAGAACUAUUUACUAGCGGCUACUAUCGAGGGGCUCACGGGAUCAUUGUAAGUUUGUUUAUGUGAAAAUCUUAUUUUUAUUUUUCACAUGCUAUUUAACAUGCAUAAAUGUCCACAUUUUUAUAUAUUUUGAAUACAUAUAUACAAAUGGGGUUGCAGAUUGUCUAUGACAUGACAGACCAGGACAGCUUCAACAAUGUGAAGCAGUGGUUGAACGAGAUUGAUCGCUAUGCUAGUGAGAAUGUUAACAAGCUUCUUGUAGGGAACAAAUCUGAUCUCACUGACAAAAGAGUUGUAUCAUAUGAGACAGUGAAGGUACCUUAUGCUUUACUCAUAUCUGCUAAAGCAUUCUUUCUGCUCUUUGUGUUCACGUUUGGUGUAUGCAGGCAUUUGCUGAUGAGAUUGGCAUCCCAUUCAUGGAGACCAGUGCAAAGAAUACCUUGAACGUUGAGCAGGCUUUCAUGGCUAUGUCUGCUUCAAUCAAGGACAGGUGUGUGUUCCCAGACGGUUUAAUUAGCACAGGCCAUCCUACUAGUCCACUUUUUUUUAACUACCAUCAUUUUACACUUUAUUUACUGCUCAUUGAUGCUCUGUUCCUGUAGUACUCCCUCUGGUCCUUUUUACUCCCCACAUUAGCUUUGUCUGAAGUCAAAGUUUGCUAAGUUUGACCAAAUUUAUAUUAAAAAAUAUUAACAUCUAUAACAUCUAAUAAAUAUAAUAUGAAAAUAUAUUCCGAGAUGGAUCUAAUAAUAAAUGCGUUGUUAUGUGAAUGUUAAUAUUUUUUUUGUAUAAACUUGAUCAAAGUUGGAUGAGAUUGACUUCAGACAAACCUAAUAUGUAGAGUAAAAAGGACCGGAGGGAGUAUCAUAACCAAAAUUGCCCUACACUCUUUAGCAUGUUGCUGUUAAUUGUUCUAUGUUAUUCCUCACGGUGUUGUUCUAUAUACACCUCAUAGAAAGAGCAUAUAAUUAUGAAUAAAAAUCUUGGUUUCCAGGAUGGCGAGCCAGCCGGCUGCAAACAGCGCUCGCCCAGCGACGGUGCAGAUACGCGGGCAACCUGUCGAACAGAAGACGAGCUGCUGCUCUUCUUGAAAUGCAGGCAGCCGUCAUCCGUGUUACCCAAAUGGAGACGCAAACUUGGCCGCGCCAUCCUUGAGUCCAUGCUUCUACAUAGGCCUACUACAUCUUACACCUUCAUUCCAUUCUUUCUAGUGUACUUAUUAGCUCUUGAAUCGUUGGACUUGUAACACCGGACGGAGUUUGGAGACAGUAUCUUCUUCUAGUUGUGUAUCUUGAAUGGUUAUAUGUUACGAUUUGCAGCUGUUGCUUUUCUUCCCUAAAUUUAAGGCGAUUUCUACUUUUACUUGAUCAAAUUGUCCCGUUC
RNAcentral lists this long non-coding RNA (111074 nucleotides) under Triticum aestivum (bread wheat). RNAcentral describes it as "long non-coding RNA (TAES_LNC025103)". The stretch from base 46261 to 46395 matches the Rfam family "MIR1120/MIR1122 microRNA precursor family". Lineage: Eukaryota; Viridiplantae; Streptophyta; Magnoliopsida; Poales; Poaceae. The record is from RNAcentral.